UCCUCUUCUCUCUCCCUAUUUUCUAGAUUACAACUAGAACGAACUAGAACUAGAACUAGAGGAACUAGAACUAGAACUAGAUGAACUAGGACUAGAUCUAGAUGAACUAGAGGUAGAACUAGAAGAACUAGAGGGAUCCUCUCUACUUGGAUGAAGAAUUGAAACCCUAACUUUGAUUCUGUAGAAGAGGUAUGAUCUCCAGGGGCCAGGGGGCCUUGCUUAUAUAGUCUUUUCAGAUGAAUCUGGGCCGUCGGAUCAAACCGACAUUAAUCACACGGUUUUCCUUGAUCCUUUAGGUCGGUGGAGCACGAUCCGCGAAACGGGUCCGAAUUGGACACUGUAGCUGGGCGGGCGCCCAGGAGAGUUGGGCGGGCGCCCUGCCUCCGAGCCCGAUUGCCUUUCCGUUCAUUCCCGUGGCUUCUGGAGUCUUCUAGAUGAUAGAAAAUUGCGCGACACGUUAAUAUCUCUAUGUAAACCCGACGUGUGGGCCUUUCUUCCGUAUUUCCUGAUAACCCCCUGUAGAUAUAGACAAACACCAAAACUCGUGGAAUUCUAUCAGAUAAAACCCUAAGUCUAGGUGUUGGUUGCAUAUAGGUCCUUUUCCAUAAUUAGUUGAUGGUUAAAUGUGAGCAUUAAGGACCGUCAACAAGCUCCCCCAAGCUUAACCUUUGCUCGUCCCUGAGCAAAGAUGAACUCAAGAGUUUCUGAAGUGGUUUCAUGCCUUAAAGAUACACAUGCGUUCAAACAAUAUCUCAUCUCUGGGUUAGGGUAAACUGUUAAGAUUUAAACUUACUCAUUUUACCUUCCACCAUGGGGCUUGCAACCGUCACUUGUGUCUUGAGUAGUUAAAAGAUAGAACGGUCUAAUCAAGCGCCAUGUCUCUUGUUCUUCGAUUAACUAUAGCUCUGGAGUUUUUGUAGAUUUUCAAAUAAAACUCAGAGCUUCCUUGUAUUACUCUCUCUAGUCUCUCUUUUGUGGUCUUUCUGUAUCCUUACCAAAGUAGUAAUGGUAUAUGCCCUCUCUCAAAGUAUGUAGUAUUUUUGGUAUGAGGCAUAGUGACAUUGCUUUCUCUCUCACCCUACUCUAAUAAGGCUUUUGAUAUCUGGAUUUCAUAAGUGGGAGACAGCUAAUACAUUCUUACAAGACAUUUAUUGCAUAGUCAAACCAUGGAUCCAGAGAAACAAGUCAAUAAGUCAAAUCAAGAUGUGCAUGUGUGGCGAAUGAAUGGUGUAUGGUGAUGAUGGUGAUGACAAUGGUGAAAGUCUAAUUCUGCUUUUGCACUUUUGAGGGGAUACAUACCUUUCUUGCUAUUUUGAAAUUUUUUUUGAAGAGAAUGACAUGCUCUAUAUUUUCUUUUUCUUUCCUCUCAGGUGGGUAUCUUGUACCCCUAAUUCUACUGUCGGACACUUGUCCAUUUUUACCUCUCGUCUCACUUUUUCUUUUCUUUCAAGGUUCCGGGCACUUGCCCCUUUUUAUUUCCUCGUAUUCUUUCUCUUCUUUUUUUCUUUAUUUUUUUAGAGCACUCAUUUCCUGAAAUAAUAUAGCAAGUGGUAGUAACAAGAUAACUUGAGCAUUUAUUUCACAGGGAAAAAAUAGAAAUAGGAGAAUGUUUUUGGUUAUUCUCUCCCGGAUUAGGAGUAGAAUAUUUUUGGGUCGUUCUGGAGAUGGAAAUGGAUGGAUAUAUGUGGAUGCGUACUUCCAAAGUAGAAGCAGCAUGUAUGAGUGAACGUGCAAAUGAAUCUUGACUUAACCACAUGACCAGCUCCUAAGGGUCUACACAGCUUGACCACACUCAAUGCUCAUAAGUAGUAAAAAGUAAAUGUGUGGCUCAUAGUCUAGCAAGCAUGUAUAUAUGACUGUGGUAGGAAUUUAAGCUCUCAUCAUACAGGAACUCAUCAUGCAACAUUUUAAAUAUUUUCAAAGAUAAAAUUCUCCAGAAUUCUAGCAUCUCUAGGAACAGAUAAACAACAGCUCAACCUUCCCAUAUCAUAUCCGUUAACGACGUAGACUUUAGAUCAAGUACUCUUCCCACAAGUUCAGGUUUUAGAGCAAAUCUUAAUUAAUAACAGUCAUGCCUAAACUUGAGAGAGAUUUCAAUUUUGAAAACUAGUCAUGGCAGAGCAACUAUUCAUCAUUUCCAAAAUUUUUAUUUGGGUUUUUAUGAUUAUGCAUCUUUUUAUUAUUAGAUUAAAGUAUAAAUGUGAGUACAAUACUUAGCUGGAUAAAUGGGGGUGCUCUCCCCCAAGCUGGAUUUUGACGUAAUUUCUUCUGAUGUAGCUAGUAGGUGGUGGAGGUGUAUUUGAAUGUCAGCAGCACCCUGAUAGUGAUUAGGAUGUCCUCCGUCUGCUAGUCUUCUUUGAUCCUUGAAUUCUGUGGAGCUCAAAUAGACAACAAAGCUUUGUGGAACUAGUUAAGUGUUAGCAUAAAUAUCUAGCCUUUAUCAUGUUGAGCCUCCUCUAAUAAAUAUUACUCUCUUUAGUAGGAUCAUAAAUUUAUUUUUAUAUUUUCAUUUUUAUAGGACAGGAAUAUAUAUUUAUUUUUACGCCACCACAGUGAAUGUACUUAUGGGUUUUAUGCCAUGAGCAUACUCACAAGGGGCUUACUAUUUUUAACAUUUUCAUUUUCUUUUCAAGAUAGCAUGAACCUAAUUAACUAAGCAAACUAUUUUAAAUAAUUGGAAGGAAAAGGAUAACUACCAAGUUUACCUCUUGGCAAGGCGUUCGGUGUUUUUAAGUCCUCCAAACGGAACUUUCCGUUUUCUCAGUCGUCCUGGGAUUUGCUGGAUGGCGUAGUCAGUGGUUCCGGCGACGCCUGCUCUUCUUGUAUAACUAUCUUCUCUCUCCACACCUGACUCGUUGCUACGGUCUCCUCAGGACAGUGUCUUUAGACCCUACCACUUCUCCUUCAUAGUCUGCCCAUCCGUCCUUAAUGAUUUGCCUUCUCUAGUUGCGGUUGCGUCAUCUUCUUCUUGUCCUGACCUGCUUAGAGUCUUCAGCUAUAUAGUUAGGGUCAGUAAAAUAGCGGCGUACCUUCUCAGAGGGGAAGUGCAUGUGGACUGCUCCGGUUCCAAUGUAAAUGAUUGCUUUAACAGUGCUGAGGAACGGUCUUCCAAGGAUGAUGGGUGGAUUGUAAUCGUCUUCUCCCAUGUCAAUAACCUUAAAAUCAUCUGGAGCUGAAUGUAUGUCGGUUUUAGGGGUAUGGUUCCGAACAGGAGCUGAUAGGUGACUGCAGCCAUUAUGUUGACGCCUGACCCAGUGUCGCAAAGCAUCUUUUGGAAGUUGUAUCUAUUAAUGGAGCACUGGAUGCUUGGCAUACUUGGGUCGUUCUUUUUGGUCAGGAACGGUAAUUUAAGUCGACGAUCUUGACCUCCUUGAACUGCAGUGACCAUCUUAGCUGACUUGGUCCAUAUUUGCUUGUUCCUGUUCAUCUUGUUGGUCCUCUUCCUUGGUUCAUGACGGGAAUGCUCUAAGAUUUGUGUAGUCUUGUUCUUGAAGGAAAACAUCUCCUUCCUCCCCUUGAUGUAGAAACUGAUCUUGGCAGCACUAGCGUAGAUGAUAGCUCCCGAGGUGUUCAGAAAUGGCCUCCCAAGGAUGAUGGGUGCCCUCCCAUUAGUACCAGUCUCUAUCACCACGAAGUCUGCUGGGGCGUACAAGGUACCAACUCGGACGCAGAGGUUCAUCAAAAUUCCCUUUGGGAAACUUAGCGUACGAUCUGCAAGCUGCAAACACAUGGCUGUUUCUAAUAAAGGAUGUGUAAAGAAUUUUUCAUAGAGUACCCUGGGCAUAAUGUUGACGCUGGAGCCAAAGUCGUAGAGUGCUUCUGGGAAGUCCACCAUGCCGAUGGAGAUCGGGAUGACGGGGCGCCCUAGAUUGUCUCUCUUGACCGGCAGAAGGUCAGUAAUUACUUCCACAACGGGGUUACUCCAGUAGUUACGUCCUCAAGCAUCUCAGGGCAGUGAUUGCCUGAGUGUCCAGUAUCUCCAGUGUGUUUGUGCUCGUAGAUCUAGGUUCUUCACUUGGUGGAGUCUAGGAGUUGUAAAACUCCUUCAUAUUUUGCUCGAAGUGUACCUGCUCAUAGAGACAAGGCAGAGAUCAAGUGCAUGGGCCCUGUUGGUGGAAAACACCAACAGAACUGAAAGUGUAUUUGUUCUUCUCUAACCUCAGGCAUAGUGAGCAAGACAAAGUUGAUGGAUAAUAAGAUCAUGAGUGUAGCAUUUAAAACAUUUGUCAGAUCAGAUCGCUCAACCUAAUGGAAAGAUAAUCUAUCUAUACUUAUGUUUUUUUUAUAUAUCUUCCAAAGAUUAUGUGUGCAACAUUUUAUCUCAUAUGAUUAGGAGUGUGGGAUCACGAAGGUAGAAGGACUAAACAUGUUGAAUCAGGUUGGUUAAUCUAGAGUUGUAAAUCAUACAUGUUUGUCUCUUUUGUUCAUGUGAACGCCAGAACCAAGGAGAAGCUUAUAAAAGUGAUAGAUAAGUACCUUAAGAUGUUACCUUACUUGAAGAGUGAUGGUACAAUAUCACCUUGUGGAAGCUUUCCUUUCUUAGCGGUUGUGCAUCAUGUUUGUGGCACCCUCCAUGGAUCAUCUCUUGUGAGCUAUGCCUUCCUUGUGUAAAUUGUUAAACUUCAUGUGUCUCUCUCUUUGUCUCCAAUGUGAGUUUAUCUCAGGACUUCCCAGGUCGAUAUUGAAAGUUUUCCUGUAGGGGUUAGUCCAACAAAAUAUCAAUAUCUACUAUAGCAUACUAUUGGCUCAAAAAAAACAACCUAGACACCAUGUCUAAUUUGAUUUAGGAGGGCAUUUUAACCUAAGCACCAAGCUUGAUUUAAAAACCCUUGGAAGUAAGAUCAUCAGCCCUAAACUAAGCACCAUGCUUAAUUAAGAAAUAAAUGAAACUACUCCAAACCUAGACAUAUACUAAAGAAAAUAAAGGUAGCAUGAGAGCAUUUAUAGACAUCUACUCAAAUGGAGAUGAAGUAGAAAGAUUAGUGUUUAACAAAUUGAGCAUGUCUCAAAGGUAGGGACAACCGACAUAGCAACAAGGCAAAGGAUGUUUUUAUGUAAAGUACUCCCCCAAGCUUGAAUUUUGCAAAAUUAAAGUUUGGAUGAGUUUAAUUCAAUGUUGUAUGAUGAUUGGUUGCACAUACCUUGUGCUUGUCAUUCAUCCGAUCUUCUUGCUCCAAUCCUGGAAAGGUUAGUGACAAGAAUACCCGAUGGAAUAUUUUUACAAUUAUCCUUAUAAGCUCAAUACACAAGGUAAUGUUGCAAAUAAUUAAAAGCUCAUGUUACGAUCUAAUCAGUGCUUAUUUUAGGAUAAUAAGCUUGUCCUUGGGAAACCAUCAAUUUAUGUCGGCAAAGUGGUUUCCCCUCCAACACCAACCUAUAUCAAGAUCAACUCAACGAGAUCUGCAAAAUUUAUUAUAGACAUAUGCAUCGACAACCGCCCUUUUGAAGUUUUUAUAAAUAGAAAGGAAGAGGGGGUUGGAGAUCUCGAAUGUGGUGAUGUUGGAGAGACCAAUGGACUGUGAAGAUGUUGCAUAUGAGCAUGAAGUAAAUGAAGUGGCUAUGAAAUAAAUUCCAUGCUCAUUAAUGCUUAGAGUGAAAUCCAUGUGGUAUGGUGAAAAUGAUAAGUUGAGUGUGGUAAAAAAAGGAAAAGAAAAAGGAUACACGGACGACUUGGUUCAAAAUUAGCACAGCUACCGUUCCCCGGCAACGGCGCCAGAAAGCUUGUUUGGUAUUUUAAAUGCAAACAGAAAAAUCCGCAAGCGCACGGAUACCGAUGUAGCCUUCACCCGGGAGUAUUCCAGAGUAUCGAUUUUCCACAGAGAACGUUAGUGUACUAAUUAAGAUCCAAGAUCGCCCAAGGAUAACUAUAUAAUUGUUUUUUGUGGGAAGAGAGGAAGUUUCCUGAGAGUUCUCUAGUUGAUCUAAGAAUCAAGAAUUACUUCAAGAUUAUCUAUUUCAGGACAUCAGAGCACUAACCACAGAAAGAGAUGAGAAGGGGGCUAGGAAGGUCUGACUACGGUCCUACAAACACCGAUCGGAACGUGGUGGAAUACGUCGACCGUUAGGGCUGUCACUACCCUAAGGCUACCACAACAAUCCGCAGGAUUGGGUGCAAUUCCAGGUAAUUGCAAGACUAAACACCACGUCUAAUCUAUUAAUUACUACUCUAGCGUUAUAAAGACUACAGCACUUGAUGCAAGCGGGAAUCCAAUAAAUAACUUGAAUGUAAAUAAAAGUAAUUAGAGAACUCAGGAAUUAUGAAUUGAAGAACCUGGAGAACGAUGAAGAACGAACCAGUUGAUGCAAAAGUACAAUGUAGAGGAAGAUCCGACAGAUCUGGCUCCUCCUCCGCUCUCCCCUUCUCUCUCCCUAUUUUCUAGAUUACGACUAGAACAAACUAGAACUAGAACUAGAACUAGAGGAACUAGAACUAGAACUAGAUGAACUAGGACUAGAUCUAGAUGAACUAGAGGUAGAACUAGAAGAACUAGAGGGAUCCUCUCUACUUGGAUGAAGAAUUGAAACCCUAACUUUGAUUCUGUAGAAGAGGUAUGAUCUCCAGGGGCCAGGGGGCCUUGCUUAUAUAGUCUUUUCAGAUGAACUGGGCCGUCGGAUCAAACCGACAUUAAUCGAACGGUUUUCCUUGAUCCUUUAGGUCGGUGGAGCACGAUCCGCGAAAUGGGUCCGAAUUGGACACUGUAGCUGGGCGGGCGCCCAAGAGAGUUGGGCGGGCGCCCUGCCUCCGAGCCCGAUUGCCUUCCCGUUCGUUCCUGUGGCUUCUGGAGUCUUCUAGAUGAUAGAAAAUUGCGCGACACGUUAAUAUCUCUAUGUAAACCCGACGUGUGGGCCUUUCUUCCAUAUUUCCUGAUAACCCCCUGCAGAAAUAGACAAACACCAAAACUCGUGGAAUUCUGUCAGAUAAAACCCUAAGUCUAGGUGUUGGUUGCAUAUAGGUCCUUUUCUAUGAUUAGUUGAUGGUUAAAUGUGAGCAUUAAAAACCGUCAACAGGGCGCGAUCAUGAAGACGAGGACGAGGACCAGGAUAGGGACCCACGACACUAGUAUGUCAGUCCCACCGACGUGGUCCACUCCAUCUUCGGGGGCAAGGUCUCCAUCGAGUCUAAGCGAGAAAGAAAGCUCUUAAAGAGAGCCUGCCUCAACAUAGACAACACGGAUGGCCUGAUCACCGAUCCGAAAUUUCCUCCCUGGUCGCACAGGGAAAUCUCCUUCAGCAGGAUGGAUCAGUGGGCCGCUAUCCCGGAGCCAGGACGUUUCCCUCUAAUCUUGGAUCCUUGCAUCAACAACAUCAGAUUCGAGCGCGUGCUCGUCGACAGGGGAAGCUCCAUCGACAUCCUCUUUCGCAAUAGCUUACCUGCCCUCAAGAUAACCCCAGCAUAGUUAAAGUCAUACGACGCUCAAUUCUGGGGAGUCUUGCCAGGUCAAAGUUCAGUGCCCCUCGGACAGAUAACACUGCCUGUCCAAUUCGGCACAUCCGACCACUUUCGAAUAGAGUUCGUCAACUUUGUGGUCGCCGACUUUGAUGGAACUUACCAUGCUAUACUGGGCCGACCAUCACUGACAAAGUUCAUGGCAGUUCCACAUUACUCAUAACUGGUCCUCAAAAUGCCUACAGAGAAGGGCGUCCUAACUGUCAGGGGCAAUGUCUACACUGCAUACACUUGCGAGGAGGAAAGCUUCAAGAUCACCGAAGCAAUUGAUCUUUCAAUUCGCAUGGCAGAAACAACAGCCCAAGCUGCAUAGCUCCCUCCCGACCAGCUCCGACUACCCGAGCAGGAGACCGCUAGGAAGAAUACAAAGUCCAAGGAAUACAAGGAAGUACAACAGGUCGAAGGCAGCCCCGAGAAGACGACCCUCAUCGGGGCCAACCUAGAUCUUAAAUAGGAAGACGCGCUCAUCAAGUUUCUAAGGGACAACGUGAGCAUUUUCGCAUGGAAAACCGUAGACAUGCCCGGCGUCCCACGAAACCUGAUCGAGCACUCCUUAAACGUCUCGAAGACCGCAAGACCCAUCAAGCAAAAGCUGCGACGGUUUGCUCGUGACAAAAAGGAGGCUAUUAGGAUAGAAAUAACACGGCUUCUAGCAGCCGGAUUUAUAAAAGAAAUGUAUGAUCCAGAUUGGCUCGCCAAUCCGGUCCUUGUACGCAAAAAGAAUAAUGAAUGGAGAAUGUGCGUUGAUUAUACUGAUCUCAAUAAACACUGUCCUAAAGAUCCUUUCGGUCUCCCUCGCAUCGACGAGGUGGUCGACUCAACGGCCGGAUGCGAACUCCUCUCUUUCUAGACUGCUACUCUGGUUAUCACCAGAUCUCGCUAAAGGAAGAUGACCAGAUCAAAACAUCUUUCAUUACUCCUUUCGGCGCAUAUUGCUACACGACCAUGUCCUUUGGACUCAAAAACGCCGGAGCCACCUAUCAAUGGGCCAUCCAACAAUGCCUCCAUGACGAGAUUCAUGAUGACCUCGUCGAGGCUUAUGUAGACGAUGUCGUCGUCAAAACAAGGCAUGCAAGCACUCUAAUCGAUAACUUAGACCGAACCAUUAAGGCACUAAACAAAUACAAGUGGAAGCUCAACCCCAAAAAGUGCAUCUUUGGGGUCCCCUCUGGACUACUACUUGGCAACAUCGUCAGCCGCGACGGCAUACGACCGAAACCUUCAAAGGUAAAAGCAGUGCUCGACAUGCGACCACCUAAGAAUGUCAAGGACAUUCAGAAGCUCACCGGAUGUAUGGCCACUCUCAGUCGCUUCAUCUCAAGACUGGGAGAAAAAGGCCUCCCGUUCUUCAAACUCCUGAAGGCAUCGGAAAAAUUCUCCUGGACAGAGGAAGCUGACGCCGCCUUCACCCAGCUCAAGACUUUCCUCACCUCACUGCCUGUUCUCACAGUGCCUCAGCCCAACGAGGACCUACUCCUCUACAAUGCAGCAACCGACAGGGUCGUUUCCACGGCAAUAGUGGUCGAGCGAGACGAGCCAGGUCACAUCUACAAGGUCCAGAGACCCGUUUAUUUCAUAAGCGAAGUCCUAAACGAGUCCAAGACCAAGUACCCACAGAUACAGAAGCUCAUAUACGCCAUCCUAAUAACGUCCAGGAAGCUUAAACACUACUUCGACGGCCACCGGGUCUUGGUAACCACCAGUUUCCCUCUGGGGGACAUUCUGCACAACAAGGACGCCAACGGCAGAAUUGUAAAAUGGGCAAUGGAAUUAUACCCAUUCUCCCUGGACUUCCAGAGCCGCACUACCGUCAAGUCACAGGCCCUGGUCGAUUUCAUCGCAGAAUGGACGGACCUCAACGAACCUUCCGUCUCCGACACCUCCGAUCACUGAUCAAUGUUCUUUGACGGAUCCUUAAACAUCAACGGCGCUGGCGCCGGGAUUCUCUUCGUGUCGCCUAACAAGGACAAACUGCGCUACGUCCUUAGGAUCCUCUUUCCCGCGUCAAACAACGUCGCUGAGUACGAAGCAUGCCUGCAUGGCAUACGACUAGCCGUUGAGUUGGGAGUCAAACGCCUCUACGUCCAUGGCGACUCCGCCCUAGUUAUCAACCAGCUCAACAAGGAAUGGGACACAACCCACGAGAAGAUGGACCUCUACUGCAAAGAAAUCCGCAAAUGGGAAUCCAACUUCUACGACAUAGAGUAUAUCCACGUGGUCCGGGAUAAAAACCAGGCAGCGGAUGCGCUGUCAAAGUUAGGGUCAUCUCGGGCCCAGAUCCCGCAAGGCAUUUUCGUUCAAGACAUCCACGCGCCAAGUGUGAGCAUAGACCUGGUCAAAAAGCAAGCUAAUGAGGCAAUGCUCAUAGACGACGCUACUCCGACAACCAGCAGCCGUGAUUGGCGCACCCCUUUCAUCAGGUAUAUAUCGGACGGGUCGGGUUUUCAGGAUAAAAUGGAGAACGAGCGCCUCAUUCGACGAUCAAAGAAUUACAUACUGGUGGACGGCAAACUUAUGCUAAAAAUGCAAGUUCUGAAGUGCUGCUCAAAUGCAUAUCCCAAGAUGAUGGCAUCAAGCUCUUGGACGACAUACACGUCGGAUCCUGCGGCAACCACGCGGCCUCCAGAACACUAGUCGGGAAGGCUUUCCGAGCAGGUUUUUACUGGCCAACCGCGGUCGCCGACGCAGAGAAACUGUCCGACAUUGUGAAGGAUGCCAGUUCUUCGCCAAGAGGACCCACGUACCUGCUCACGAGAUUCAAACUAUUCCGUCAUCCUGGCCUUUCGCCUGCUGGGGCCUCGACAUGAUCGGGCCAUUUAAACCGGCUCCCGGCAACUUCAAGUUCGUUUUCGUGUUAAUCGACAAAUUCUCGAAGUGGAUCGAAUACAUGCCACUGGUCAAAGCAACCUCCGAGAAAGUUGUGGAGUUCCUUAAUCAAAUCAUACACAGAUUUGGGAUCCCCAACAGUAUAAUCACCGACCUGGGCACUCAGUUCACUGGCACUACGUUCUGGGACUUCUGCGAUGAUAGAGGCAUAGUCAUAAAAUACGUGUCAGUAGCUCACCCACGAGCAAACGAUCAAGUAGAACGCACGAACGGAAUGAUUAUUGAUGCCCUAAAGAAAAGGUUGUACACCGAGAACGACAGAGCGCCUGGUCGAUGGAUGAAAGAGCUACCGGCCGUGGUCUGGGGUCUCCAAACACAGGCCAGUCGCAAUACAGGCGUAUCACCCUACUUCAUGGUUUAUGGCUCCGAGGCAGUGCUCCCAUCUGAUGUAACCUUCAGAUCUCCAAGAGUUGAAAACUUCGACCAAUCAACCGCUGACAACGCUAGGGAGCUCGAAAUCAACUGCAUGGAGGAAAAGCGUCUAAUUUUAUGUCUUCGAACAGCAAAGUAUCUCGAAGCCAUCAGGCGGUACCACAACAGGAACGUCAAAGACCGUUCCUUCAUGGUCGGUGAUCUGGUACUCAAGUGGAAAACAAGCCAGGAAGGGACGCACAAGUUAUCCACGCCUUGGGAAGGACCCUUUGUGGUCGCCGAAGUCACACGCCCUACAUCCUACAGACUGGUGUAUCCAGAUGGAACACGCGUGCCUAAUUCUUGGCACAUAGACAAACUGUGCCAUUUUUAUCCAUAAGUUCCAGUACCUUUUGCUUGUAAGUUUCUUAUAAUUAGCAAUAAUAAAAGCUUUCCUUUUUCGCUAUAUAUUGUUUACACGCAGAGCUUUCGACGAGCACAACAAUCUUCCUCUGCGGUGAAGAUUCUUAACGACUAUCAAUCAAACACAGUGAUACAUCACUCAGAUAACAUUACAGUGCUCAAAAUCAUGGUCAUGACAAAAUCAAACUUUAUUACAAACUUUACAUACAGAGUUUACAAUAAACACCCCGCCGGGCGGUUACUAGUCUACUCCUACAAACUAUCCUAUAGGCCUACUACUCGGGCUGAUCACCCACUUGGCCUUGCUGCCCAGACGGAGGGGUCGGGGCCACCGGCGCCUGGCUGGUCAAGACCGUAGGCGUCGACCGCCCAUCUCCGGCAAUGGACGCCCCCGACAACUCCCUGGCCGAUCUGUCUGACCCCGGCUGGUCGGGGGGAGUGGCCGUCCCGCAGAGGUUGAUGUCGCUGAUCACCGUCGACGACAAGUCAAGUAGGCCAGCUCGAAGGUCGUCUGCUCCUGCGGGCCAACUUCCUUGGGGUACCCCCUCUCUAGCCUGGACAGGUCGACCAGGGGAUAGUGGGCGCACACCAUGUCGAGGACAUGCGCGCCGGCGAACUCCCCGGCGUCCUUGACGAACUGCUGGAGCCAGUCCCACGCCCGUUGCGCCUUCUCGACUGGCGUCAGUCUUGGCGCGCGAGGCUGGUCUUUAGGGAGCUCGGGGCUGAUCAAGUCAAGAACCGGGGCCACUCCUUUCCAAAGUUUGAUGCAGUUGGUCUUCCAGGAGUCCCGGUCCUUGAUCAGCUCGUCUAAAUGCUUCUUGGUAUUCACCUUGAGCACUACAAAUCAAGCAGGAGGUCAGUUCGCAAAUAAAGAAAGGAACGUCGAGCAACCAAGUAAAAAAUGAGUGCCACGGUUGUUACCAGACAACUCCCAAUUCCUGUUGCUUAGCUCCUCGCCGGCUCGGCGCCCGGACUCCACCGCCCCGGCAAGCUCUUGGCCGAGCUGCUCCUUCUCCUGCCGGAGGCGUGCAACCUCCUCCUCCAAGUCUGUAGGUACAAUACCUGGUCAACAAAACUGACCACGUGGCCACAUACAACUGCUCGGAACAGGUGACUGACCUCUCCUUUGGUGGACCUGGUCGGCUAACUGCCGAUUGAGGUCGAGAAGGCGCCCUUCCUGAGCACUCAUCUCGGCCGCCUUCUCUCUGGCUUCCGACCGAAGCCGAUCCACCUCUGCGGACAGGGCCUUGUUCUCGGCCAUAACGCCCUCAAUAUGGUCGAAGCACCUUUUUCGGUACUUCGCCGUUUUCAUUGCACCCUGCACGAAGAGUACAUGUUGAACCCAGGAACAUCGCACAUAAGGAUCGAGCAGCGCAAAGGACCAUUUACCUUAACCUCGUCCACGAGACGUUUUGCCGCGUGCUCCACCCUUGCGGCCUCUUCCGUCUCCGCGAGCUCCUCGUGUCUGAUGAAGUGGUCCCCGCGUUGGCGCCACACGUAGACGUGCUGGCGGCCAUCACGGGGACGACCUUCAAUCUCCUCCACGUCAUCGUCAGAGGCCGCCUGGGUCUCCUCGUUCGCCGCACUGCCACCGGCUGUGGUCGCAGGCAUCACUAGCCCCUGGUCCAGUCCAGGGGAGCCUGCGGGCGAAGAGGCCCCUGCCCAGGGUGGUGUUGGGACUCCCCUCUCUUCGGCUGGUGGAGGAGUCGGGGCUUUGUCUUCCUCCUCGACGACGUUACUCGGGGGAGGCGUCCUCGUAGCCUCCUCGUCCCUCGUCGGGGUGCUCGCCGCAGCCUUUGCUGAGGCCGGAUGCUCCUCGGCGCUAUCAGCCGCGGUUGUCACCGCGGGCUACUCCGUGGUCUGCGGCGUGGCGUCCCCAGCGGCAGCAACGGGCUCGGCCACCCUCUGGCCAGCAACGUGGUCAGGAUCAACGUCCGACGCCGUGCUAACAAUAAGACGACAUUUAAACAAUGUCAAAACGCAGCAACAAAAUGCAAAACAUCGCAACACGAAAGUAAGAAUGAAAACUUACAGGUCAGAGCACCGGUGUGUUGCGGUGAACCUCCUCCUAGUCCUACCAGUCGGUACCUGCGCCCCCGUCUCUACGACGCGCGUCGGCUCGACAUGCGGUGCAGGCGGGUCACUGGUCACCCGAGCAGCGGUGGCCGGCGCAACGUCUGGACGACUACGCGGCCUCCGGACCAACGACGGCACGGCCUCCUCCUCGUCGUCGUCGUCAUCGGCGAUCCGGACGAGCUGACGGCGCUUUGGCGCCUGGCUGCUCUCUACCGGUAGCGUUGCCGCAGGGGAGCGGUCCGCCGCCAGUGGCCUUUUCCCCACCACUCUGUCCUCGAUGGUCGGGGCGGGAUGGUUUUGCUCCUCCUCACUGCUGGUGUACCGAGCACACCGAGCAGCGUCGUCUUCCGGCGGGUCUUCCCCCGCGGGAUUCUCCAUGCCAGGUGCCAGUGAUACGUACACUGUGCACCGGUCAACGUCUCCGAUCUGCAACAACAACAAAGACAAGUCAACAACUAGGAAGAACAAGAACUAAGGAGGUAACAUCAGUCAGUAACACUACCUUAGGAGCUGGUCGCCCCAGCUUGAAGGCCUGCACCCAAUCACCGCUUCGAACGAAGCUAUUGUAUGCAAAGUUGAACAGCUCGUUCAACAGCUGUUGCACUUCUGUCUUCUCUAGAACUUCAGGACUCAUCCUGGUCGGGUCCUGGCUUCCCGCGUACUCGUACGCCGAAUGUACCCUCUUCUGGCAGGGCAUCACCCGACGACAGAUGAAGUUGCCGACCACUCCUAGCCCGUCUAAACGCGACCAGUCGAUCAGCUUCAUCAGUUCUUCUACCUGACCGGCGAACUCUGGGCGGUCUAUCCAACUGACCCUCUUCUCGGGAAUGUACCCCACAUUGCAGAACGUGGAGCUGCCUGGCUCUUCCCUGACGUAGAACCACUUCUUGUACCACUCGGUGAGAGAAGUGUUCCACGGGCAGUUGAGAUACCGGUUCUUCAUCCCGUCACGAAGAUUGAGGUAUACUCCACCUCCAAUCUUGGAGCCUCCAACCGCUCCCUUCUUCCUCAAACAUGAAAAGGUAGCGGAAAAGAUCGAAGUGUGGCUCUAUCACAACAUAGGCCUCGCACAGAUGGAUAAAAGUGGAAAUAAGAAGAAUCGAGUUCGGGUGCAGAUUGCAGAUCCCGAUCUCAUAGUAAAGAAGAAGCCCCUGGAGAAAAGGAUGGACAGGAACCCCAAAACCCCUCUUGAAAUAAUCUUCGAAAACCACGAUCUCACCGGCACGGAGGUCGGGGUAGCUCUCCCCCUCUGGCGCCCUCCAGCCGCCGAGCUCUUGGCCGUGCAGUAGCCCCAUGCCGACGAGGUCGUUGAGGGACCUCACGCUGCUCCGGGACUUCUUCCACUCCUUAGCCAUCAGCUCGGCCCUCUUUUUGGAGUCGCUCUUCACCAUUGACGCUCCGGGAAUGGCUGCGAGUUGGGUGGACUGAUGGUGAUUGCAGAAGGCAAGAGUGGAAAGCUUGAAGGCAAUGGCAGGGUAAGCAAUAUGAGGGCAAUGUCAAGCUUUUAUAAGCAACAACUCCACCCCUCCCACUUCCCGCAUUCUUGGGAAGUGGGCGGGCCCAACGGCGGACGCGACGUUUCGGUUUUCAACAAUUACCGGCAAUUAAUACGGCAACCUUUUCGUAUAAUUGAUGGUUUCCUUUUCUCGAACCGCGCAAAGAGCGGCUGCACAGUUACCAGGUGCACCUUUUCACACAACCAUCUGAUAAUGCGUCAGGAGGUCUCGUCACGUCACUCAUUUAUGUGGUAAGAUGCUUUUUUUCAAAAUAACAGACAAAAAUUGGUGGAGGAUCAACAUUCCUGGGGACUGCACCGACCACCGAGCACUGUAUUCUCGGGGACUGUUCGUCCAGUCCACCAGUUUGGAGAUCUGGGGACUGCACCGACCACCGAGAACUGUAAGUUCGGGGACUGGUUGCCCAGUCCGCCAGUUCGGAGAUCUUGGGGCCGCACCGACCACCGAGCACUGUACGCUCGGGGACUGGUCGACCAGCCCGCCAGUUUGGAAGAAUUAGGGACUAUACCAAUCACCAAGGUGUUAUCAGCUCGAGACUGGUUGAUGAGUCUAUCCGAUGGCAAACGAGCAUGAGAUGCUCGGGGACUGGAUAAUUUUAAUUUUUUAGACCUUGCUACAAGGCUCAUACUUCGCCUUCCAGCAAGCUCGGGGACUACAUCAGUACGAUGCAUCUGGCGAUGCAUCUCAGUUUCAGAAUUUCUCUGAGGACUUUUCUUCUGACACUGGCACCACGUGCAAACGUCACCUACUACCAGGCUCGGGGACUAAGUGGGCACACUUCACCUUGCGGUGAACUUGUUUGCUUUUUGCUAGAGUACACUUUUUGAAAAAAGUAGAGUGGGCACACUUCACCGAGAAAAGAAAUAUUUUUUCUUAAGAGCACCAUGCAUUCUUCGAACAACCAGCUUUUUCGAUGCCAAUGUUGAUAAAAUAUUUUUGAGUUGGUCAAAAUACCAUUGCAACUGUUCAAGCGACUUUCCUGCCUAUUGAAGACGUCAAGUUUCACUGGUCGAAGAAGCUCAAGACGGCGUGUUACUUCACAAUACAUGGUGCUCGGGGACUAGCUGUGGGGGUAUAAACCCCUAUACCCUUACGGCUAGACUUGGGCCAGGAGGCUUGGCCCAUUACAAGACAAGUUCGAGGCUCGAUCCGAUCGCUCGGAGUUUCGCGCAAGGAAACAAGACGUGGAGAUCAAGCAUGAUUCUAGUCGGUUAGAAUAGGAAUUGAUAUCGAACUAUCUAUGGCAAUUGUAACCGACUAGUAUUAGUUUCUAGAUCUGUAACCCUGCCCUCCGGACUAUAUAAGGAGGGGCAAGGGACCCCUCUAGGACACAUUAUUCUCUCAAUCCAAUACAAUCAGAUGCAGGACGUAGGUGUUACGCCCACACGGCGGCCGAACCUGGAUAAAAACCUUGUCUGUGUCUUGCGUCACCAUCAAGUUCGCAGCUUGCGCACGGUCUACCGAUAAACUACUACCGUGGGCAUACCCCAAGGUAGACUGCCGACCAGCUUUCGUCGACACUCCACGUCCUCGUGUAGAGGUGGUGCAGCCGCGGCUGGUCCAUCUACCUCCAUGCCAUCGUCAUUGGCCACAAUCACCUGAGGUCCCACCUCCGGGUACAUGGGUACAGGGCGAGGAAUAGGGUGUAGCAAGUUGUUGAGACGGUGAAUCUCCACAAGACCAACCUUAAUCUGAACCUGCAGAUAGUUCUCCCGCUCAAGCGACUGAGUCCGGUGCAUCUCCCAUGCCCGGCACCUAUUCUCCAACACACGGAGCGCAGUAUCCCUCUCACGAGUGACCUGCACCAAGCGCUCCUGCACUGUCUCCCUCUCCCUAGCCAACUGACUCAUUUGAUCCUGCUUGUGAUCUCUCUCUCUAAUGGCCUUCACCCACUGCUACCUAUGGUACUCCGCAAUGUCUUCCCAGUCAUUGCGGUCCUUCUGAGCUUGCUCCAGGAGUCUAGCUUGCUUGCGAAACAUGCGAGCAUGCUUUUCAGCCUUCUGUUGCAUCUCCUGAGCCUGGCGAACAGCCACGAUCACCUGUGCAUAGGUGUGGGGGUAUAAACCCCUAUACCCUCACGACUAGACUUGGGCCAGGAGGUUUGGCCCAUUACGAGACAAGAUCGAUGCUUGAUCCGACCGCUCGGAGUUUCACGCAAGGAAACAAGAUGUGGAGAUCAAGCAGGAUUCUAGUCGGUUAGAAUAGGAAUUGAUAUCGAACUAUCUUUGGCAAUUGUAACCGACUAGGAUUAGUUUUCAGAUUUGUAACCCUGCCCUCCGGACUAUAUAAGGAGGGGCAAGGGACCCCCCUAGGACACAUUAUUCUCAAUCCAAUACAAUCAGACGCAGGACGUAGGUGUUACGCCCACACGGUGGCCGAACCUGGAUAAAAAGCUUGUCCGUGUCUUGCGUCACCAUCGAGUUCGUAGUUUGCGCACCGUCUACCGAUAAACUACUACCGUGGGCAUACCCCAAGGUAGACUGCCGACUAGAUUUCGUCGACAAUAGGUGUCCUCUCACUGACCGAACAGCUUGAGCACAGCCAUCAUAGCACUCAUAGCAGCACUAGAACUCUCAGCUCGCUCUCCUCGACCUCGGACCAACGCGCAACCAUCAGCCUGCUUCCACUCCACUGCUCCUGGGUGAGCAUGGGGAAUGGAGGUCGCCGGCCCUCCUGUCAGCUCAUCACCAAACCUCUAACAGAUGUUGAGCAGCAUACCAUGGGCUGCAACCUGAGCCACUUCCCAUGGAGUCUGCCCAUCAGAGUUGCAGGUCCACCCUGUCCAUGCAGGCCUGCCCCCAUGUGGUGGGACAACUCCCUGCACAGCAAACCACUACAACUCUCCUGUCAUAUCCACCUCCCACCAAGAAUACUGAGGUGGCUCAGUAUAUCCUACAGACUGCAGCACCCUCCAGAGCAAAGUAGGAGUGCCAAACUCGCUCAAAAAGGUAUCACUGGGGCGAGGUGAAGCGGGCAUGUCCAUCUGUGGAAAGGAAUAACCGUGGGUAAAAGUGGAUUAGUUGAAGCAACAUUUAUUUAAUUUAAAAGGGACGACAUUGUAAGGGAAGGAGUAGACAGAAUGUAUGCAUGAAUGCGACAUGAUGCAUGCACGAACCGUACGUCCUCACAAACUUAGAAAAUUAAUCUUCUAACGGAUAUUCGGUGGCAUACAUUCGUCUCUCAAUACGAUAACUAGCGAUUUACACAUGCGCUGUUAGAGUACCUACAGAAAACUUCAUUGCAGCCCAAUAGUUCCCAAUAUAUCACUCAAGAAAAGCAGUAAACUAAGUGCACAUUGCUUGUACAUGCCCAAUCAUGCACAAACAAUGACACCACAGCUACCCGAGAAAUUUAAAUGCUCCCCAAUUAAGUUUCUUUCGUGCUUCCAUGGUUAGACAUGUAACCACUCUAGAAAACCACCACGAACACUCCCCUAGUCCGCGGUUUGGACGAUCAUGCUCUCACAGCUCACACUUACCAGGGCGUAGGUGCGACGUUGCAUAAUUUAAAUCUAGCGACACAUGUGGCUAAUUCAUAUAUGAAGGCUACCUCUACCAUUAGACCACAGGGUAGCAUAGUGCGGUCAUCACACAUCCAUACCUGAGUACUGUCGGAGAUGCAUAAAUAAAACCACCCAAGUCAGUACUUAAAUAGCCACCUAUAGUCCUUAUAUGGGCAAGGAGGAUUCAACCACUGGCAUAACUUAAGUAUUGAUUUACACCAUUUUAUUUAAAAAAAACUCUUUUGUUUUUAAAUACACAAAUGCUGCAUUUAUAAUGCUGAACUUGCUCUGAUGCCAGUUGUCACAGAACUGACCAAAUUAUAAGAGUUCAAGUGUAGAAACGAUCGACUAGCAAUCAAGUUUCAAAACUUGAGCCCAUAUAAUCCCGGUAGUCAACUGAAAUCACGAAGGACUUCAAACCAACUUGCAACAAACCAAGAUCGUAAUAGUUCAACAUAACACAGCGAAUGUUACAUGGUCAUUCAUUGCCGUCGAAGCGGCACCACAUCGGAGUUACUUAGUUAUUACAACACAAGUUUGUAGUAGCGGAAGCAAAAUAGUUUACAACACAUAUUCCAAAGUUCAGUUCCCAAGUUCUUGUUACUGCCAGAGUCUCAUACCAUCCAUCCAAAAGCAACAGGUACGAAGUAGUUAGAGAGCUGUGCCCAACGGUUUAGUCCUCAUCCCCAGCGGGAUGGAGACAGGUCUUGCAGAAGCCAUCAUAAAAGAUAUCAUCUGCAACAGGUGGGAAUAAACCCUGAGUACGAGGAUGUACUCAGCUAGACUUACCCGUCUAGUAAAAUAUAAAAGACACCAAGGAUCAUGCAAGGCUAAGUAUAAAGUGUAGCUGGCUUGACUCAACAUUUGCCAAAAGCUUAAGUAGAGACUACACCAUUGUAAAAGCAUCAUAUUAAUCAUCAUUAGCCUACCACUAGAUUAGCACCUAUACUAAAACACUUCACUUGAUUAUUACAAGCAAUAAUAACCAUAUCAAGUUCAUCAUAUGUUCUUCCUUGCUAUCAUCAUUAUCACGAACCAAUGUUCUUUAGUGAAUGCUACGUUUGUCGCUGCUCUGUCAAGUUCUCACUAUCCGGGAGAGACGGCGAUUCGAAUCGAUUCCUAUCCAGCUGGAGGGUUAUUCCUAGCACUCACCCAAGCAUCCCCUGUCGGAGAGCAAGCGGGUCACCUUUGGUACGACUCAGGAAUUGCGGCUCCGAUCAGCGCCGCACUCCCAGGGCUACCACUCUGCCAGGGAGGUUAGGAAUUUUAGCUCACCUGCCUUUGGUCUUACGCCAAUGGUCCCCCGCACACCGCACUUCCUCCGGCAGUGCACACUUUAUACUUGCCGGUCUUCCGGCCUGUGUCAUACUACUAGGCUUUGCGGUCGGAAUGAGUUAUCCAGCAAACUAAGUGUUAGGCAUGCGUUCAACAUGACAAGAGGACGUACAACGAUCGGUCCUUAGCUGCCACAGAUGGAGUUACUACAACCUUGCAAAACUCCGCCUGGCUUAAGUCAAUUUAAUCAGGUUACUUUCACGAUAGCACAUAUAGACAAUCGUGAUCUGACACAACCCUAUCUCAUGCAGGUGACAGGAUAUCACCCGACUUCUACCGGUUAAAGCAUAGCUAAUCCGUUACUCGAUCCUAACUCUACAACCAGGUAGGGGUAAGAUAUCUUGGACAAGGAAUGAGUAUAAUGCAGCAAGGGUUUCAUCACAACUCCUAUAUGUAAUGCAUCAAUAGAUAUAACAUAAUCAAGUAAGCUUUCGAAAUUAAAGUGGGAGACUUAAGAUGCUCCGGAGCUUGCCUUUCACGAACGAUGCAGGCUCGUGGUUCGGGCACUCAAUCUCCUCUUCAGGCUCCUCGUGUCCGGCUUGCUGGACCUCUACCUCCGGGUUGAUCUCUUGGUCCUCGGGGUUCACUUGGAGCUCGAACGUAGCUGUCGCGUCUGGUGCACCUAUUGCAUGCACGAUAAGUAAGAAUGUGUGCAUACUAGAUGAGGAUGAAUGCUUGAUAACAUAACUAGAACUUCACUGGACACUCAUUUACUGAGCACUCUUCCAAGAUAAUUCUCAAAAGAUACUAACUUAACAAGAUUACCAAGUUAAACUGCAGCAGCAAUCAUCACAAAACAGAGCAGUUCAAGAAAUAAAUCAUAACUGGAGCUAUGCAGAUCCAACAAACAUAAAGGAGGAUAUUCUGGAAAGCUUAUGAAAGUGUAUACAUUUCAUUUUUAAACACGACAGCAAGAUUCCUAAGUUAAACAAGUCAAUUAAACAAAGUUCCAGGUUCUGUCCCAGAAAAACAGAAAGCACGUAUUUCUGGAACCUAACUUGGAAGAGCUAUAACUUUUAAACUAUUGGACCAAAUGAUCCCAAAAUUAAACCACAGCUAGUUCAUAAAGUUUAUAACAACUUUGAUUUAGACAAGUCUUCCAGCAAACCAAAUUAUCAUCAAGCAAAGGUUGGAUUACUCUCUUGCUGUCCAGGACAGCUAUAAACCUUCAAUUAAUUAUUUAAUGACAUAGCCAAAGCAUAAACAAUAUCAACCACAAGGCUUAUAAGCACAAACACACCACAAGAUUACCAGAACAUUAUAUGUUAACCUUUAAUUAUUUAUUAUCAUGGUACUUAUUAAUUUAAUUCCAUAAAGGGGCAUAGUUAUAUGAUACCAGCACAAGUGCUUAGAAAAAUCUACAACAAUUACACAAGCACAAGCAUAGCAUCUUGACACUACCACAAAAUUUUCAGAGCAAUUGCACAUGCCAAAUUCAAGAUAUGCAUUUAACAUGUGGCAAGGUGCUUAUUUCAUAAAUUAGGAAACCUAGCUUAGAUAGUGUCAAACAACAGAUUUCAGAUUAUUUACUUGUUACUAUUACCAUAAACAAGUUUGACACCAAAGUAGAGCACCAGCAUAAGCACCAAUUAAUUAUUAUGAUUUUAAAUAAGAAAACAAGCCAUAUCACAAACAUAAAUUACAUAUCAUAGAUAUAGUACUCCUAAAAUCAUGAACUAUUUAUCAUAGCAUUCCAAAGACACUCAGAGACUACCAUAAAAAUUCAUAGCAGAAGAAGCAAUAUAUCAAGAGAUAUGAAUUUACACAUAAAUAACAAGAUUAAAUUCUAAUAAUUAUUUUUCCCAGAAAACAUGGUACAUUUUAUAUUUUUAUUAAAAACUAGCCAUCUCAAGAAACAUCACAAAAUUUGUUUCACAAUUUUUGGAUCUCAGAAACUAGAGAUAUGAUUUUUACAAGAAAACCAAAAAUCUAGAUUUGAAUAAAAGAGAGGGGGAGACCGUUGAGUCACUGACAGCGGGACCCGCGCGUCAGCGACCCAGAGAACAGAGGACGCCUUCGCCAGCGAAUGCUCGCCGACGGUGAGCUUCUCCGGCAGAUCCAAGGGCACCAGCGUGCUCCUGGAGUGAUUCCGCAUCGAUGGAGGUAGGCUACACUAGGGUUACCGCAACGGAGAGGGGUCGCCGUCGGCCAUGGCGGCACGGCGGAGCUACCCCGGCUUACGCCGGCCAUCUCCGACUGGUAGAGUGUCGGGGAAGGGCGGCUUAAGCACCAGUGAGUUAGCGCGGAGCUUUCUAGGUAGAAACGCCUAACCCUAAUGGCUCCGGUGAGCCUGCUCACGUGCGAGGUGCUCGUCGGCGGUGAGCACGACGGUGCGGCGGCCGUGUUCCCGCACGAUGGUGGUACCAUGGCCUGAAUGGCGGGGCGUGAGCUGACACCAAGACCUAAGCGGACCUUAACGCGACUCAGAGGGAAGAGAGGAGGCGAGAACGGAGCAGCGGCGAGGUUCGCCGGAAUUAGGGUCGCGACGGCUGUGAACCCGACGACGACAAACUCGUGAAAUGCGGCUCACCUCAGGGAGAUCUCGUCCAACCGAGGGGUGGAGAAGAUGGAGGAGCUCGAGGCGAACUCGGAGACGCUCGGAGGCAAGGUGAGACGCAGAGAUGAGGACGCGAGGAGCUUGCGAAGCUCUCGGCGGCAAUGGCGAUGGCGCUUCCGCCGCGGAGUCGCGAGAGAGAGACAGGGAGAGAGUGGACGAGCGCUGACUGAGUGCGGUGUGUCGUGGCAUCCAUGACGACGCCGACGACCUGACGAGCGAGGCCAUCGCCAGCGUACGGGCGCCAAAUGGCGGACAGGUGUCGCGCUGGCGACCACGACGGCGAGCUCGGCUCUGAAUCAGGCAACACGAUCAACGACUGACAGAGCAACUUCGAUAGAGUUGAUCUCCCGAACCAUGGCGAAUUAGGUGAUGGUGUAGUUGACAAAGUUGGAGUGCUAGCUGAGUUCUUCAACAUUGUCAACUAGAGCAAAAGCUAGAUCAGCCUGGAUUGAGAGAUAGGAGGUUUCCAAAAUCGAUCGAGCAAACUGUUGCGUCCCCAGACUUGGAAAAUUUUUCUAAGCGUUGGAAACAGCCCCAAAUCUGCCUUGUGGGUCACUUUUGAGCUAGAUGUUCUCAUUUUCAUGAGAUGGCCAUAAAACAACUUUUGUUCCUUAUAAAAUUUUCUACAACUUUGAUGUAGAGAGUUUUGACAUGCAAACAUUUUAUGAAACACUUUUUAAAAGCUCAAGCAAAAGAGGUUUCUAGGGUCUAUACAUGGAAGCAUGACUUAAGUAAUUAUUUUGGAGAAGUGAUCAACAUGAACAUUGUUCCUAAGGUUGAGUUAAGCAUAGAUAAACUAUUUACCAAGGCAUAGCAUACAAGCAUGAGCAUGGUUCACACAAACACAAGCAUAGGAAGCAUGAUUAAACAAGCUAAAGCACAUUUAAGCAUAAAAUGACAUGGCUCAAGGUAGAUGAUGAUCAUGAUAUGCUUGAGUAGAUGAUGAUGCUCAUGUUAUGCAUGUGAUUGAUGCAACCAUAACACUGGGGUGUUACAGCCUCAGUGAGAUAUAUAAAAGAUAAUGAGUGACUUGAGAGAACCUAUGAGGAUAAAGGUAUGCUAAAUUUUUUUCAAAAAUAUACAAAAACUCCAAGUGAGAGGAUUGAGAAGAAAGGAUCUCUACUUUUGACCAUACAUUUCCCUUACUAUGGUACACAGUGAAUUUUUACAUCCUGCAGGUAUGAAGAGAAUGCGUUACAAUGUUUAACCCCAGAUAUUUUUCUUAACCAUCAUUUUCUCGAGGACGAGUAAAAGCCUAAGUAUGGGGGUAUUUGUUGACGGUUCUUAAGUAUCAAUUUUAAUUAUCAAAUAAACAAGAGAAAGGACCAAUAUGCAAACAACACCUAAAAUUAGGGUUUGAUCUGACAGAAUUCCACAAGUUUUGUUGUUUAUCUGUUUAUGCAGGGGGUUAUCAGGAAAUAAGGAAGAAAGGCCCACAUGUCGGGAUUACAUAGAGAUAUCAACGCACCGCGCAAUUUUCUACCAUCUAGAAGACUCCAGAAGCCACGGUAACAAAGCGGAGGCCGAACGGGGCCUGGCCCAGCGCGCCCGCCCUGAGGACCAUGGCGCCCGCCCCCUCUUGGACUCCAAUCGGGACUCUUUUCACGGACCAAGCUCCACCGACCUAAAGGAUCAAGAAUAAUCGUCCAAUCAAUGUCGGUUUGAUCCAACGGCUCACGUUCACUUGAGAGGACUAUAAAACCAGACCCCCUGGCCCCUGGAGGAGACAAGUUCAUCAUAGAGUUGAGAGGAGCCCUCGAAGGAAUACCUCUCCUCUAAAUAGACUUAGGGCUUAGCAUCCAAUGUGAGUAGAAUUAGAUCUUCUAGUUUCUACUAGAUUGAGAGAGAUAGAGUGGAGGUGUAGAUCAAAGGAAGCCUGGCCUGUCAGUGUCUACUCCGAGAUUGUACCUGCGGGAUCAAGUUCUCCUAACCAGAAGCUUGCUCCUAGGAUUCUUCAGUAUUUCGGCUUCUAAAUUCUAGUAAGUUCUUGUUUUAUUGUUCUUUGGUUUAUGAGUUUACUUUAAUCUCUUCGCGUAGAGUUUAGAGUAAUCAUCUCUAGCGUAGACAUGGUGUUUGGGCUAGGAUACUCAUAGAUAUUCCCUAACUAGCUAGACCAUGGUAGUAGCGAGGAACGUGACAUUUCCGAGUUACCUUUGCAAACCAUAUCUCGUUAGCAGAAAGGAUAGGGUUUAUAGGUGUAGGUUGAACAUCCUCUGUGGUGUCUAGAUUCCGUAAGCUUCCCCAAUAGAACAGUAGAUCAUCCUUACCAAGGUUGGAAAGAGAUUACGGUUGUAGUCUUCUCUAUUUAUCACUCACAUCGAGAAACAUUCUUUGUAGCUUAAAGGUUAGUAGUAAUAGACCAGGUUAGUCAGAUGCACUCUUUUCCUAGUGGUAAAAAAUACGAUACUCUGGAUAACCUCCCGGGUGAAGUGCUCACCGAUAUCCGUGCGCUUGCGGAUCCAUUCCUUAUUGCGUUCCCAAAUAUCAACAAGCAUUUCUGGCGCCGUUGCCGGGGAGAAAGACGGUUGCUGAGAUAACCUGUGUCUUGCUAUUAGCUUGUAUCUAUACUUUUAUCUUUUCUUAUCUUUUAUAUCCUUUAUUUAAUUUCUUUACUCUUACCCUAUGGAAAACCAAAACUCUAAAUCGAUCCAUGAGUCUGCAAUCCCUUUAGCAACUGACCUUUUACCAUGGGAAUCAUCACAACCUAUCCAAACAUCCCAGUAUAAGUUAAGUUCUAGGUUGAUUGCCAUGAUUCAAAACCUAUCUUUUUCGGGAAAGGAAGACGAAAACCCUUACCUUCAUAUUAGAGAUUUUGAGCAAACAUGUGAUUGUCUUCGCAUUGAAGGCAUUUCUGAUAAGACUUUACGUUGGAAGCUUUUUCCUUUUUCUCUAAGGGGAGAAGCUAGACAAUGGUACAGUCAGAAGGUAAGUCAACAACAAGGUGAAUGGGGAGUCUUACGAGCCAACUUUUGUCUAGAUUUCUAUUCCCUUGACCGUAUAGCCGACCUUAGACUCGAAGUCCUAUCUUUUAAACAAAAAGAUAAUGAAACUUUGGGAAAAUCCUGGAAACGUUUUUCUGAUCUUUUAGAAUCUGGUCCAAACCUUAAUCUUGAAGACCCUGUUCUUUUAUUUCACUUUUUUCGAGGUCUUCAGAAAAAUCACAAACAAAUGCUGCACACAAUGUCUAGAGGUUCUUUCUUUCGCAUCCCUGCUGAUAAAGCAAGAGUGAUCCUAGAUAGAAUCCUAGAAGCUGAGAUGGAUAAUACCCUUCAUGAUGAAACCUACGAAGCCGAAGUAGACACUCUGUCAAAUUCUUCAUCUACUUUAGCUAUCCCAAGUUGUGAGCCACAAGAGGAAGAAAUUUCACCACCGGACUUCAUGCUGGAUAUAGAAUCUGAUCUUUUUGCCGAUUUUGGAAAUAUUUCAAACUACCAUUCUAUUGACAAACCCCAAAACGGCCAGUUUAGCAUUUAUUUACCAAGUGAAUAUCAAUUGAGAGAGCUUAUCUCAGUAAUGAGUAGCGAAUGGUUGGAGGAAUCAGAGCUUUCCUCUGAUGUGAUCCGUUUGGACACACCCUCUAUAACUAUACGUUGUGCUUAUAAUUCUGAUCGAUUUAAUGCUCUUUAUAAUCCUGUUGUGGGGAUCAACAUUAUGUCUGAAUCUUUUGCACUUAAACUAUUUAAAAAUCUUGUCUUAACCCCCACAACAAAGAUCAUAAAGGAAUCUUCGGGACGAUUAGUCCCCAGUCUUGGAAUUAUUAAUGUCCUACCUCUUACGGUAGAAGGCUCCAUGGUUCAUUUGAACUUCUAUAUCUUUGAUACAUGGGACUUCGACCUGUUAAUAGGACAACCUUUUAGAAGACUCCUUUAUGAAGGUCAUACUGGAAAGCUACACAUUUCUUUUGGAAAAACUUUUCAAUUCCCUAUGAUAAUUUCACACUCCUUAAAUAAUAAGGCCGAGUCAUAUCUUUUGCCUGAUCCUAUGGAGGAAGUAAAGGCUGCAUCUCUAGAGCUUUUAGAUGAAUCAGACUUAGAAGACGAAACUCCUUUCUUCACAAAAGAAGAAGACAAACCUUCUGAGCCUGAACAAUUAAACGAGUUUGCAGAAACACCUAGACCCCCCAUAGAACUUAAAACUUUACCACCCGGUCUUACCUAUGCUUUCCUAAACAAUAAUCCAGAGUUCCCUGUGAUCAUUAGCGAUAAACUCACUCAGGAUCAAACUUUGCGAUUAAUGACCAUUCUUGAGAAACAUCACUCAGUAUUCGGCUACUCACUUCAAGAUCUUACAGGAAUCAGUCCUAUGAUUUGUACCCAUCGUAUUCCAAUAGAUCCUUCUGUUACACCCUCUCGAGAACCCCAACGUAGACUUAACAACACUAUGAGAGAGGUAGUUAAAAAGGAAGUUAUAAAGUUGCUGCAUGCAGGGAUUAUAUAUCCUGUGCCGCACAGUGAGUGGGUGAGCCCAGUCCAAGUUGUGCCCAAAAAGGGAGGCAUGACAGUUAUUAUGAAUGAAAAGAAUGAGCUAAUUCCGCAACGCACCGUCACAGGAUGGCGGAUGUGCAUAGACUAUAGAAAACUAAACAAAGCCACGAGAAAAGAUCACUUUCCUUUACCUUUUAUAGAUGAGAUGCUAGAGCGGUUAGCAAACCAUUCAUUCUUCUGUUUCUUAGAUGGAUAUUCAGGGUAUUAUCAAAUCCCGAUCCAUCCUGAUGAUCAAAGCAAAACCACUUUUACAUGCCCUUAUGGAACUUAUGCUUACCGUAGAAUGUCUUUCGGGUUAUGUAAUGCACCAGCUUCUUUUCAAAGAUGCAUGAUGUCUAUAUUUUCUGAUAUGAUUGAAGAGAUUAUGGAAGUUUUCAUGGAUGAUUUCUCUGUUUAUGGAAAAACUUUUGAUAGUUGUCUUGAAAACUUAGACAAGGUUUUGCAAAGAUGUGAAGAAAAGCACUUAAUCCUUAAUUGGGAAAAAUGUCAUUUUAUGGUUAGGGAAGGAAUAGUGCUAGGACACUUAGUGUCUGAAAGAGGUAUUGAGGUAGACAAAGCUAAAAUUGAAGUAAUUGAACAACUACCUCCACCUGUGAACAUAAAAGGAAUUCUAAGCUUUCUUGGCCAUGCUGGUUUUUAUCGUAGAUUCAUAAAAGAUUUUUCAUUUAUUGCUAGACUACUUACUCUUUUGCUAGCCAAGGAUGCUCCUUUCGAAUUUGAUGAUGCAUGUCUAACAUCUUUCAAUUUAUUAAAGAAAGCACUCAUCUCUGCACCAAUCAUUCAACCCCCUGAUUGGUCGUUGCCUUUUGAAAUUAUGUGUGAUGCUAGUGAUUAUGCUGUGGGGGCAGUAUUGGGGCAAACUAAAGAUAAGAAGCAUCAUGCAAUUGCUUAUGCUAGUAAAACUUUGACAGGAGCUCAAUUUAACUAUGCAACCACUGAAAAAGAGCUUCUGGCUGUUGUCUUUGCCAUAGAUAAAUUUAGAUCUUAUUUAGUUGGAGCUAAAAUAAUUGUUUACACUGAUCAUGCUGCACUAAAAUAUUUGCUCACUAAAAAAGAUGCUAAACCUCGCCUGAUUAGAUGGAUUUUAUUACUCCGAGAAUUUGACUUAGAAAUAAAAGAUAAAAAGGGAGUAGAAAAUUCUGUUGCUGAUCACCUAUCUAGAAUGUAUUUUAAGAGUCCACAGGAAACCCCAAUCAAUGAUUCACUCCGGGACGUCAUGCUCUACGGGAUUAACAGGUCUGACCCCUGGUAUGCAGAUAUUGUUAAUUUUAUGGUUUCAGGGUAUGUACCACCAGAAGCAAACAAGAAGAAGCUUAUUCAAGAAAGUCGUUCACAUAUAUGGGAUGAGCCAUAUCUCUUCCGAGUAUGCUCUGACGGCUUACUCAGGAGAUGUAUGACCACUGAAGAAGGAUGGAAGAUCAUCGACAGAUGUCAUUCAUCACCAUAUGGAGGUCACUAUGGAGCAUUCCGUACACAUUCAAAGAUCUGGCAGUGUGGAUUCUACUGGCCUACAAUGUAUGAAGACACGAAGCAAUAUAUCAGAAGAUGUGGGCCAUGUCAAAGGCACGGAAACAUAAAUACAAGGGAUGCAAUGCCACUCACCAACAACCUUCAGAUUGAGCUCUUUGAUGUCUGGGGAAUAGACUAUAUGGGUCCAUUUCCUCCAUCAAAGAAGUGUGAGUACAUUUUGGUGGCGGUUGACUAUGUCUCCAAGUGGGUAGAAGCAUUACCUUGCAAGCAUGCCGACAACGUCAGUUCAAAGAGGAUGUUUGAAGAAAUUAUAUUUCCAAGAUUUGGAGUCCCCAGAGUAGUGAUAAGUGAUGGAGGAGCACGCUUCAUCGACAAACGCUUCAAGCAAUAUCUAUCAAGACAUGGAAUCCGUCACAACAUCGCUACCCCUUAUCAUCCUCAGACAAGUGGCCAAGCAGAGACUUCCAACAAACAAAUCAAGAAUAUUCUUCAGAAGACAGUAAAUGAAAUGGGAACAGCGUGGAAAGACAAGUUACCCGAUGCACUCUGGGCAUACCGGACAGCAUACAAUACCCCAAUUGGAAUGUCUCCAUACCAAUUGGUGUACGGGAAGACUUGCCAUCUACCUGUUGAACUAGAAUUCAAAGCACACUGGGCCAUAAAGAGAUGGAAUAUGGACCUAGAUGUUGCUGGAGAUUAUAGAAGAAUGAAAUUAUCAGAAUUGGAAGAAUGGCGAGAGAAGGCAUAUCACAAUUCAAAGAUCUACAAAGAAAGAGUCAAGAGGUGGCAUGACAAGAGAAUCAAGAAGAAGAAGUUCACACCCGGAGAUAAGGUAUUACUUUUUAAUUCCAGGGUAUAGCUUUUUGGGCAUGGAAAACUCCGGAGCAAAUGGGAAGGACCAUUCAAGGUAAUCAAUUCAUCAUCCCACGGAGCUAUCACACUUCAAAACAGCGAAGGUACGUUAUUCAAGGUAAAUGGUCAACGUCUUAAAUUAUUUUUAGAGCCCAAUGAGGAAUUUGAAGAAAUAGACGUAGUCCAUUUUUACCUUCCCAUGGAGAAUUAGAGCCCGACACUUUUGGUCUGAUGGUUUUGGGGCAUAUAUAUAUUUUUCUAAAUAAUUUCGCAUCUAGAAACGUGCUCGGAGAAGUGGGCCCACAGAGGGGCCAGAGAGAGGGCGGGCGCCAAGGUCAAGUGGGCGGGCGCCCAGCCCCUGUUCCCCCUCGGUCCCGACUUUCUCUGUUAUGGAAAAUGCACUUAGGGUGAUCCGAAUAAUCCCUCGGAUGGAAAGUUUCGCACGCACAUCGACGGGAGCAACCCGAACAACCCAUAGAGGCAUCCUUUUGACCCCUAUAUAAACAGACCCCUGACCUCAGUUUUCAAACACCAAGCCACCAAGCUUUCUCUCCUUCAAUUAGAGCUUGAUUAGCUCUCCUUUAAUUAGAGCUUAAUUAGCUCUACUUCAAUUAAAAUUUUAUUAGUUCCUUGCUACUCCAAUGGCCGACAAGUACCACGACGAUUGGGAAGUCGUCCCCUUCAACCUCAACAUGGAGCCAGUGGAAGACCCCGAUGCCCGUGCUCUCGUCCCGGCCAACACAGAGCGUCAGCUAGAAGCCAUGCCAUUACGUCAACGCAGCUCCGCCCAAUCUUACCAUGCUCAACCAGUUCUCACCGCACCACCACAACCCCUACUCCUCAAAGGACCAUCAUCCAAGACGAAGACCCCUAUCAAGGUGCCAAUCGGCACAAGGAUCCUUCCACCUAGACCCAAUGAGAGGGUCGUUGGAGUCAAGACCAACCGGAGCGACGAGAUCAGCAGCGUACGCUACACUUCAGAGGAGGAAAGGCCUUACUUUGAAGGGAUUAGAGCAGCCAAAGUCCGUUUCAUCCCUCCAAAGGCAGCCCCGAAGCAUGCUCUCAACGCUUUUGAGACACCUCCCAAGCGUCGCAAGACUAUAAUGGAUAUUGAUGAGGAAGUUCGCAGGCUAGAUAGAAUUAUCAUAGACCUCCAGUCCUCAAUUAAUUCCCUCACUAGGCAGCUCUCUAACCACAACACCAUUAUACUAGGCCUUAGGCAGGAUCUUGCCAGUGCCAACAAGAAGAUCAAGGAAUUAGAGCGCCGCUAAGUUAUCUAGAUUAGACCUUGAGGCAAUGCAUCUUAGUCAUCUAUCUUUAAAUUCGGUUUAAGUUUGCUAUUAUUAUUAGUUUGCUAUCAGUUUGUUAUCAGUCUUUUGUACUAAAUGCCUCAAUAUCAAUAAAGAGUACUACUAUUAUUAUUAUUAUGUCUUGUGUGUCUCUACUUUAUUUUUGUGCAAGAAAGCAGAAAACAAGUAUGGGGGAGAUCCCUCAACAUGCCAAACACACUCCGACUACACCACUCCACGAUUCAGGUACACACUCUGCACACUUUACUUCAUACAUACAUUUAUUUUGAAUUAUGCAGAUUACUGUUUCCGACAUGAUAAAAUAAAAAGAUUAAAAUAUUUCUAAUCAUGAUUAAUCUCAAUCUGUGAUAUUUCCUGAAAACUUACAAUUAUUAUAAAAUCAUUUUAAAACCCUGUGUUACUUAAGUCAAUAUGGAAUAUGUGAUGGUAGAGUAUGAGUUUCUUAUUCUUGAUAUCAUUGUUGCUUGGAGAAUUUAUUUCAAAAUAUUCAAAAUUCUAGCUGCCAUCCUCAGUGUUUUAUAUGCCUGAUAAAAAUAAAAAUAUUAAUUAUGAUUAUAAAAGCUAUCUACUCUGUAUUGAGUUUGUUCAAAAUGAGUUAGACCCUUGUUGAGAGAUUUAUCAUGCUCCCAAGAUCAAGACACUAUUUCAGUAAGAUUCACUCUUCCGAAGUAUUAUUGCAUUAGAGGCAUGGGCUAUGCAAAAAUAAAAAUAUUUCGAGGAAAUAAAAAGGAGCAAGUGCUCGACAACCUCGCAGAAAAAAAUGGACAAGUGUCCGGUAGUAGAAUUAGGGGUACCUCGGUAUCCACUUAAAAAAAUGAUAGCCCAUGGUCCCUCUAAUAAGCAAUAUGCCAGCAAGAGUUGACAAAGUUUUUAAUUUUCAAAGUCUUUGAUCUAAGAGUAUGACAUUCCCCUCCUCGGAUUCCGUUUUGAUCAGGCAAUAAAUGCAAAGUAAGUAUGCUUGAGAAUUUUUGCAAAAUAAAACAGCCUCAGUGAGAUCUAUAUAAAAGAUAACGAGUGAUCUGAGAGAACCUAUGAGGAUAAAAAGGUAUGCUAACUUUCUUUCAAAAAUAUACAAAAACUCCAAGUGACAGGAUCGAGAAGAAAGGAUCUUUACUCUUAAUCAUAAACUUCCCUGACUAUGGUACACAGUGGAAUUUUAACACCCUGCAAUUAUAUAAAGAGAAUGCUUUAAAAUGUUUACCCCAGAUAUUGUUCUUAACCAUCCUUUUCUCGAGGACGAGUAAAAGCCUAAGUAUGGGGGUAUUUGUUGACGGUUCUUAAGUAUCAAUUUUAAUUAUCAAAUAAACAAGAGAAUGGACCAAUAUGCAACCAUCACCUAGAAUUAGGGUUUGAUCUGAAAGAAUUCCACGAGUUUUGUGGUUUAUCUAUUUCUGCAGGGGGUUAUCAGGAAAUAAGGAAGAAAGGCCCACAUGUCGGGAUUAAAUAGAGAUAUCAACGCACCGCGCAAUUUUACUUCAUCUAGAAGACUCCAGAAGCCACGAGACCGAAGCGGAGGCAAAACUGGGCCAGGCCCAGGGCGCCCGCCCUGGAAGGCUGGGCGCCCGCCCCCUGCUGGAGCCAAAUCAGGACUCUUUUGUUCGGGAUAUUCCACCGACCUAUUGGAUCAAGAAAAACAUAGUACCACCUCGGCUAUCGACCCAAAAACGCAUAGAAGGGGAGGACUAUAUAAGCAAGGCCCCCCUGGCCCCUGGAGAAGACAUGAAGAAAUUAUCAUAGAGACUGAGGGGUGCCCUCGAAGGAAAAGCUCUUCUCUAAUUAAUAUUUCUUUUUAGGCUUAGCAAUCAAUGUAAGGUAGAAAUAGAUCUUCUAGUUUCUACUAGAUUGAGAGAGAUAGAGUGGAGGUGUAGAGUGGAGGAUGCCCGGCCUGUCAAUGUCUACUCCAAGCUUGUACCUGCGGUAUCAAGUUCUCCUAACCCGAAGCUUGCUCCUAGGAUUCUUCAGUAAUUCGACUUCUAAAUUCUAGUAAGUUCUUGUUUUAUUGUUCUUAUGGUUUAUGAGUUUACUUUAAUCUCUUCGCGUAGAGUUUAGAGUAAUCAUUGCUAGCGUAAACGUGGUGUUUAGGCUGGGGUACUCAUAGAUAUUCCCUGACUAGCUGGACCGUGGUAGUAGUGAGGAACGUGACAAUUCCGAGCUACCUUUGUAGAUCACAUCUCGUUAGCAGGAAGGAUAGGGUUUAUAGGUGUGGGUUGAACAUCCUCUGUGGUGUCUAGAUUCCGUUAGCCUCCCCAUUAGAAUAGUAGAUCAUCCUUACCAAGGUUAGAAGGAGACUACGGUUGCAGUCUUCUCUAUUUAUCACUCACAUCGAAAGACAUUCUUUGUGCCUAAAGGUUAGUCGUAAUAGACCGGUUAGUCAGAUGCACUCUUUCUCCUAGCGGUAAAAAAAUAAAUACGAUACUCUGGAUAACCUCCCGGGUGAAGUGCUCACCGAUAUCCGUGCGCUUGCGGAUCAAUUCCUUAUUGCGUUCCCAAAUAUCAACAACGUCAACUCUUAUUAGAACUUUAGACAUGAAAGGAUACAUGAAUACCCGCUAGUCUAGGGUUUUAACUGACAAUUUCUAUAAGUUUUGCAUGUUUCGUAUUUCCCAGAGAUUAUUCCAGAAAAACGUAAAAGAAGGAUUAGAGUGCAUAAUUAUCACGAAACUUAUCUGCGAUGGAAAAUAUCGUCAUCAGGCUCACGAAGGGUCUAGAAGUCACCCAAAGGAACGAGACCCACAGAGGAGAGGUGGGGCCGGCCGGCCCCACCCUAGGGCCGGUCGGUGCCCUAUUUCGCCCGAUGGCCGCCGCCUUAUGGAGUCUUCCUCCUACGCCUCCUUGGAAGCCAAGCAAAAAGUAUCCCUCCAUCGAUUUUAAGUUAGUUUGAACCGACGGUGCACACAAGUUGAAGACCCGGAUCGCUGACGUGGCAGUUCCUUGCCCCCUACUUGUGGGGGUAUAAACCCCUAUACCCUUACGGCUAGACUUCGGCCAGAAGGCUUGGUCCAUUACGAGACGAGUUCAAGGCUUGAUCCGACAACCUGGAGUUUCGCGCAAGGAAACAAGAUGUGGAGAUCAAGCAGGAUUCUAGUCGGUUAGAAUAGGAAUUGACAUCGAAUUAUCCAUGGCAAUUGUAACCGACUAGGAUUAGUUUCCAGAUCUGUAACCCUGCCCUCCAGACUAUAUAAGGAGGGGCAAGGGACCCCCCUAGGACAUCAUAUUCUCUCAACACAAAUCAAUACAACCAGACGCAGGACGUAGGUAUUACGCCAACUCGGCGGCCGAACCUGGAUAAAAAGCUUGUCCGAGUCUUGCGUCACCAUCGAGUUCGUAGUUUGCGCACCGUCUACCGAUAAACUACUACCGUGGGUAUACCCCAAGGUAGACUGCCAACUAGCUUUCGUCGACAGUGGCGCGCCAGGUAGGGGGUGUGCGUGCAACUUUUCCGGCGAACAAGAUGGUCACGAUCCCAGCUUCUGCGACCGUGCCCGAAGGCCUCACGUUCACCGUUGGCCAGAUCACGUGGACGACGUGCAGCGGCGGCUUCGCGACCACGGUUCCGAAAGAGAUCCAGAUCCAAUCUGAGAUCACGCCGUCUUCGACCACACGCAUGACGGCACCAAGCUCCCGACCACCGUUCCCACUCUACAAGGGAAAGGAGAUCGACUGCUCGGACCUCCUCCAAGCGCUCGAUCGCGCUGACUCCAAGCUACUCGAAGUCUCCCAACUAAUAGAUGGAGUUCUGCGCCGGCCCGACCAAGCUGCUCGAGCGGAUUUUUCGAAAUCCCGCCGGCCAACUCGUGUCGCCACACACGAACGGCUGGGAACGUCCCUGACGAUAACCUCAAGCCCCUCAAGACGAUCCGUCGAGCUCAAAAAGGAAGACUAUCCUUGCGGCCUGAACAACUCGGCCUCUGUUUACUCACAGCAUGUCCAAUCCGUUUUCAGCAAGGCGGGUUGGUCGCCGACAAGGGACAAUCGUCACCAUGUCAACAUGGUGACAAUCCAAGAGCUACGGGACGGCCAGGUUUCCAGCACCAACUCAAGCACCGGCUCCGUCCCCACCGAGGUUAUAAACACCGAAGACGAGGGCUACGACCUGGAUUUUCCUUCACACCCUCCGGGUUUCGACCGAUUCCCGAUAUUCCCCCCCCCGGCGAGGGGAUAUUGUGUUCAAUGUCAGCGCCGACGAACCGGCUGUUGACGGAGAAACAGAUGACCAGAGGCAACUCCGCGAACAGCGUAACGCCGAUCGCGCCCGACGGCGUGCGGACGAGCAACAACAGAUGCCACCAAGUAACCUCAACGAUGCCUUUGACAUGGUCGGGGACCAGCCGGUCUACAAAACGCCAAGCGCCAACGUGGCUGUCGCCAUGGCCAACCUGGAUCGGCUUCCUGACACCCCCGAAUGCCAGGGAGUCCGGACCAGCAUCCGAGCACACCUGAUCGCUGCAAUGGGACAGACAGCCACUCUGCUCAAGAGAGUCCAGGACGUCUCUUAUACGGAAGCCGCCUCCGACCAGACUAAUCGUAGCCAGGUCUCACCCAGCAGGCGUCACCGCAGCCGCUCCCCCGACAACCGUCGAGGGGACUCGCGGCGCGACGAUGGUGGUCGGGACGCCGAUGGCCGCCGCAAGCAAAUUCAUGGCGUACGCGGCCAAGAAGAAGAUCAACACAGGGAUCUCCGCCACAACAUCCCUCCCAAAGAUGCCCGGGACCGCAUCAACAGGCGCGCCGCAGAGAGAGCAGUCCACGAAAACCUGCGCCGCAUCGAGUACGAUGCGACCCACGGUCCUCCGGGCCUAAGGCAGUUCUCCUCACACCUCCGCCAGGUCGUGUGGCCCCGCAAUUUCAAGCUCGAAAAACUUAAAAAAUACGACGACAAGGAAAAUCCAGAGAACUGGAUCACUCUCUAUGAAAUCGCCGUCCGAUCAGCGGCAGGAGAUGAGCACGUCAUGGCUGACUACUUCCCCGUAGUCCUUGACCAGGCUGGUCAUCAGUGGCUUCUCGGCUUGCCCGAGGACUCCUUCGACUCUUGGGAAGAGCUACGACAGGCUUUCAUCGACAACUUCAUUGCCACAUGCGAGCAGCCCGGAAACAAGUAUGACCUUGAAAGGAUAAGAGACAGGAAGAAUGAACCUCUGCGCGAUUACAUCCGACGAUUCUCGGAUAUGCGCCUCAAAAUCCCGAAGAUUUCUCAUGACGAGGCCAUAUCAGCCUUUAUCAAGGGCUUGCGUUUCCAUGAAGCGCUGAGGAACAAGCUGCUGCGUAAGCGCCCAUCAACGGUAGCAGAGCUCCUCGCCACGGCUAAAAAUUACGCCGAUGCUGAUGACGCAGAAAAACUAAUCCGAGACGAUGCGAGAGGCCCCGACCAGCCUUCCCGGCGAGAUGACGGUCGUGGUCGCUACGACAACAGAAAUCACCACCGCUCCGACAACCGCGAUCACCGAGAGGGUUGGGAUCGGCGGCGCGACAGCCGCGACGACUUCAGAGGAAAGCGCCCUCGCGAAUACGACCACGAAGUAAAUACGGUCAAACGUCCCAAUGGACGACGGGACUACCAAGACGACUACAACAAAACGUUGAAGGGACCGUGCCAGCUACACCCAAAGUCUAACCAUACCAUGGAAGAGUGCCGCGUCCUCAAAAGUAUCUAUACACGGCGGGCCGCCCAAGAGGACUCCGCCAAGAAAAAUAACAAGCGCGACGGGCACGACCACGAAGAUGAGGAUGAGGACCAAGACAGGGACCCCCGACACCAAUACGUCAGCCCCACUGACGUGGUCCACUCCAUUUUCGGGGGCAAGGUCUCCACUGAGUCCAAGCGAGAAAGAAAGCUGUUAAAGAGAGCCUGCCUCAACAUAGACAGCACGGACGGGCUGAUCGCAGAUCCGAAAUUUCCCGCAUGGUCCCACAGGGAGAUCUCGUUCAGUAGGAAGGACCAGUGGGCCGCUAUCCCAGAGCCGGGUCGUUUCCCACUGAUUCUUGAUCCCUGCAUCAAUAGCAUCAGAUUCGAGCGCGUGCUCGUGGACGGGGGAAGCUCCAUCGACAUCCUCUUCCGCAACAGCCUGCCCGCCCUCAAGAUAUCACCGGCACAACUAAAACCUUACGACGCCCAAUUCUGGGGGGUUUUGCCAGGUCAAAGUUCGGUGCCCCUCGGACUGAUAACAUUGCCUGUCCAAUUCGGCACACCCGAUCACUUCCGGACGGAGUUCAUCAACUUCGUAGUCGCGGAUUUUGACGGGACCUAUCACGCCAUACUGGGCCGCCCAUCGCUGACAAAGUUCAUGGCAGUCCCGCACUACUCAUACCUAGUCCUUAAGAUGCCCACGGAGAAGGGUGUCCUAACCGUCAGAGGCAACGUCUACACCGCGUACACCUGCGAAGAAGAAAGCUUCAAGAUCACCGAGGCAAUCAACCUCUCAAUCCGCAUGGCGGAAACAGCAAACCAGGCCGCACAGCUGCCUCCCGACCAGCUCCGAUUACCUGAGCAGGAGACAGCCAGAAAGAACUCGAAAUCCAAGGAGUACAAAGAAGUGCAGCUGGUCGAAGGCAACCCCGAGAAGACAGCCCUCAUCGGGGCUAACCUGGAUCCAAAAUAGGAAGACGCGCUCGUCAGGUUUCUAAGGGACAACGUGAGCGUUUUCGCAUGGAAACCCGCAGACAUGCCCGGUGUCCCACGAAACCUGAUCGAGCACUCCUUAAAUGUCUCGAAGACCGCAAGACCAAUCAAGCAAAAACUGCGACGGUUCGCUCGUGACAAAAAGGAGGCUAUUAGGACAGAAAUAACACGGCUUCUAGCAGCCGGAUUCAUAAAAGAAGUGUAUCACCCCGAUUGGCUCGCCAAUCCGGUUCUUGUACGCAAAAAGAAUAAUGAAUGGAGAAUGUGCGUUGAUUACACCGAUCUCAACAAACACUGUCCUAAAGAUCCUUUUGGUCUUCCUCGCAUCGACGAGGUGGUCGACUCAACGGCCGGAUGCGAACUCCUCUCCUUUCUAGACUGCUACUCUGGUUAUCACUAGAUCUCGCUAAAGGAAGAAGAUCAGAUCAAAACAUCCUUCAUCACACCCAUCGGCGCAUACUGCUACACUACCAUGUCUUUCGGACUUAAAAACGCCGGGGCCACUUAUCAAAGGGCCAUCCAGCAAUGCCUCCACGACGAGAUUCGCGACGACCUCGUCGAGGCCUAUGUGGACGACGUGGUCGUAAAAACAAGGGACGCGAGCACCCUAAUUGAUAACUUAGACCGAACCUUCAAGGCACUCAAUAGGUACAAGUGGAAGCUCAACCCCAAGAAAUGCAUUUUCGGCGUUCCUUCCGGUCUACUGCUCGGCAACGUCGUCAGUCGCGACGGCAUACGACCAAACCCUUCAAAAGUCAAAGCCGUACUCGACAUGCGACCACCGAAAAACGUCAAGGAUAUUCAGAAGCUAACCGGAUGCAUGGCCGCCCUCAGUCGUUUCAUCUCAAGGCUAGGAGAAAAAGGCCUCCCUUUCUUCAAACUAUUGAAAGCGUCAGAAAAAUUUUCUUGGACAGAGGAAGCCGACGCUGCGUUCACUCAGCUUAAGACCUUCCUCACUUCACCACCUGUCCUCACAGCGCCUCAGCCCAAUGAAGACCUACUCCUUUACAUUGCUGCAACCGACAGGGUUGUCUCCACGGCAAUAGUGGUCGAGCGAGAUGAACCAGGUCACGUCUUCAAGGUCCAGAGACCCGUUUACUUCAUAAGCGAAGUCUUAAACGAGUCCAAGGCCAGGUACCCACAAAUACAGAAGCUUAUAUACGCCAUCCUGAUAACGUCAAGAAAGCUGAAGCACUACUUCGAUGGCCAUCGAGUCCUGGUGACAACCAGCUUUCCUCUCGGGGACAUCCUGCGCAAUAAAGACGCCAAUGGCAGAAUCGUGAAAUGGGCAAUGGAAUUAUGUCCAUUUUCCCUGGAGUUCCAGAGUCGCACCACUGUCAAGUCUCAAGCCCUGGUCGAUUUCAUUGUCGAAUGGACGGAUCUCAACGAGCCUUCCGUUCCCGAUGUCUCAGACCACUGGUCAAUGUUCUUUGACGGGUCCCUGAACAUCAACGGUGCAGGCGCUGGGAUAUUGUUCGUAUCACCCAACAAGGACAAACUCCGUUACGUCCUUCGGAUCCUUUUUCCGGCGUCAAACAACGUCGCCGAAUACGAAGCAUGCUUGCAUGGCAUACGACUAGCCGUUGAACUGGGGGUCAAGCGCCUCUAUGUCUAUGGCGACUCCGCUUUGGUCAUCAACCAGCUCAACAAGGAGUGGGACGCAACCCACGAGAAGAUGGAUCUCUACUGCAAAGAAAUUCGCAAAUGGGAAACUAACUUCUAUGGCAUAGAGUACAUCCACGUGGUCCGGGAUAAGAACCAAGCAGCAGAUGCGUUGUCAAAGUUAGGCUCAUCUCGGGCCCAAAUCCCGCGGGGCAUUUUCGUCCAGGACAUCCAUGAGCCGAGCGUGAGCUCCCCCCUGGUCGACAUGCAACCCGCCGAGGCAAUGCUCAUAUAUGAUGCCACUCCGACAAACGGUGGGCGUGAUUGGCGUACCCCGUUCAUCAAAUACAUAUCAGACGGGACUGGCUUUCAGGACAAAACAGAGAACGAGCGCCUCAUCCGACGAUCAAAGAACUACAUCCUGGUCGACGGAAAACUCAUGCGGAAAAACGCAAGCUCCGAAGUACUGCUCAAGUGCAUACCCCAAGAUGAUGGUAUCAAGCUCUUGGAGGACAUACACGCUGGAUCCUGCGGCAAUCACGCCGCAUCUAGAACGCUGGUCGGAAAGGCUUUCCGAGCAGGUUUUUAUUGGCCAACCGCGGUCGGCGACGCAGAAAAACUGGUUCGGCAUUGUGAAGGAUGUCAGUUUUUCGCUAAGAGGACCCACGUACCUGCCCAUGAAAUUCAAACCAUCCCGUCGUCUUGGCCCUUUGCUUGCUGGGGGCUUGACAUGAUCGGACCAUUUAAACCAGCCCCGGGCAAUUUCAAGUUUGUCUUCGUGUUAAUCGACAAGUUCUCCAAGUGGAUUGAAUACAUGCCCCUGGUCAAGGCAACCUCCGAGAAGGCUGUGGAGUUCCUCAAUCAAAUCAUGCACAGAUUCGGCAUCCCGAACAGCAUAAUCACCGACCUGGGCACUCAGUUUACUGGCACCACUUUUUGGGAUUUCUGCGAUGACAGAGGCAUAGUCAUAAAAUAUGUGUCAGUGGCACAUCCACGUGCCAACGGUCAAGUCGAACGUGCUAACGGAAUGAUCGUUGACGCCCUAAAGAAAAGGCUGUACACCGAAAACGACAGAGCACCCGGUCGAUGGAUGAAAGAAUUGCCGGCAGUGGUUUGGGGCCUCCGAACCCAGACCAGUCGAAACACAGGGGUGUCUCCUUACUUCAUGGUGUACGGUGCAGAGGCGGUCCUGCCGUCUGACAUACACUUCGGAUCUCCUAGAAUCGAGCACUUCGACCAGGCGACCGCCGACAACGCCAGAGAACUUGAAAUCAAUUGCAUGGAGGAAAAGCGUUUAGUUUCAUGUCUCCGAACAGCAAAAUAUCUCGCGGCAGUCAGGCGAUACUACAACAGGAACGUCAAGGACCGUUCCUUCGUGGUCGGCGAUCUGGUGCUUCGAUGGAAAACAAGCCAGGAGGGAAUGCACAAGCUAUCCACUCCCUGGGAAGGACCCUUCGUGGUGACCGAGGUCACACGACCUACGUCCUACAGAUUGGCAUACCCAGACGGAACACGAGUGCCUAACUCUUGGCACAUCGACAAACUGCGACGUUUCUAUCCAUAAAGUUUUAAUGACUUUCUUUUGUAAGUAUCUUAUAAUUUUUGAUAAUGAAAUUCUCUAUUUUUUGCCUAUACCUUGUCACACACAGCACUCGGCAAAACUCCUGCAAUGGAUGCUCUUAGCGACAACCAAGACAAAUACGGUGACACGUCACUCAGAUAUUCUUACAGCGCUCAAAACAACAGUCAUGACAAAAAGUAAACUUUAUUACAAACUUUACAUACAAAGUUUACAAUAAAUACCCUGACGGGCAGACACUAGUCUAUUCCUACAGACUACUUUAUUGGCCUAGCUGCUCGGGCUGAUCACCCGCCUGGCCCUGCUGCCCGGACGAAGGGGUCGGGGCCACCGGCGCCUGGCUGGUCGAGACCGCAGGCGUCGACCGCCCAUCUCCCGCAAAGGACGCGCCCGACAACUCCCUGGCCGACCUAUCUGAACUCGGCUGGUCUGGAGGAGUGGCCGUUCCGCACAGAUUGAUGUCGCCGAUCACCGUCGACGACAAGUCCAGCAGACUACCCCGAAGCUCGUCCGCGUCCUGCGGGCCGACUUCCUUCGGGUACCCCUUCUCCAGCCUGCUCAAGUCGACUAGGGGGUAGUGGGCGCGCACCAUGCUGAGGACGUGCGCGCCGGCAAACUCCCCGGCGUCCUUCACGAACUGCUGGAGCCAGUCCCACGCCCGUUGCGCCUUCUCGACCGGGGUCAACUGCGGCGCGCGGGGCUGGCUCUCCGGGAGCUCGGGACUGAUCAGGUCUAGGACCGGGGACACUCCUUUCCAGAUCCUGCAACAGUUGACCUUCCAGGAGUCCCGGUCCUUGAUCAGAUCAUCCAGGUGCUUUUUGGCGUUCACCUUGAGCACUGCAAACGAAACGAAGCGUUAUUUUCGGCAUAAAAAAGGGGCAGGUAGCAACCAACAAGGCGGCACCCAUUACCAGAUAGCUCCUGGUCUUUUCGACCCAAUUCCUCUUCUGCUCGCCGCCCGGACUCCAGCGCACCGGCGAGCUGUUGGCUGAGCUGCUCCUUCUCUUGUCGGAGGCUCGCCACCUCCUCCUCCAAGUCUGCGUGAAUCCUAAACUGGUCAGCAAAGCAAACUAUACAAGUACGCGAAGCUGCUCGGAGCGUGUGACUAACCUUCUUGUAGCCGGUACUGGUCGGCCAAGCGACGAGCGAGGUCGAGACGACGCUCCUUUUCGGCACUCAUCUCGACCACCUUCUCCCCGACCUCCGCCCGCAACCGGUCUACCUCCGCGGCAAGGGCCUUGUUCUCGGCCAUGACGCCUUCUAUCUGGUCAAAGCACCGUUUCCGGUACUUCGCCGUUUUCAUUGCGUCCUACAAAGCAAGCUUAUAACGACCAUGCAAGACAAGGCAAAAGAAUGUGCAGCAGUACAAAAAGCCGCUUACCUUGACUUCGUCGACGAGGCGCUUGGCCGCGCGCUCCACCCUGGCGGCCUCUUCGGUCUCGGCGAGCUCCUCAUGCCCGAUAAAGUGAUCCCCGCGUUGGCGCCACACAUACACGUGUUGGCGGCCAUCACGGGGACGACCCUCGAUCUCUUCCACCUCAUCAUCGGAGGCCGCCCGGGUUUCCUCCUCCUGUGCUGCGUCACCCCCGGUGGUGGUCCCAGGUAUUACUGGCCCUUGGACCAGACCUGGGGAGCCCGCAGCCGAAGAGGCUCCUGCUCGGGGCGGCGUGUGGACUUCACUCCCCCCGGCAGGAGGAGCGGUCGGAGAUCUUCCCUUCUCUGAGGAGUCAGUUGGGGGAGCCUCUCCAGCCCUGGUCGGGCUGCUUGUCGUAGUCGGUGCCGCGCUCGGGAGCCCCUCGGUGCUCCCAGGCGCGACUGCAGCUGUUGGCUGCUCUGUGGUCUGGGGAGCCGCAUCCCCAGAACCGCGGGCAGGCUCGCCCGUUCCCUGGCUGGCAGUUUGGCCGGGGUCGACAUCCGAUGCCGCACUACAGGAACAAAAGUCAAAUUUCAAAAAAAAAGUCAAAGAGGAGUCCAAAAUACGUAAGUCGAACACUUACAGGUCUGACCGACGGUGGGUCGCGGUGAACCUCCUCCUCGCUCGGCCGGUCGGCACCUGUGCCCCCAUCUCGACAGCUUGCGGGGCAGCGGCGCCGCUGGCCACUCGAUCAGUGGCGACCGGCGCAGUGUCUGGGCGGCUCCGAGGCCGUCGGACCAACGACGGCGCAGCUUCCUCGUCGUCGUCGUCGUCGACGAUCCGCACGAGCCGACGACGCUUCGGCGCUCGGCUGCUCUCCGCCGGUGGAUCUGCCGGCAGCUCCGGUGUCGGCAAGGGAUCUGCCGGCAAUGGCCUUUUCCCCGCUACCCUCUCCUCGGAGGUCGGGACGGGGCGGGCUUGGUCUUCCUCACUGCUGGUGUAAUGAGUACACCGAGCAGCGUCCUCCUCUGGCGGGACCUCUCCCGCAGGAUUUUCCAUCCCCGGUGCCAGUGAUACAUACACUGUGCACCGGUCGACAUUGCCGACCUGCAAAAGCAACAGAGAUGAGUCAACUGCAGACGAUAUACGAAUGCUAAAACAGAAUCUGCUACAUACCUUUGGUGCUGGUCGUCCUAACUUGAAGGCUUGCACCCGAUCACUGCCACGGAUGAAGCCCCCAUCCGCGAAGUUAAACAGCUCGUUCAACAGCUGUUGUACCUCCGCUUUCUCCAAGAUCUCCGACCGCAUCCUGGUCGGGUCUGCGCUUCCGGCAUACUCGUAUGCCGAGUGCACCCUCUUCUGGCAGGGCAUCACCCGGCGGCAAAUGAAGUUGCCGACCACGCCAAGCCCGUCUAGGCGCGACCAGUCGAUCAGCUUCAUGAGAUCCGCCACUGGACCGUCGAACUCCGGGCGGUCGGUCCAGCUCGUCCUCUUCUCAGGAAUGUAUCCCACGUCGCAGAACGUGGAGCUGCCCGGUUCCUCCCUGAUGUAGAACCACUUCCUGUACCAUUCGGUCAAGGAAGUGUUCCAUGGGCAGUGCAGGUAGCGAUUCUUCAUUCCAUCACGAAGGUUGAGGUAUACUCCACCUGCAACCUUGGAGCCUCCAACUGCUCCCUUCUUCCUCAAGCAGAAAAGAUAUCGAAAAAGAUCGAAGUGCGGCUCUAUGCCAACAUAGGCCUCGCACAGGUGGGUGAAGGUGGAAAUGAGGAGAAUUGAGUUCGGGUGCAGAUUGCAAAUCCCGAUCUCAUAGUACAAAAGAAGACCUUGAAGAAAAGGAUGAACAGGAACACCAAAGCCUCUCUUGAUGAAAUCUUCAAAAACGACGAUCUCACCGGCGCGAGGGUCGGGGUAGCUCUCCCCCUCCGGUGCCCUCCAGCCGCCGAGCUCCGCGCCGUGCAGAAGCCCCAUGUCAACGAGGUCACCAAGAGAUUUUGUGGUGCUGCGAGACUUCUUCCACUCCUUGGCCAUCAGUUUGGCCCUCUUCCUGGAGUCGCUCUUCGCCAUUAGAGGUGCGAAUGUGGGCUUGAGUUAGGAAGAUGCAGGAGAUUGGAGAAGAUGAGAGCGGAAGGUUUGAAGGCAAUGGCAGGGGAAGCGGUACAGGCGGACCUAUUAGGCUCUUAUAAGCCCGCGACUCCACCUCUCCCACUUCCUGUAUUCUCGGGAAGUGGGCAGGCCAUGCGGCGGACGCGGCGUUUCGGUUUACAAUGAUUAUAGACAAUUAAUUCGGCGGAGUUUUCGUACCAAUUGAUGGUUUCCUUUUCUCAAACCAUGCAAAGGGCGGCUGUACAGUUGUCAAGCGCAACUUUUCAUGCAUCCGUCUGACACCCCGUCAGGAGGCCUCGUCACGACAACUUUAACUGGAUAGAUCUUUUCAAAAAUAAGAAGACACGUACGCCAGUGAGUCAACAAUCCGGGGACUGCACCGACCACCGAGCACUCGACGCUCGGGGACUGGUCGCCCAGUCUAUCAGCUCGGAACUUCAAGGACUGCACCGACCACCGAGCACUCGACGCUCGGGGACUGGUCGCCCAGUUUAUCAGCUCGGAACUUCAAGGACUGCACCGACCACCGAGCACUCGACGCUCGGGGACUGGUCGCCCAGUCUAUCAGCUCAAAGCUUUAAAGCAUGCACCGACCACCGAGCACUCGACGCUCGGGGACUGGUCGAACGGUAUAGCAACAUAUAAUUCCAAGGAGCACACUUAGUGCUUGGGGACUGGUCGAUUGGUCUCUUCAAUUGCAGACGAGCAUGACAUGCUCGGGGACUGGUAAAUUCACUUUUGACCUUGCUACAAGGCUCAUACUUCGCCUUCCAGCAAGCUCGGGGACUACAUCGGUACGAUGCAUCUAGCGAUGCAUCUCAGUCUCAAAACUACUUUGGGGAAUUUUCUUUUGACCCUGGCACCACGUGCCUACGUCACCUACUACCAGGCUCGGGGACUAAGUGGGCACACUUCACCUAGCGGUGAAUUUGCUUGCUUUUUUGAUGUUUAUACCUUUCAAAAAGGUAAAGUGGGCACACUUCACCAGGAAAGAAAUUUUUUUUAAGAGCACCAUGCAUUCUUCGAACAACCUGCUUCUUCGAUGACAAUGUUGAUCAACUGUCUUUUGAGUUGGUCAAAAUACCGUUGCAACUGUUCGGGCGACUUUCCUGCUUAUUGAAGACGUCAAGCCACAUUGAUCGAAGAAGCUCAAGACGGCGUGUUACAUCACAAUACAUGGAGCUCGGGGACUAGCUGUGGGGGUAUAAACCCCUAUACCCUUACGGCUAGACUUCGGCCAGAAGGCUUGGUCCAUUACGAGACGAGUUCAAGGCUUGAUCCGACAACCUGGAGUUUCGCGCAAGGAAACAAGAUGUGGAGAUCAAGCAGGAUUCUAGUCGGUUAGAAUAGGAAUUGACAUCGAAUUAUCCAUGGCAAUUGUAACCGACUAGGAUUAGUUUCCAGAUCUGUAACCCUGCCCUCCAGACUAUAUAAGGAGGGGCAAGGGACCCCCCUAGGACAUCAUAUUCUCUCAACACAAAUCAAUACAACCAGACGCAGGACGUAGGUAUUACGCCAACUCGGCGGCCGAACCUGGAUAAAAAGCUUGUCCGAGUCUUGCGUCACCAUCGAGUUCGUAGUUUGCGCACCGUCUAUCGAUAAACUACUACCGUGGGUAUACCCCAAGGUAGACUGCCGACUAGCUUUCGUCGACACUACUCCACCUCGACCUAUAUAAGGACGCCCAAGGCCCCCUCCUUGAGGCAUUCUACACCCCGGUGCUUCAUAUUCUCUACACAAAUUAUGGUUAGUAGUGUCCCUCCAGUUCAUCUAGUUCUAAUUCUUCUAGUUCUAGUUCAUCUAGUUCUAGUUCUAGUUCUAGUUCAUCUAGUUGUAAUUAGAAGAGGAAGGGAGAAGAGGAGAGAGCGAAGAAGCCGGAUCUGUCGGAUCUUCCUUGACAUUGUACUUUUGCAGUAUCUGGUUCAUCAUUCAACAAUCUUCAGGUGCCUUAAUUACUAUUCUAAGUUCUUUAUUUACUUAAUUUUAGUACGUUAAGUUCAUUUAUUAGUUUCUCGCUUGCAUCAAGAGUUCUAGUCUUUGCAACGCUAGAGUAGUAAUUAAUAGGUUAGGCGUGGUACUUAGUUUAUAUGUUGCCUAGAAUUACACCCAGCUCUACGGAUAGUUUUGGUAGCCCUAGGUGGUGACAGCCCUGACGGCCGACGUAUUCCGCCACGUUUGGAUUGGUGUUGUAGGACCAUAGUCGGAGCUUCCUAGUCCCCUUUCUUAUCUGUCUAUGGCUAGUGUUCUGAUGUCCCAAAAUAAGUAGACUUUAAAGUCAAUUCGAUUUAUAGAUCCAUUAGAGAACCCUUAGAAACAUCCUCUCUACCCACUAAAAAUACUUUCACCUUUACUGUUGGACGAUCUUGAACCUUAAUUAGUAUACUUCGUGUUCCUUGUGGAAAAUCGAUACUCUAGAAUACACUUGGGUGAAAGCUACAUUGGUAUCCGUGCGCUUGUGGAUUUCUCUAUUUGCGUUUAAAAUACCCAACAAGCUUUCUGGCGCCGUUGCCGGGGAACGGUAGCUGUGCUUGUUUCGAACCAAGUUCAUCUGUUUAUCCUUUUUCUUUUUUAUCAUUAUCUUUACCCCUACAUGGAUUCCACACCUAUCUACCAAUUUUCUGCUCCAAAGGGUGAAUUAUUAGAGCCUCCACCAUCAUCACAUCCUAUACUUACGGAUGGCUUUCAAAUUUGCCCUGCUUUCAUAGCCAUGGUUCGAGAACAAACCUUCUCUAGAAAAGAAGACGAAAAUCCAUACAUUCACCUCCAAGAAUUUGAGCAACUGUGUUCUUGUCUGAAUAUUUUUGGCAUGAAUCAUGAGACCUUAAAAUGAAAGUUAUUUCCGUUCUCUCUUUAUGAGAAGGUGAAACAAUGGUACACUCAUACCGUUAGGAGUGUAGAGGGAGAUUGGAAGGAACUUUGAGAUAAAAUUUGUCUCGCUUUCUUUCCUAUUUUCCAGAUUAUCCCUCUUCGUCUUAAAAUUCUCACUUUCCAACAAAAAGAGAAGGAAACCUUAGGAGCAGGUUGGGCAAGAUUUUCAAACUUAAUUGCAUCUGGCCUAGAUUUGUCUAUGCCUGAACAUGUCCUGUUACAACACUUUCACUAUGGCCUUAGCAAAGAAGCUGCCCUUUUUCUCGUUACUUCUUUGGUAGGGUCCUUUUCACAUAAAACCGUUAGUGAGGGGAAAGCAACCCUUGACAAAAUUCUAGAAAACACCCCAUACACUGGCGUCUGUGAUGAAUUCCAUGAAGAACAAGUUGAGACAAGCCCUGAGCCAAAAGAGGAAACACCGGCAACCAAAUUAGAAACUCCACUUGAUUCAUCUAAUGAAUUGAUUGUUGAAAAACCUCCUAAAAAGGGAACACAAACCCAACUAGAGGAUGAUGAUUCUCCUUUAGUGUUUCCCUUUGAAUUCGAGGAAGAUAUCUUUGAAGAUUAUGGAAAUACCUCGAUUUUGCCUAUCCAACCAAGACCUCUGGCACACACUACACCCUCUGAUCCACGUGAAGGCACUUGUCGAGGGUAUCAACGAGGGGUACCCUCACCAAUGCGAAUAACGAGACCAUCCGUACACACGCGCGGCCAUCGACGGCCGCAGCCUCGAAGACGGAAACAGCGUCGAGCGAAUCGGUCAGGGCUCGAGCGACAACUGCCGUCGAAUACGGAAGCGGGCUCGAGCGAAUCGAGAGGCGUCGAGCGCAAGGACACUGUCCGCCGCCUGACGUGCGCACGAGAGCCAGGGCAUUUAAUGCACCUGACGCUUCCCCACCUAACACACGGGUCACGGGAGGCUUCUGUCCCAUCGUUCUUUUUGCAGCCUUCCCACCGAACGACCCAGGGCGUGUCAGGACGCGGGAAACAAGGAUGGAACGUCUAAUCGGGACCCCCUCGAGACACCCAAGGUCAGCGUUCCAGAUAUCGACACCUCGUACGGCGUCCGACCCUCGACUUCACCAGGCUCCUUCCUGGAGACGAGUCGGGCGUCGACUGACCACGCCGUAACCGCUCCGCCGGAUUUGCCGCCGAGCCAUAUAAGCGUGCAUCCGCCGAACCAAUCCAAGACGGCGCGCAGAGCAGAAUGUAGGGGCACGCGUGAUCAUCACCAGGCUAUUAAGACGGGACGGCUCGAGGGCAUGCCGGUACGGAAACCUCGAUUAGGUCAGUGAUCCAUGCUGCUAUCGACUCCAAUUCCUACGCCUAUACAUGUACCCUAGGCCCUUCCUUGGAACUAUAAAAGGAGGGACUCAGGAAUAGAACAGCAGAUCACGACACAAGACCACGCUCAUACGUAGUAGAGCUCCACACUUCAUACCACGCUUGUAUUCGCCCCUGUACAAGCACUUAGGUGCAAGAUAAUACAAACUCUCUCCCCCCCGCUGGACGUAGGGCCUUCUCUUGCCCGAACCAGGAUAAAUCUCUGUGUCUUCUUGCAUCACCAUCCGGGAAAGGGAACACGCAUACAAAUUUACUCGUUGGUGUGACCCCCCGGGGGAAAAACACCGACAGUUGGCGCGCCAGGUAGGGGUCCUGCGUGUUUUCCAUCGAUUUCCCACUCCUUUCCGGAUGGCUACUCUUGCCUCGCCGUUUCCGCGCUCCACGGUGAUUUGGUUUGGGAGUCUCGAGUUCAUGUCUACGGGCUCCGGCUACGACAUGAUCUUGCUCUCAGUCAAAGGACCAGGAGGAGCCCGCGUUACGCCAGCACGGUUGAAGGCCCCGAGACGCCCUCACCACCACGCCUCCCCGCCUAAGAAGAGGCGCGGACAGCACCACCGCGGCCCCUCUGCUUCAGCACGACCAACAACUCGUGCGAGGCAGGACGUAGGCCACAAGUCGGCAGCACCGUGUGACGGAGCAACAAGCGCGACGACUCAGCACCGCGCGACGACGGGAGGGGACGCGUCUCGCGCGCUCUCCCCCACCGCAGCUAGGCUACUUCCACACGGGUUGUUCUCUCCAAGAGCGGCACUGCCGUUCGGAUUGGACAACGCCGCGGCGUCGCUCGGCAGGGCGAUAUGCCCAAACGCCUAGACGUACGUAGAAAGACCAAUGGUCCUCCCACGUAGCUCUGAAGCGCGGCGGCCGGCGUCCGAGCUGCCGGACCUUUCCCGAGUACAAGGCCUCCGUCGUCUAGGCCCCGGACGAUACUUGAUCACCUCCCUCAGGCAACGAUUGCUGGAGGAAGGACGUGGGUGUUUCUACGCCGCCGAACCGGACUCCGACUCCGAGACAGAUAGCUAUGACCCUACGAGGGAAUGCUAUCACAUCGACGGGGCGGUAGAAACUACUGACGAGACACGGGAUGCUGCUGCGGGUGGUCGAGCCCCCGCGGCGCGAGAAGACCCCAGGACGCCUGGAAACGACGGACAGGUCGACCCCCCCCCUCAGGAAGACAGAACCACGCAGCUGCGGGAGCUCAAGAUGAAGCUCGACGAAGACCGCGAGCGCCUCGUCCUGCUCGAGCAAACCCUCGAGCAAGACCUGCCCUACCCGCCGGGCGGAAGUGUCCGCAGACGCGCUCGAGAGGUACAUCGACAGAUCGUCGGCGACGCAGAGCCAGAGCAACCUGUCAGCCGUUUCCCUCGAGCAGGCCAGAAUGUAGUGGCAGCAACGAUGCUGCUACGUAACAUGCCAGAGCCGUCGAAUUCCCAGGCCCGACGCAUUCGAGAUGAGGUACAGACAUUGCUCCAGGUGGCGGCGGUUCAACAAGCCGAAAGUUCGGCGUCUCGACGACGAGGAGCUGCCACAGAGAAGCGCGACGAACAGCCUCUAAACGAAGAGGAGGUGUCAGUCCAUCAACAACCUCCCCCUCGAGGUAGAAAGACUACUCUCAUCCUCCCCGUCGACAAUCAACGUCGACAUGACGCGCGGCACGACAUCAAAGAAAAUCGACGCCGCCGGCACGGAGACGCGGAAGAUCGCGGUUAUAGCGCGCAUCGCGGUGGGAGAUACGACAGCGACGAGGACCGGGUGGCCCCCGAGCCACCAGGCCCACGGGUGUUCAGCAGGGCGAUCCGCAGCACGCCCCUGCCCAAUCCAUUUCGACCCCCGACCAGCAUCGCGAAGUACAAUGGAGAGACCAAACCAGAGUUGUGGCUGGCCGACUUCAGGCUGGCCUGUCAGCUAGGUGGCGCUCGAGGUGAUGAUCGAGCCAUCAUCAGACAGCUACCCCUUUUCCUCUCCGACACCGCCCAUCGAUGGCUCGAGGAACUCCCUGCCAAUCAGAUCCACAACUGGGUUGAUCUGGUCAGAGUCUUCGAGGGUAACUUCAAAGGGACCUACAUACGGCCAGGGAACUCGUGGGACCUCAGCAAGUGCAAGCAGAAGUCGGGAGAAACUCUUCGGGAGUAUGCUCGACGCUUCUCGAAGCAGCGCACUGAGCUGCCGCACAUCCCUGACCACGACGUCAUCUUGGCGUUUGUCUCGGGCACCACCAGUCGAGACUUGGUGCGGGAAUUAGGUCGCAAUCGACCUCAGACCGUCGACGAGCUGAUGGACGUAGUAGCCAACUACGUGGCAGGGGAGGAGGCAGUCGGCGCCUUCUUCAGCUCAGAAGGAAGAAAAGGCAAGCAGCCCGUCGACGAAGAUGGGACCCCCAGUCGAGGCCUCAAGAAAAAUAAAAAGAAGCAGAAAGUGCGGCAGUUCCACCGGGAAGAUUCCGAUGACAACCUUGUCGCCGCCAUGGAUCGAAAGAAGCCUCGAGGCCCUCCGGAUGGAGGCAUCUUUGACAAGAUGUUGGAGGAGCCGUGCCCUUACCAUAAGGGAGGCGCCAACCACAAGCUCAAGGACUGUCGUAUGCUGAGAAAGCAUUUCGACGGUCUGGGGUUCAAAAAAGAUACGCGUGAUGACUCCAAGAAAGAGAAGGCUGGCAGCAAGGAGGACAACAAAGAUGACGACGGAUUCCCCGCCGUCCACGACUGCUACAUGAUCUAUGGCGGGCCCUCGACUCAAUUAACCAUGAGGCAGCGCAAAAGGGAGCGUCGCGAAGUCUUUGCGGCAAGAAUGGCGGUGCCCCAGUACCUUAGCUGGUCAAGCACUCCUAUCACUUUCGACCGAGAGGACCACCCCGACAAGGUAGUCGCCCCGAGCGUCUACCCGCUCGUCGUCGACCCCAUAAUCGUCAACACCCGACUCUCGAAAGUGCUGAUGGAUGGUGGCAGCAGCCUCAACAUCAUCUACCUCGAGACCCUUGACCUCCUCGGCAUCGAUAGAGGACGCCUCCAGCCAAGCGCCGGCGGUUUCCAUGGCGUCGUGCCAGGGAAAAAGGCACUGCCAGUAGGUCGAAUUGACCUACCGGUCUGCUUCGGCACGGCGGCCAACUUCAAGAAGGAGACCCUCACCUUUGAGGUGGUUGGGUUCCGAGGCACGUACCACGCCAUCAUCCGGCGCCCGGGCUACGCCAAGUUCAUGGCUAUACCCAUCUACACCUACUUGAAACUGAAGAUGCCUGGUCCCAAAGGCGUCAUCACUGCCAGUUCCUCCUUCGAGCACGCGUACGAGUGCGACGUCGAGUGCGUCGAGUACGGGGAGGCGGUCGAGAGCUCCACCGAGCUCGUUGCAAAGCUCGAGGCCAUGGCCGCUGAGGCUCCAGAGCCUAAGCGUCAUGCGGGCAGCUUCGAGGCGGCGGAAGGAACCAAGAAGAUCCCGCUCGACCCCAACAACUCCGACGGCAAAGUGCUGACGAUCAGCGCCGACCUCGACCCCAAAUAGGAAGCCGUGCUCGUCGACUUUCUCCGUGCAAAUGCUGAUAUGUUUGCAUGGAGUCCCUCGGACAUGCCAGGCAUACCGAGGGAAGUCGCCGGGCACUCCUUGGAGAUUCGAGCCGGUUCCAAGCCAGUGAAGCAGCGGUUGCGCCGAUUCGAUGAGGAGAAGCGCAAGAUCAUUGGCGAGGAAGUCCACAAGCUUUUGACGGCCGGAUUCAUCAAGGAGGUUCAUCAUCCUGACUGGUUAGCAAACCCUGUAUUAGUUAAGAAAAAGAAUGGGAAAAUGAGAAUGUGUGUCGAUUAUACUAGUCUGAAUAAAGCAUGUCCAAAAGUUCCCUUUCCACUACCACGCAUUGAUCAGAUUGUCGAUUCUACCGCGGGAUGUGAAACCCUUUCUUUCCUUGACGCAUAUUCUUUUUACCACGAAAUAAAAAUGAAGGAGUCCGACCAGCUCGCGACCUCUUUCAUCAUGCCUUUUGGGAUGUAUUGCUACGUGACCAUGCCAUUUGGGCUUCGAAACGCGGGAGCCACGUAUCAACGUUGCAUGCUCCACAUAUUUGGCGAACAUAUAGGGUCAACGGUCGAGGCCUACGUCGACGACAUUGUCGUCAAGUCAAAGCGACGAGGAGACCUGAUCCAGGACCUCGAGAUUGCCUUUAGCUGCCUACGCACCAGCCGGAUCAAGCUCAAUCCCGAGAAGUGCGUUUUCGGUGUGCCUCGAGGCAUGCUCCUAGGAUACAUCGUUUCGCAGCGCGGCAUCGAGGCCAACCCCGAGAAAGUCUCGGCCAUCACGAAAAUGGGGCCGAUCCGAGACAUCAAGGGUGUACAGAGAGUCACGGGGUGCCUGGCGGCUCUGAGCCGUUUCAUCUCGAGACUAGGAGAAAAGACAUUACCAUUAUAUCGACUCCUAAAGAAGGUCGAGCGCUUUUCUUGGACCCCCGAGGCCGAGGAAGCACUCGAAAGGCUGAAGAAGACGCUGACCUCGGCACCAGUCCUGGUUCCACCUCAACCUGCAGAGCCGCUGCUCCUCUACGUCGCGUCGACGACCCAGGUCGUCAGCGCGGCGGUGGUGGUCGAGAGGCAGGAGGAGGGACAUGCGCUACCGGUUCAGAGGCCAGUGUAUUUCGUCAGCGAGGUGCUUUCGGAGACCAAAGCACGUUAUCCCCAAAUCCAGAAGCUGAUUUAUGCCGUAAUCCUUGCCCGUCGCAAGCUGCAGCAUUACUUCCUUGGCCACCCCAUCACGGUGGUCUCGUCUUUUCCUUUAGGCGAAAUAAUCCAGAGCAAAGAAGCCACGGGAAGAAUAGCAAAAUGGUCGGUCGAGCUCAUGAGUGAGACUCUCACUUAUGCGCCUCGCAAGGCCAUCAAAUCGCAGGCCCUGGUAGACUUCAUCGCAGAAUGGACGGACACCCAGCUCCCCCCGACCCAGGUCCAGGCGGAACUAUGGACGAUGUAUUUCGAUGGGUCACUCAUGAAAACUGGAGCCGGAGCCGGCCUGCUGUUCAUCUCACCCUUGGGCGUCCACAUGAGGUACGUAAUCAGGAUUCAUUUUGCCGCAUCUAACAAUGUCGCAGAAUAUGAGGACCUCGUCAACGGUCUCAAGAUCGCUAUCGAGUUAGGAGUCCGACGCCUCGACGUCCGAGAUGACUCCCAACUCGUCAUCGACCAAGUAAUGAAAACCUCGAGCUGCCACGACCCAAAAAUGGAAGCGUACUGCAAGGAGGUCCGUCGACUCGAGGACAGGUUCCACGGUCUCGAGCUUGUCCAUAUCGCUCGACGCUACAACGAGGCAGCCGACGAACUCGCCAAGAUCGCAUCGACCAGAGGCACGGUGCUGCCUGAUGCAUUCUCGAAGGAUCUUCACGAGCCAUCCGUUGACCUAGGCACGGGGGCUGGCGUCGACGCCACCACCGCCCAACCAACCAAUGAUGUCGAUACGCUCUUGAUGGUGGAAGAGAUGAUGGAGAUAGAACGACGACCAGGUCGACCAUUCGAUUGGCGCACACCGUUCCUCGACUGCCUUAUCCGCGGCGAGUUGCCAGAAGACAGGUCAGAAGCUCGUCGUAUCGCUCGACGGGCCAAAUCAUAUGUGAUCUAUGGCGAAGACAACGAGCUAUAUCGACGGAGCCCGACGGGGGUCUUACAACGUUGCAUCACCGUGGAAGAAGGCCAAAAACUCCUCGAUGACCUGCACUCGGGGGCUUGCGGUCACCACGCCGCUCCACGGACCCUUGUAGGGAACGCUUUUCGACAAGGCUUCUACUGGCCAACGGCCGUGGCGGACGCCAUCAAGCUCGUACGAUCAUGUCACGGGUGUCAGUUCUACGCCAAGCAGACGCAUCUGCCUGCCCAUGCUCUUCAGAUGAUCCCCAUUACCUGGCCUUUUGCGGUGUGGGGGCUCGAUUUAGUAGGACCUCUACAAAAGGCGAAAGGAGGAUUCACCCAUUUGAUGGUGGCCAUUGACAAGUUCUCCAAAUGGAUCGAGGCUCGACCCAUCACCAACAUCCGCUCCGAGCAGGCCGUCCUUUUCUUCACCGACAUCAUCCAUCGGUUUGGGAUCCCCAAUGUCAUCAUCACCGACAACGGCACCCAGUUCACCGGCAAAAAGUUCUUGGACUUCUGCGAUCGGCAUCACAUCCGUGUGAACUGGUCUGCAGUAGCCCACCCUCGAACUAACGGCCAAGUCGAGCGUGCCAACGGCAUGAUUUUGCAAGGACUCAAGCCAAGGAUCUACAAUCGAUUGAAGAAAUUCGGCAAAAAAUGGGUCGAGGAGCUUUCCUCAGUCCUAUGGAGCCUUAGGACAACACCAAGCAGGGCCACAAAAUACACCCCGUUCUUCAUGAUCUACGGCUCUGAGGCUAUCCUCCCCACUAACCUCGAGUAUGGGUCACCUCGACUCAAGGCCUACAACGAGCAAUCGAACAAAGAGACUCAAGAAAACACGGUCGACCAACUUGAGGAGGCUAGAGACAUGGCCCUCCUCAACUCUGCCAGAUAUCAGCAAAGGCUUCGACGCUACCACGACAAGCAUGUGCGCAAGAGGGACCUCAACGUGGGCGACCUAGUCCUACGACGCCAGCAAAGCAAUCAGGGACGCCACAAGCUGACUCCGCCUUGGGAAGGUCCGUACGUGGUGGCCGAGGUCCUGAAGCCGGGAACGUACAAGCUGGCGGACGAAAAGGGGGCAAUUCUCACCAACGCAUGGAACAUCGAACAGCUACGUCGAUUCUACCCCUAGAAGUUCUAAACUUAUGUUCCUGCUUACGUUUUGUACCGAGACUUUGUAAACGAAUGAAUGAAUAAAUAAAGUCCUUCCCUCGAAGCAAUUCUUCUUUCUUUGUGCCGAGAAGAUUAAUAAGUCACGAUCUCGACGUUAAAAGGGGGCGCCGACUAUGACCCAUCAUAGUCAGCACCCCCUCGGGGGCUACCAGGGGGACGACCCCCCCCCGAGUAUCGAAAAAACCAAGAAGUUUUCUUUUCUUACGUAGUAAACCUUGCACGGUUCAAGUAGCUAAGGCGCCUCGAGCCCCUCAAAGGCCGAGGGACAACGAGCUGGAGAACUCCUACGCCCCCGGGCUACGGAAACUCUACUCACUUCCCCACCAUUGAAGUGAUCGAGGUGGUCUUUUACGAAAAAUCGAGCAAGGGAUACAAACGUAGGCGCAAAGAGAAACGAAAGCAUCAAGCGGAAAGACAAAAUAAGCAUUUAACAAUUACGAAAGUGAUACAGCAUCAGUUACCCACAGAAUUAACAAAGUAUCGUACAAGGGGCCUCAGGCGCCCUGAGCAGGCUCGCAGGCCUCAGUCCGCGGCACGAUCCUCACCGCCCUCGCCUCCGCCCGAGCUAGCCUCAGGAGGGAGCACCUCAGGCUCGAAAAGCUUGGCCAACCUUUCCCCAGGAGCCUCCGCGUCGUCGAUCAAGGCAUGGAGCCUCUCCUCGUUCUCCGCGUCGGUCUUGGAGAUGUCGGUGACGAAGCCAUGGGACACCACCUCCAUGUCGUAGGAGAAGCCCGAGCAGAUAACCACCAUCGCCCGCUUCACCCCGAUGUGGAGGGCGUCCCGCACCCGAUCUCGCAGCGUCGCGCCUAUGUAGCACAACUGGUCGACCAGGGCGUCGCCUCGAGCGUCCUCCCUCGACUCAUCCAUAGGCUCGACCUCCCAAGAGGUCGAGAGAUCACUUAUCACCGUCCGCACUCGACGGUUCAAAGCAACCUCCGCCUCGAGCUGAGCCUUGGCGUUGCGAGCCUCGGCUUGGGCGGCCAGGAGUUCGUCCUUGAGCCCUGUAAAAGCCAAUAUAAAGAGACCUUAGGAAAAACUAAGCACACCGCGGAAAAAGAAAUCUGAUAGAGGAAACAUACCGCGUACGGUCUCCUCGAGGGCCGUGUUCUCGCCGACCAGCCUGGUGUUGGCCCCCUCGAUCUCUUUGUUGGAGCGUGCCAGCUCGGUGUUGGCAACACGGAGAUCCUCGAUCGCCUUGCCAGCCUGAGCAAUGGCCCCACUCUUCUCCAGCAAUUCUCCCUUCACACGCUCGACGUCGUUAGAGAGACUACGGGAUCGAGCCCGCUCCGCCUCGAGAUCUUCGAGCGCCUUCUUCUUGGCUUCCUCCGCGGCGCCCCUGGCGACCUCGCCGUUCACAUGCUCCACCUUCAUCUUUCGGAAGGACUCUCGGAGAGAGUCCAGGUCGGAUUUAAGGAGGCCCUUCUCCUUGUCCAGAUCCGCGAUAACGCUCUUGUAGGACAGGGCCUCCUCCCGGGCUCUGGACGCGGCCUCCUCGACCGUAAGAGCCCGCUCCCGUAGCUGCAUCGUCUCCUCCUCCGCCUUCUUCGAGGCCUCUCGGGCCUCGGCCAAAGCAGCCUCCCUCGCCUUCUUCUCCUCCUCGAGUGCUAUGAGAUCUUUGUAAGCUUUAAGGAGCUUUUCCUGCGACUCGAGGAGUUGAUCCUUGAGCAGGGGGAGCUGCUCCCAACCGCCCCUCGUGGCGUGUAUGAAGCUGGACUUGAUGCGGGAGGUCUCUUUCAUAUCCUGCGAAUCAAGGGUCGGAUGGAUUAGAAUACAGAAACUAGAAAGCACCAUGAGGAUUGGAGUUCGAGAAACACUUACGAAAUAAGCCGGGCCGAGCCCGUUGUUGAUAACAUCCGAGAGGAGCCCCACCACAUGCUUCAUCCAAAGGCGGAGCUCCUCGACGUGUUUCCACUUCUCCGCCUCCUUCCGAUCAUCGAGGAAGAUGUCGGGCUCAGACUGGUCGUGGGAGGCCCGAAUACGGAUGCGGUCGGGGCACCAGUGCUCCAUCUCCCGGUCAGCCCGCGCCUUAACGCCGCGGAUGAGGCCCUCGACCGUCUCGAGGGAGCCCCCAUGGCGCAGGAACAGGUCGACGAGGCAUGGGAACCGUCCGUCGUCGUCCACCGUCUUCCAGGUUCCAUCCUUGGUCCCCGGUGCCCCAAUUUCAUCCUCCUCGGAAGGAAAGCGGUCCUCCCACGCUCGACGUUCCCGGAGGAACCCUGGGGCGAUCCCGUCCAUGCCGUAAAUUGUCCUCUUGAUAUCGGACUCGGGGUCGGGGGGCGUGCGCUUCAGGCAGGCGAGCGCCACCACUCCAUCCGCUCGCCCCGGCUCUGCCCGGAUCGCGGCAGAUGCCCCCGGGAGGAGCCACGCCGGGGUUGGGGGGCCGUACACCGGCAGGUCCUCCUCCUCGCCGAGCUCUUGCGGCUCCGGUGGCACUGGCUGGGCCGGACCUUGGGGCAGAGGCUCGAGCGGUCCCUCCUCUUGGCCCACCUGCUGCUGCUGUUGCUGCUGCGGUGGUUGCUGCUGAUGCUGCUGCGGUUGCUGCUGCGGUUGUUGCUGUUGCUGCUGCCGCUGUUGUUGUUGCUGCUGUUGCUGUGCCUCAUACUCCUGUGGCUGUCGCGCCGCCUCGCGCUCCCGCUGUUCAUCCUCCUCCCUCUUCUUUUUCUGCUCCUCGAGGGUGCGGAGGCCGGCGGGCUAGGGAGUUGAUCCCGCGACGUUGGGGGUCGACGCUUCCUCCUCCAUAGGGCGAGCGGCCCCAGACGCUUCGUUACCAUCGGACGUAUCGCUGAUGGUGAUGGGUUCCCCCUCGACCCCCAAUCGAGGGGGCUCGGGGGCUCCCUCUGACGCUUGCGUCUGGGGCGCCUCAUCACGAGUCGGCGGCGACGGAGUAGGCGCGGGACGAGACGGAGCCCUCUCGACGCCGGCUGGAGGUUGGGAGCUGGAGGAGCCUACGAAACAAAGGGUAAGGGUCAGACGUUAUGAUAACCGACACAAGAACAUCGCAACGCCCAGAAAUAAACUACGAACCUGGUUCCUUGGAGGCGGCACCCGUUUUGAGCCUCUUUGCCAUGGAUGGUUGGGCCUGCUCAAGGGUCCGCUUUAGCCUGAGAAAAGGUUGGCAUAUGAGGAAAGGUGGAAGAAUGGGAAGACAAAAACCGCAACAUCAAAAAGGCUUACCCCAAAGGGAGAACGGCUCGCCUCCCGCCACCCCGACCAGUGGGCCUCGAGCCACCCCGCGUCAGGGCUCCAGGCCCCUCGAGGGCAGGCACUGGCCUAGGCGCGUCGGUCCCUGCCUGGCGGGCACCGGGACUGGCGCUCCUACGGCCGGCAUCUCCUUUCUCAGAGGCCGCGGCGCGACCACGAGUUAGUGGCCCCGACGCCUAGGGCCUAGCCAGACCGCUCUCCCUGGGCACCGGGGGAGGGCGCGGUGCGUCUUGGCCCGCCUUGGGCGCGGGAGGGGUGUCGGCCCAGGGGCGACGAGAUCCGCUCGGACCCUCCUCUGGCGCCUCUGUCCGGGGGGCGUCGACGUCACCUCGAGGCGGGCCCUCGAGAAUCUGAUCGAGGCGCGAUGCCAUCCCCUCAGAGUCGUCGCUGUCCUCGUCGUCAUCGUCAUCAUCGUUAGGGGAUUCUUCCUCAGGCUCCCCCCUCUGCCUGGAUUUGGCUCGACGCGCCUCUAAUGCUUGGCGGUCGAGGUUCUUCUUCUUCUCCCCCUUCUUUGCAGAGUCCUUGGCAGACUUUAGCUUUUCGGCAGAUUGGCGCCGUUUGUCACGAUCGACAUCGUCCUCCUUUACCGGAGGCCUCGAGGACCGGACAUCAAUCCGACCCUGCCAAAACAAAGGUAGACUUAGAAAAAAGAGAGGGGAGAAAGGAAACCCAGAAUCGAGGCUGCGCGCAAGAAGAAAGCGUACCAGAUCGAUCGAGCCUGCGUCUGGUCUCAUGGGGAAGCCAUUAACGUGCUCCGGCUGAAAAUCACCGGCAAUUGCAGCCCUGACUCGGGCCACGACUUCGUCGUCCGCCGGAGCCUCGUUGGACAUCCGACACGCCUCGAGGUCCCGAGAUGAGACGCCAGGGCCCAUCUCGUCCAUCCUCAACGGUCGAGACAUCAAAGGGAGAACUCUCCUGUGAUGGACGGCCGAGAGGACGAGAGCGGCGGUCAAACCCUCCUGGCGAAGCUUCUUCAGGGCGUCGAGGAGGGGGUCGAGCCGAGAUUGAUGAGCUUGGACGACGCCGUAUGUCCAGUCCGCUGGACGCUCCAUGAUCAGAUGGCCCGAGUAGGAAGGCAGGAGGUUGUCAUCGUUCCACAGGUAAAACCACUGGGAGUCCCAGCCGGCGUGGUUGGUCGAUAACCCUACCGGGAUGUACUCCCACGGCCUGUCCGUCUUCCCCGUCUUCUGCACCAGAUUGAGGCAUCCCGCCCGCACGGGCUUCCUUACGCCCGUGGUUCCGGUGGGGGCAUGGAAAAGCUCACCCCUGUAGAGGUGGAGCCACAGCUCCCAGUGCGGCAUCAUCCCCAAGUAGCCCUCACACACGGCGGCGAAGACCGCCGCUACGGUGAUGGCGUUCGGAGAGAUGUGCUGGAGCUCCACCCCAUAAUGGAAGCAGAGGGCCCGCAUGAAGCGGCUCGGGGGCGCGCCCAGACCGUGGCGGUGGAACUUGGCGAACGACACCACGUAGCCCUCGGGCGGCUGAGGCCCCCUGUGACUCGCCGGCGGCGCGAUCCACUCUGGCGACGAUAGCGAGGUACGGCGGCACAGCAGUCCCUCUUUCUCAAGCUCUAACAACCGGCGCUCCGUCAUCGACGACGGGCGCCAGUCGUCGGCGGCGACGAGUCUUACAGGCAUCUCGGCUGGAGGGACGGUGGAUUCACUACAGCUCGAGGAGGCGUGUGCGCGUGAGACGGCGAGAAAGCAAAGGAAACGAGAGAAUAAAAGCGAGAAGGCGAAAGGGAGAGGAACGGCGGCGACGCCACGACGUAUUUAUAGGCAGCAGUCCCCGAAUUCCACGCCGACGCAGUGUCGUAACGUCACCCGCCUAAAAAGGCGCGCCCAACGGGCAGAAAGGCGAACCGCCACGGCCACUUCCUUCCCUCGUAAGCCAAGGGACGUACCCGCGAGAGUCUCGAGAGGUCGAUGGCUGGCCCGCCGAAAGGGUUCGACAGCCGAUCUCGAGCGCCAGAGUCAGGGAUCCCCAGCGAGCUGUCGAAGAUCGAGGCCCGCCUCGAGGGCUCGCUGGCGAUGUUCAAGGUAGGGUCGAGACAGUCGAGAGGAAUCCCCCCGACGGGAGGCAUCGAGCCGCCGGUCUCUAUCGAAUGAAACUGGUAUCCCCGACCACGUCGAUCCCGCUUUAUGAGAACGCCUCCGGGCUACAGCUGACCCCCUCGAAAGGGGCACAGGUUCUCACUUGGACUACCCGCUAGGAACUCAAUCUGGGGUGGAAGACGCUCGCUCUAUCGAGAGUACGUCGAAACCUCCACGCAAGGCAAAGCCGAACAGAACCUUCCACCACGGGUGUUGACAGCGUUUCUGCAAAUUUGGCAAAAUAACCCUCGAAGGAGUUAAAUACUUCCCCGAGGGCUCGGGGGCUACCCCCGCGGGGUCGCUCGCGCGCCCCCGUGGAAGCUCGACCGUAAAAACGAAAGUCUCCACUCGAGCGCCAGCGCUCGAAUGAAGACUCGGGGGCUACUGUCGAGGGUAUCAACGAGGGGUACCCUCACCAAUGCGAAUAACGAGACCAUCCGUACACACGCGCGGCCAUCGACGGCCGCAGCCUCGAAGACGGAAAUAGCGUCGAGUGAAUCGGUCAGGGCUCGAGCGACAACUGCCGUCGAAUACGGAAGCGGGCUCGAGCGAAUCGAGAGGCGUCGAGCGCAAGGACACUGUCCGCCGCCUGACGCGCGCACGAGAGCCAGGGCAUUUAAUGCACCUGACGCUUCCCCACCUAACACACGGGUCACGGGAGGCUUCUGUCCCAUCGUUCUUUUUGCAGCCUUCCCACCGAACGACCCAGGGCGUGUCAGGACGCGGGAAACAAGGAUGGAACGUCUAAUCGGGACCCCCUCGAGACACCCAAGGUCAGCGCUCCAGAUAUCGACACCUCGUACGGCGUCCGACCCUCGACUUCACCAGGCUCCUUCCUGGAGACGAGUCGGGCGUCGACUGACCACGCCGUAACCGCUCCGCCGGAUUUGCCGCCGAGCCAUAUAAGCGUGCAUCCGCCGAACCAAUCCAAGACGGCGCGCAGAGCAGAAUGCAGGGGCACGCGUGAUCAUCACCAGGCUAUUAAGACGGGACGGCUCGAGGGCAUGCCGGUACGGAAACCUCGAGUAGGUCAGCGCUCCAUGCUGCUAUCGACUCCAAUUCCUACGCCUAUACAUGUACCCUAGGCCCUUCCUUGGAACUAUAAAAGGAGGGACUCAGGAAUAGAACAGGAGAUCACGACAUAAGACCACGCUCAUACGUAGUAGAGCUCCACACUUCAUACCACGCUUGUAUUCGCCCCUGUAUAAGCACUUAGGUGCAAGAUAAUACAAACUCUCUCCCCCCGCUGGACGUAGGGCCUUCUCUUGCUCGAACCAGGAUAAAUCUCUAUGUCUUCUUGCAUCACCAUCCGGGAAAGGGAGCACGCAUACAAAUUUACUCGUUGGUGUGACCCCCCGGGGGAAAAACACCGACAGCACUGUAAUCACAGAACAAAUUAAAAGCCUCUCAUCAAUCAUGAGUUAUGAAUGGCUUAUGGAAGCAGAGUUAUCUCCUGAGGUAGCUCGAAUCAUUGAUCCCCAACCAUUCUUUGGUGCCAAAUUAGGAGGACUGCUAUGAAAAUACACUAUAGUCCAUCUGUUGGGAUAAACCUUUUUUCAAAGACAUUAGCUAAUAGCCUUUAUCCCAACACAUCCUUAACCCCAUCAGAAAAGCGUUUACAAACCUCUUCAGGAACUAUUCUUAAGAGCAAUGGGGGUAUUAAGGGUUAUUCCUAUCAAAAUUAAUAACUUUGAGAUAUGCCUAGAUUUUCACAUAUAUGACACCUUGGAGAUUACUCUGUUGAUUGGCAGACCAAUCAUGAGACUUUUAUAGGAAAAACCUUGACGAGGUCAUUUGGACUUUAAGGUUGGGAAUUCCACUAUAAAUAUUCCUCUUGCUCGUUCUAUCAACACAAUAGUGGAACCCAAAUACGAGCAAGACUCUACUGAAGAGGUUUUACUGGCAUCUCUAGAAAGCAUGGCACAACCAAUCCUUGAUGAUGAACACUUUAUUCAAGAAGAGGAAGAGUUGGUAGAGCCCAUUGAAAUAGACAAAACUGAGCAACCACCUGUUCCUUCAAUCGAGCAAAAACCGCUCCUUCCUGGCCUAAAGUAUGUCUUUCUCAAUAAUAAUCGAGAAACCACAGUGAUCAUCAGUUUCAAGCUUUCCCAAUAAGAAACCCAUAAACUUGUCACUGUCUUAGAAAGACACAAACCAGCUAUCGGCUACUCACUCAAAGACCUCGUAGGCAUUAGCCCCGUUCUUUGCACUCAUCGCAUCCCCAUUGAUCCUGAUUGCACACCUUCAAGGGAGCCACAACAGAGGCUUAACCAUGCCAUGCGAGAUAUUGUUAAAAAAGAGGUCCUUAAGCUUUUACACACUAGGAUUAUUUAUCCCGUUCCUCAUAGUGAGUGGGUUAGCCUGGUACAAGUUGUACCAAAGAAAGGAGGAAUGACGGUUGUUAGGAAUGAGAAGAAUGAACUCAUCUCUCAAUGAACUAUCACCGGGUGGCGUAUGUGCAUUGACUACCGAAAGCUCAACAAGGCCACAAAGAAAGAUUAUUUCCCAUUACCCUUCAUUGAUGAAAUGUUGGAGCGGCUCGCAAAUCACUCUUUCUUUUGUUUCCUUGAUGGGUAUUCUGGAUAUCAUCAAAUCCCGAUCCACCCCGAUGACCAAAGUAAGACUACUUUCACAUGCCCCUAUGGAACUUAUGCAUACCGAUGAAUGUCAUUCGGGUUAUGUAAUGCUCCAGCUUCUUUUCAACGGUGCAUGAUGUCUAUUUUCUCCUAUAUGAUUGAGAAAAUCAUGGAGGUAUUCAUGGAUGAUUUUACGUCUAUGGCAAAACCUUCGAUGAUUGUUUAGAGAAUUUGGAUAAAGUCUUACAAUAGUGUGAAGAAAAGCACUUAAUCCUAAACUGGGAGAAAUGCCAUUUUAUGGUUGGAGAAUGAAUAGUGCUAGGGCACAAGGUGUCCAAACGUAGGAUAGAGGUGGAUAAAGCCAAGAUUGAAGUUAUUGAACAACUUCCACCUCCCACAAAUGUGAAAGGCAUCCAUAGUUUUCUUGGACAUGCAGGGUUCUAUAGGCGCUUCAUCAAAGAUUUUUCUCAAAUAGCUAGACCCCUAACUAGUCCCCUUGCUAAAGAUGCACCUUUCAUCUUUAAUCAUGAGUGCCAUACAGCUUUCCAAAUUCUAAAGAAGGCACUCAUCUCAGCUCCAACUAUCCAACCACCUGAUUGAAAGAUUCCUUUUGAGAUCAUGUGUGAUGCUAGUGAUUUUGCAGUUGGAGCCGUUUUAGGCCAAACCAAAGAUAAAAAGCACUAUGCCAUAUCUUAUGCUAGCAAAACCUUGUCUGGACCUCAGCUCAACUAUGCUACCACUAAAAAGAAUUACUGGCUGUUGUCUUUGCUAUAGACAAGUUUUGAUCUUACUUAGUGGGGGCUAAGGUAAUUGUUUAUACGGAUCAUGCAGCUCUUAAGUAUCUCCUCACUAAGAAAGAUGUUAAACCUCGGCUAAUUCGAUGGAUUCUUCUACUCCAAGAGUUUGACAUAGAAAUACGAGAUAAGAAAGGAGUAGAAAAUUCAGUAGCCGACCACUUGUCUAGACUUCAAUACAAGGAAUCACAUGAGUUACCCAUUAAUGAUUACCUAAGGGAUGAAACCCUACUCAUAAUAACAAACUUCGAUCCAUGGUAUGCAAAUAUCGUGAACUUUAUGGUAGCGGGGUAUGUCCUGGAUGGUAUGAACAAAAGAAAAUUGAUUCAUGAAAGCCGCCUUCACCUAUGGGAUGAUCCCUAUCUAUAUCGAGUUUGCCCUGAUGGAUUGCUAAGAAGAUGUGUCCCUAGCUAUGGCUGAGGCCAUUCAAAUUAUGGAAAGAUGCCAUGCCUAGCCAUAUGGAGGGCAUUAUGGGGCAUUUCGGACACAUGCCAAGAUUUGGCAAAGUGGUUUUUCUGGCCAACGAUGUAUCAAGAUAGAAAGGAAUUUGUUAGAAGAUGCCAUAGAUGCCAAAAACAUGGGAGCAUCAACUCAUGAGAUGCCAUGCCACUCAUAAACAAUCUCCAUGUUGAACUCUUUGAUAUUUGGGGAAUUGAUUUCAUGGGGCCAUUCCUAAAUCCAAAAAUUGUGAGUACAUCUUAGUGGCUGUAGACUAUGUAUCCAAAUGGGUAGAAGCCCUACCAUGUUGAAAUGCUGAUUCCAAUCAUGCUAAGAAAAUGUUCCACGAAAUCAUAUUUCCUCACUUUGGUACACCCCGAAUGGUUAUAAGUGAUGGAGGAUCACACUUUAUAGACAAAGUCUUUCAGAAGUACCUAGCAGAUCAUGGAGUGUGUCACAACAUUGCAACACCGUACCAUCCUCAAACUAGCGGUCAGGGAGAAACAUCUAACAAGCAAAUUUAAAAUAUUUUACAAAAGACCGUAGACGAAAUGGGUAAGGGAUGGAAGGACAAACUCCCUGAUGCGCUUUGGGCUUACCGAACUACAUACAAGACACCUAUUGGUAUGUCACCCUAUCAACUUGUAUAUGGGAAGACGUGCCAUUUACCUAUUGAGUUAGAAUUCAGGGCCCAUUGGGCAAUUGAGAAGUGGAACAUGGAUCUCCACCUAGCUAGCAAGAAUUGUCAAAUGCAACUUUCUGAGCUAGAAGAAUGGAGAGAAAAAGCUUAUCACAACUCUAAAAUCUACAAAGAAAGAACUAAAAGAUGGCAUAAUAAGAGAAUCAAGCAUAAAGAGUUUAAUCCUAGAGACAAUGUUCUACUUUUCAACUCAAGAGUCAAGCUUUUCAAACAUGGUAAACUACGAAGCAAGUGGGAUGGACCUUACAAGGUCAUCAACACUUCAACUCAUGGACCCAUGACCAUCCAAGAUGAUACAGGUAACACAUUUAAGGUACAUGGCCAACACUUAAAAGUUUAUCUUGAGCCACAAAUCAACAUGGUUGAAGAACUUGAUGUGAUUGAGUUCUUAGAAAUCAUUCACUAAAUUCAUACAUCAUAAUAAAAUUGGUGAAAUGCUAAGAUUAGAAUUUAUACUUUUUGGUAUCUUACACCAGAGAGUCCCUUUUAUUUUCACCAUUUUCUUUCUAUGAAUGAAAAGCCAGGUACAAUUUUGAAGAAGUGUGGGGGAGGUGCCAACCCAUUGUGAAUAAAUAUGCUGAGCACUUCAUGGACUGAUGGGGGAGUCUGCGUACAACUACUAAAACUCGGUUUGAUCUUUCUUGAUUCACUCAUAUGCCUACUGUGUUUCGCACUUGUUAUGCACUUGCAUUACCUUGCAAAUUAAAAAGAACCAAGAUCCACACAUAGAAUUGAAAUUUGAAGAGUGACAAGAUGAUGGCAUUCUUGAGAUAUAAGCUUGCAUGAAGAUUGUUUCAUAUACAUACACUUAUGCUUAUGGGAAAAAUAUUCUAAUAGAAAAAUCAUAUUGACUAAGUUGUUGUGGAGUGUGACAUAGUUUUGGCACAGAAAUCCUACUAGUUCUAUUCAAGGAACUUGGAUAUUUCAUGAAGCUAUCUACAUAUGCAGCUUGCUAUUAUGUUGAGUGUGGUCAAACUUUGUGAUCCUUCGAGAGAUUUAUCAUAUUCCCAAAAUCAAGAUUCACUUGCAGCCACAUAUAUAUGCACUGCUCUUACAUUGGGAGUAGGCGCAAAACAUGCCUUCCAUUUAGAUCCACCCAAAAUGUUUCUCUCCUACACUAGGAGUGAACACAAAAAUACCCCUAAUAGGUUUUCCAUCCACCAAAUAAAUGCUCCAAUUCUUGUUGCUAUCUCUCAAAUGUCUUUGUUGUCAAAAAGAGUCAUGAGCUAUGCAAAAGUAAUAAAGAAAAAAGAAUAGAGGGAGUUAAAAAAGUGACAAGUGUCCUAAAGAUGAAAACAAUGAGUACUCAGAUACUCGCCUCCCUAAAAGGAAAAAGAAAAAAAGAUUGCUCAUGUUCUCUGGCCAAGUUUUUAAAGAGAGAUAUAUUCAAGGAGUAUAGUAGAAUUAGGGUUUUCCAAUUCCACCAUAUAUCCACUAAAUAUCCACACACAUGCACAUCUUGAUCUAAGAGUAUGAUAUUUUGCUCCUCGGGUUCAGAUUUUGACUUUACAAUAUAUGCAACACAAGUAUGCCACAACAACUAUCUCUACCUGAGCUCCACAUAAGCUAUCAGUUGUAGGAAAAGAAGAGCAUAAUAAGAUACACCAUUGAGCGAUCGAGAGUACCAUUUGAGGAGUAAUAGUGAUCUAUGCUUUCCUUUUGUAAAAACUUUAAAAACUUCAAGUGGCUAAGAUGUGAAUCUGGGUAGGUGACUUCGCUUCAAGAACUGUUCCACUUUUCAACUGCCCAAGGACAUAUGUUAGCCAAUGCCACAUAUCCCACUUGUGUGAGUAAUGUUUUGGAAUAAUUUUUAUGUUAGCUAUAUAUAUAUAUUUGGAUGUUAUGAUCAUGAUUACUUUUAUCUUUAACCUUUACUCAAGGAUGAGCAAAGAGCAAGUGUGGGGGAACUUGUUGACGGUGGAUAACGUCAGCUCUUAUUAGAACUUUAGACAUGAAAGGAUACAUGAAUACCCACUAGUCUAGGGUUUUAACUGACAAUUUCCAUGAGUUUUGCAUGUUUUGUACUUCCCAGAGAUUAUUCUAGAAAAUCAUAAAAGAAGGAUUAGAGUGCAUAAUUAUCACGAAACUUAUCUGCCAUCAUUAGGCACAGGAAGGAUCUAGAAGUCACCCGAAGGAACGAGACCCGCAGAGGAGACAAGGUGGGGCCGGUCGGUGCCCUAUUUCGCCCGAUGGCCACCGCCUUCUAGAGUCUUUCUCCUACACCUCCUUGGAAGCCAGGAAAAGUAUCCCUCCAUCGAUUUUAAGUCGGUUUCAUCCGAUAGUGCACACAAGUUGAAGACGCGGAUCGCUGACGUGGCGGUUCCUUGCCCCCUACUCCACCUCAGCCUAUAUAAGGACGCCCAAGGCCCUCUCCUUGAGGCAUUCUACACCCCGGUGCUUCAUAUUCUCUACACAAAUUAGGGUUAGUUGUGUCCCUCUAGUUCAUCUAGUUCUAGUUUUUCUAGUUCUAGUUAUAGUUCGUCUAGUUCUAGUUCUUCUAGUUCUAGUUCUAGUUCAUCUAGUUGUAAUUAGAAGAGGGAGAGAGCGAAGGAGGAGCCAGAUCUAUCAGAUCUUCCUCGACAUUGUACUUUUGCAGUAUCUGGUUCAUCACUCAGCAAUCUUCAGGUGCCUUAAUUACUAUUCUAAGUUCUUUAUUUACUUAAUUUUAGUACUUUAAGUUCAUUUAUUUGUUUCUCGCUUGCAUCAAGUGCUCUAGUCUUUGCAACGCUAGAGUAGUAAUUAAUAGGUUAGGCGUGGUGCUUAGUCUAUAUAUUACCUAGAAUUACACCCAGUUCUACGGAUAGUUGUGGUAGCCCUAGGUGGUGACAGCCCUGACGGCCGACGUAUUCCACCACGUUUGGAUUGGUGUUGUAGGACCGUAGUCGGAGCUUCCUAGUCCCCUUUCUCAUGUGUCUGUGGCUAGUGUUCUGAUGUCCCAAAAUAAGUAGACUUUAAUGUCAAUUUGAUUUAUAGAUCCAUUAGAGAACCUUUAGAAAUAUCCUCUCUACCCACUAAAAAUACUUUGACCUUUACUGUUGGACGAUCUUGAACCAUAAUUAGUACACUUCGCGUUCCUUGUGGAAAAUCGAUACUCUGGAAUACUCUCGGGUGAAAGCUACAUUGGUAUCCGUGCGCUUGCGGAUUUCUCUGUUUGCGUUUAAAAUACCCAACAGUGGCAUACUAUGAGUGGCUGACACUUUCGUCAUAUAAAUGAAUAUUUUCAUCACAGAUCAAAGUACAAUAAGGUCACAGAAACCUGAAUUUUCAUCACUAAUCACUUUAUAAUAACAUUACAAAACUCAGAAUUUUGGUCUCUGAUCACAGUAUAAUAAGAGUAGACCAAAUGCUUACAUAACUUAGCAAAUCUAGUAUUAUGGUCACCAUACAACCGACACUACUUAACUCAGUUCAUAUGUAACAUAGAACAACAGAUCAUAGCAACUAAACCAACCACUAGAAAAACAUAAAGCUCCAUACUAAAGCAGUGACAGCAAUAUAACAUAUCUAAACUAGGGACAGAGCCAACCACCAGCAACAUCACUUUCAUCUUUGUUCACUGAAGAUCACAGCAAAUUGGCACCCACCAGCAACAGCACAGUUUGCAUACACAAAAUCAGCGGCACCGACCAGAGAGUAAGAGCAGCUCAUGUCGAAGUAGCGGCUGCAAGAAGAGCAAAGUAGAUUAACUAUAAAUUGCACACAUUAUUGGAUAACAUAAUACUAUUGAGCAGAAACAUGUAGGAGGAACAGGUGGAGCAAUGAGUUUGAUCAGUCAGAAGAAAAACACAUUAGCACAACAACAAAUACCUUUCAUGUCGAAGGACCGUUGUUGAGGGACAAGAGACGCUUGAUCAACACAUUGUUCUACUCUAGUGCCUUGUUGGUGAUCUCUGACAUCUUCUUCAUCUCCUCCAUCUUCUUUUCCUACAUUUCCAGCUUUUUCUCAGCUUCUACACUUUUCUGCUUGAGCUCCUGGAGUUCAGUUUGUACAAUAGCCCUAGCUUCAGCUGCCAGUUGUUCCCGAAGCUCGUUUUCAUUUAAUGAUGAUGCUUUGGAAGAUCCCACUGGCUUGAUGCCAAGACUCUUCAGGAAAUGGUUUGAACUAUUUUUGGGGAGCACCUGAGAAACCACUUGCACACUACAUACUCCUGUCUCACCUUCAGGAACAGGGUCUGCCCUCAAAGCUUCCAUGUUUGCCUAUAAUUUGAAGCCAACAAUGACCAUAUAUUUGACAUAAAGCAUAGGUAGUGAAAACUUAAACAAUCAACAAGGUAUUUUUCCUUCUAAAAUGUACCGAGGAACAAUGCUGCAACUACAAGUAUAAAUGUAUCUCAAGAAGCCAGGAAAUUCAUUAAUCUAGCAUCUCAUGCUAAUCAAAGUGUGAACUGGUUCAUCUCAAACAGGAAUAGAUCAAGUAUAAGACAUGGGUGUAGGGGCAGACCCAGAUCAAAGAACAAUAUUGUUGGUUUAAGAUAGGUAGUGAAAAUUUAAACAAUCAGCAAGGUAUUUUGCCUUCUAAAAUGUACUAAGGAACAGUGCUGCAACUACAAGUAUAAAGUGUAUCUGAAGAAGCCAAGAAAUUCAUUAAGCAAUCAUCUCAUGCUAAUGAAAGUGUGAACUGGUUCAUCUCAAGUAGGAACAUAUCAAGUAUAAGACAUGGGUGCAGGGGCAGACCCAGAACAACGAACAAUAUUGUUGGUUUGUAUAUAAGUUACUAAAAUCCAUCACUACAAUUUGUUAUUGGAACUGGACAUGUUAUCCAAUGGAUGCACAAAACAACAUAGCAAAAGAGAUGUUGGGACUUAUAACUGCCUCUCUUGCUGGUUCACUAAGACCAUGCUUGGAGCUAGUAUGGCAGGUCUUGAAGGCCUCCACCACAUCAAGUUCUUCAUUGUCUAUGUUGGGUUCCGCAUUGUUCCUGUUCUGCUUCUAUGUCAUAAAGAAUCAAUUUCAACAGUUUUGUCAGUCUUAUGAUGCAAAGUCAGUCUUAUGUAGUGAAUGAGUUACUUACAUAUGUAUGCAAGUGCGCCACAUAGCUACGAGAACCGGUAGUCUCAUGAUACUUGACUCUACUGUGAUUAUUCUUGUUCUUUUCACUUGUUUCCUAAAAGAGAUUGAACAUAUGAGAUGAGUUCAUAGGUUUAAAAUGAGAAGAUCCAUUAGAAAGUGAAUGAGAUAGAAUAUAUGACAAGAUACCCAUACCAUGUUCUUUGGAUUAGUCCACUUUGCGACCAAUGCCUGCCACUCUUGAUCAGACAUACUUGAAACUAGAGAAGUUGUGGGAAUCUCAUUUGCAAGUACAUCAUUGAAGUAUUUCUUCUUCAGCCGAUACCUCAUUUGUCGGACCCCAGAGCACAGCACAUCGGUGCAAGUUUCCUCAGUUGGCUUGUCCUUAUCGUUAAUGGCCAAGCGCCCCUAGACAUAUGACAACUCCACUUUUAGUUAGUCAAUUUAGCUUAAGAAGAUAUUCAAGUCGACCAUUGAAAGAGUAAGACACUUAUAGAGAGCUUUCCCAAAAAAUCAUUGUAAUAUUUUUCAUCUUUCUUGUACAAUUUCCAAUGGGGUAGGAUAGGAACCUUAUUUCGAAUGAUGACACCAGACUCAGACGCAAACUUGGUUGCCUGAACAGGUUCAUCUAGCCUUCUUUUGCCUUGAGCAAUAGCUAUGGGCAGUCUCCUACCCAUAGCUUUUGUCAUCCUGUCCAGCCGUGAUCCCUUGGUUGGUGGCCUGCGUUCCCUUGGGGCUCGCUGUGUAGGAGCUACAAAAUAGAUUUUGAAUUUAUUUCAUGCAAAUUAGCCAAAGAGAUGACUUGUUGGAAUGGCAAAUAAACUAUAACUUGUCUUCAGUGUCUUCCUCUCAAUGGUGUUCAUCAUGACUUGUAUUGCCUUGAGCAGCACCUCCACUUUCUUCCUCUGCAGGUGUAGUGUCCUGAACACUAGCUGCAUUGCCUUCUUCUGCAGCUGUGGAAGACCUUUGUGCUAUUUCUUCUUCAUUGUGCCCUUGUGUUGCUAGAAAUGAAGCCUUUUGAUAUUCUUGUUUGUGAUUGAGGAGGUUGCACCUCUGAACCUUCAGAUGCCCUGACUCUUUGGCUAGCCCUUACUCCUAGAGGCAUGUUGUCACCUGUCUUCUUCCUCUUUGAAGCUUGGCCUCUAGGAAAAGGAGUAAACCCUAGAGGAUACUAUGGAAAAAAACAAGUAAGUCUCAUAUACAACAACACUAGUAAACAUAGUAUUUGAUAUCAUGAAGUUUAAACAAAAUUAACUUCUGAACAUAUCAUUUCAAACUUUUCAUUCAUAUAUACAUAACCAAAUCCCAUGGUAGGGAAAACAAAAAUUAAAUCAUUGUUAACCUCAAGUUGUAGGUGCAUAUUAUCCCUAGCCUUGAUCUGAUCACCAUACCUUGAAUAGAUGAGUUUAAACAAACAAGUACUGUUAAAUGUAUUCUGAGAGCAGGGCACUAAUUUGUUCUAAACAUUUGGAUGAAGACAACACAAAUGCACAAGCAAAUAGUGAAACGGAUUACAAUCAAGUGUACAUGUUUAUACUUUUUAGGUAGCUUUGGAUAAGAAAUACCAGUUGUACUUAAGUAACAUAUAGGGAAUUUAUAUCAUGACCAAGUGUCAAAAAUACAGAAACUUAUACCUUGGUUGCUAGUGGUUGUGGCUGAUCAUCAGAUUCAGUGUCAUCAUCAUCACUAUCUCCUUGAUCAUCACUGUCAAGGAGAUACUCCAAUGAAUCCGAAUCUUCACUAUUUGAUUUCUUGGUUGCUGAUUUUUUGCCCUUAUUUGAUGCAGAUUCAGGUAUAGUUUUUUUAAAUAGUAGCUAAUUUUUUUAGUCCAAGUUCUUGCAUCUUCUUUUCUACGGCCGCCACUUGUGCAUCCUGCCUUUGCUCAUAAAUUGUUUUUGGAGGUUCUUACAAGAACAAGCAAAUUGUGUCUAUUAGAAAACGAAUAGGAGUGAACUAAUAGGUAAGAGCUACGAAUGCUAGAUGCUGGAUAUAUUAGCGGUAGUAGAUACUAGUGUCUCGUGAAGAGCAAAGAGAUAAGAGGUCAUAGUUUAUAGGCAACAAGUAAUAGGUCAGAGCUCAGAGGUACUAAUUUUUUAAGUAAUGAAGCAGAAAUACUCUAUCAAUACACAUGAAUGCAGGAAAUGCACAAAGUUCUAUCUGUAUAACAAAUACAUAGACAAUUCCAGGUCAUUAGAGUGAUUCAUCAUGGUUGUCUGGAUAGUUCUUAGGUAGCUGACACAACAAACAAACAAAAUUCAAAUAAGACACCUUAAAUGCCUAUCAACAAUGUAAGCAGGCAGAAACACAAUAAGGAUUUAGAGGUAAAAGGAGACAAGAAACAUAAUGCCAUGUCAAAGUUGAUGAAUAGGCUCCUCUUAACAGUUUCAGACAAUAUAGAAUUGUCAGCUAAUUUGCUACUGUAUAUGUCACCAUCCUUUUAACACUGUAUAAUCAAAUAAAACUGGCAUACUUUUGUGAGACCUCCCUCUGGUCACCCCUCCCUAGACUGGUACGUGCUCUCCAUGAACCUGCUGCGUUGUUUGUUCUGCAGCCACCAAAAAGGCAAGAGGGAUGGAUGAGUAGCAGCAGCAAAAUUCCAGAAGACCUACAAAACUCAGAUAUCUUCCUUCCUUGAUUCCUACCUUUUUCUUGUUCUGCAGAUAUAUUCCUUCCUUGAUUCCUUGUAUACACCAUUCCGCUUGUGGCUUAGCUGCGGAUGUAGACGAGGUGGUUGGUGGCAGUGGUCAUCGAAGGGGACUUCAGGGAUGCACAUGAAACAAAUAAACAAUUGUGUUUCAAAUGUUGAUAAACCAUGCAUUGUUGAUUUUAGAGGUCAGCCUUGCUUUGUCAAUAAGCCUCGAUGACCUUCACAAAUUAUACUCAGUCGAAUAAUGAUUAUGAAUUUCAGAUUGAGGGAACCAAUUGUAGGUUAAAUUGUUUGAUUAAGUGAUAGGAUUACCAUCUGAUAUAUUUAUUUUUGUAGUAAAUAUUUUCAUAUGCACUGUAAUGGCAAUGUUUGGGUUACAAAAUUAGUCACAAUGCCAAUCAAUGCAAAUGUAAGUAGUUCAUGGUUGAUUUUAAGCACUUCAUUCAUUAGCUAUGCUCUUGUUGCUGUCAGAUAGCAGUAAGCGAUGGCAUAACAGAAUUGCUCUAGUGACUUGUUUGUCAGGCCAAGGCUAAUAUUUGGUAAAUCAGAUCUAAGGGCAGACUCCUAUGAAACUUACUAGGAUAAAUAUAUACAAAUGAUUAUCAGACGCAAUGCAGUUCAAAUUGAGGACAACAGACAUGUACCCAUAAUAAUCUGGUGGAAGGGGGGAGGGGGUGGGGAAAUUAGCAACUGACCAGUAGGCGUGGUCGCAGCCCUUUACGAGGGCCGUCUCCUGGCGGGCUAUCCUGUCGAGGCUGAUGGCACACACCCCGCAAUCCACCGCCGCCGCCCAGUCACUGCCGCCCAGUCGCAACCCGGGGAGGCGAAACUCACCUCGCCAAGGGUGACACAGGCCGUCGAUGGGGAAGCAGAUGCACUCCUUGUUCUUAGGGUUUCGGGGAUUGAGGACGGCGGUGCGAUAGGUCAUGGGGUGUGCAAGAGAGGAGGGAGAGGUGGAUGCGGUGAAAGAUGGCGACGGCGACGCAGCUCGCGGGCGAGGAAGCAGCUCGGGGAUGACGGUUCUUCGUGCGGUGGCACCUAGGUUUAAGAAAUGUGUGUGGGGGUGGGGGAGGUGCGGGGCAAGAGAGGAUGAGUGGAUGGGGGUGACGAGGGAGUGGGGGUAAUUGCUAAAUUAGAGGUAGUUAGGCGGCAUUUUUUUUUGUGGCAUUUUUUUUUCUCCUUGCCGCCCUGUGAUGUUUUUUAUUUUGGUGGUAAUUUUUCCCUCCAGGGAUAGUAGGUAAUGAUGUUAUCUUUUUUUAACUUAUUAUCUCCACAGAUAGUACAAUAAUGAGUAAUGAUUUAUCUCAUUUAUUUUCAAAACUCUUUUUACAUUUUGUAGGUAUGAUGUUACUUAUUUGUUGAAAAACUAAAUGAUACAAGUUUGGAAGGAAUUUAUAAAAACUUGCAAUAACACAGAACAAGCCUCACUUAGGCUAUUUUAACAUGAACAAUAUUUUGGUGUAUGAUGAUGACAUAAAAGUUUCAAAGGAUUUCGACAAAGUGGUACUAUACCUAGGUAUUUAAACAUGAACAUCUUCUACUUUGUUAUAAGGAUAUAAGUUAACAUGUAUGCCGUUGUGCGGAUGUGCAUGACCUCUUUCUCAUAAAAAGUUGAAACUUUUUUUAACAUAUUACACCAAACUGAGGUGUGCAAGCCAUUUUUUAGAAAUUUUGGGCUAGCUUUUGGGUACUCUAACAUUUAUCCAUCACUAAUGCAACAUAAAAUUACAACAAUAGGUAAACUUGGUCUUAAAAUUGCAUAGAUGCACGCAACUUCAUAGGUUUGAUCCAUAAACAUACCAUAAAAAUUUAGAAUGAUUUUGACAUCUUGUACAAGCAUGAACAAAUAAUAAGUAGUUACAAGGUAGCUUAAAGCUUUUAUGCUUUAGUCAUUCAACAAAUAAGUGUAAUAAUAGCUAAAAAAAGUAAUAAGAUGUAUGAUAAUCAACAAGGUUGAUGAUUAAGCAAUAAUAUAGUACUAAUUAAUUACAAAUCGGGCAAAUAAAUGAACAUAAAAAAAUAAGAAAUUAAAAAUAAGCACAGAAAAAAUUUGGAAAACAAAAAAAAAUGGCUCCCGUGAGGUACGAACCCGGGAGCUCAGGGAGAAACUUGGAGUGCCUUACCAUCACGCUAUUGAAGUAUGUUCGUGAAGAAUGGAGCGUAUUUUUUACUUAAUCAUGAGCGUAAGCGUGACCAAAUAGAUAGGCCUGCAGGCUGGCCCAUUGUUCCCUGUGUUAGUCAUUGUGGGCACCCCUCUUGAUGCAGCGCACAUCGCGGCCACGGAGACCUCCUCGAUGGCCAUCCUUCGGCUCCCCUGCCCACUACAAAUACCUCGACCUCCGCUAGUUUGCAGCCCUGUUUCCCUUCCGGCCCUCAUGUAGCCGCCCCCUGCUUCACCGUAUCCUGUCGCCCCCAUCGCUGUUGGGCACUGAGUCCAUCCACCACGCAUCCCGCUGUAGGCGAAGUGGAAUCGACGAAGGUGUAGCCGUCCACACAUGUCGUCUUGCCCUCUCGUUCUCUGCUCAUUUCCAUGGCCUCUCACGCAGAACAUCUGGACACCGGCAACAUGUUCAACAAAAUGAACAAGAAGGCGGCAGCAUGAAGCAGCCGCAUCAGCAGCCUCCCUGACACGCUGCUACAACUGUUGACGGUCCUUAAGUAUCAACUUUAAUCAUCAAAUAAACAAGGAAAAGGAUCCAUAUGCAAAUACCACCUAGAAUUAGGGUUUGAUUUGAUAGAAUUCCAUGAGUUUUGAUGUUUAUCUAUUUUUGCAAGGGGUUAUGAGGAAAUAUGGAGGAAGAGCCCACACAUCGGGUUAUAGAGAUAUUAACGUGUACGCCAAUUUUCCUCGAUCUAGAACACUCUAGAAGCCACGGGAACGAGCAGGAGGUCGAGCGGGCCCGAGGGCAGGGCACCCGCCCUGAACCCUAGGGCGCCUGCCCUGGCUCAGUAGCCAAUAAGGCUGAGUCUCGCGGAUUAUGCUCCACCGCCUUUGAGGAUCAAAGAAAACCAUGCAAUUAAGGUCGGUUUGAUCCGAUGGUCCACGUUCAUUUGAGAGGGCUAUAUAAGCAAGGCCCCUGGCCCCUGGAGGAGGGCAAUCCCAUUAUUCAUUUGCAUAUUUUCUAGAGAGGAUUCGCAGAGAGAGGUUCCUCUAGGGUUCCAAUCUCCUAGGGCUUAGCAUCCAAUGUGAGAUUAGAAUUUAUUCUUCUAAAUUGAGAGAGAUAGAGUGAAGGUGUAGAUUGGAGGAAGCCUGGCCUAUUGGUGUCUUCUCCAAGUUGUACAUGCAGGAUCAAGUCUCCUAACUCGAGGCUUGCUCCUAGGAUUCUUCGGUAUUUUGACUUCUAAAUUCUAGUAAGUUCUUUGUUCUUAUUUUUCUUUGGUUUGUGAGUUUACUUUAAUCACUUUGCAUAGAGUUUAGAGUAAUCAUCGCUAGCGUAAAUGUGGUGUUUGGGCUAGGACACUCAUAGAUACCCUCUGUCUAGCCGGACUGUGGUAGUAGCAAGGAACGUGACAAUUCCAUAGCUACCUUUGUAGCCCAUAAUCCCGUUAGCAGGAUCAGUAGGGUUUAUAGGUGUGGGUUGAACAUCCUUUGUGGUGUCUAGAUUCCGUAAGCCUCCCUAAUAGAGCAGUAGAUCAUCCUUACCAAGGUUAGAAUGAAGAUGCAGUCAUAGUCUUCUCUAUACAUUUCUCACAGCAAAUCACUUUGGUUGUAGCCUAAAGGUUAGUAGAUGUUGACGGUCCUUAAGUAUCAAAUUUAAUUAUCAAAUAAACAAAGAAAAGGAUCCAAAUGAAAUCAACAUCUAGACUUAGGGUUUUAUCUGACAGAAUUCCACGAGUUUUGGUGUUUGUCUAUUUCUACAGGGGGUUAUCAGGAAAUAAGGAAGAAAGGCCCACAUGUCGGGAUUACAUAGAGAUAUCAACCCACCGCGCAAUUUUCUACCAUCUAGAAGACUCCAGAAGCCACGGGAAGGAAGCGGAGCCCGAAAGGGGCCAGGCCCAGGGCGCCCGCCCACCUCUGGACCCCGUUCCGGACUCUCUUCGCACACGACGUUCCACCGACCUAUUGGAUCCAGAAUAACAUAGUACCACCUCGUCUAUCGACCCAAAAACGCAUAGAAGGGGAGGACUAUAUAAGGAGACCCCCUCUGCCCCCUGGAGGAGACAAGAAAUUAUCAUAGAGAUUGAGGGGUGCCCUCGAAGGAAAACCUCUUAUCUAAAUAAUAUUUCUUUUUAGGCUUAGCAACCAAUGUAAAGUAGAAAUAGAUCUUCUAGUUUCUACUAGAUUGAGAGAGAUAGAGUGGAGGUGUGGAUCGGAGGAAGGCCGGCCUGUCGGUGUCUACUCCGAGUUGUACCUACGGGAUCAAGUCUCCUAACCCAAGGCUUGCUUCUAAGAUUCUUCAGUAAUUCGACUUCUAAUACUAGUAAGUUCUUGUUUUAUUAUUCUUUGGUUUAUGAGUUUACUUUAAUCCUCUUCCGGUUGAGUAUUAGAGUAAUCACUUGUUAGCGUAAACGUGGUGUUUAGGCUAGGGUACUCAUAGAUAUCCCCUGACUAGCUGGACCGUGGUAGUAGCGAGGAACGUGACAAUUCCGAGUUACCUUUGCAGAUCACAUCUCGUUAGCAGGACGGGUAGGGUUAUAGGUGCGGGUCGAACAUCCUUUGUGUUGUCUAGAUUCCGUGAGCCUCCCCAAUAGAACAGUAGAUCAUCCUUACCAAGGUUAGAACGAGACUACGGUUGCAGUCUUCUCUAUACAUCACUCACAUCGAGAGACAUUCUUUGUAGCCUAAAGGGGUAGUAGCAAUAGAUUUGGUUAGUCAGAUGCACCCUUUCUCCCAGUGGUAAAAAUAUAAAUACGAUACUCUGGAAAACCUCCCGGGUGAAAUGCUCACCGAUAUCCGUGUGCUUGCGGAUCAUUUUCUAAUUGCGUUACCAAAUAUCAACAAGCAUUUCUGGCGCCGUUGCCGGAGAGAAAGACGGUUUGCUGAGAUAACUAUGAGUCUUGCUAUUAUCUUGUAUUAUACUUUUAUACUUUUAUUCUUUUAUCUUUUUAUCUUUAUGGAUAACUUAAAUUCCAUACCUAUUAUUAAAUUCUUUGCACCUUCGGAGACCAAUCAUAGACCAUGGGAGUCAACACGUCCUGCCCCUAAUUAUGAUCUGUGUCCGGAGUUGAUUGCAAUAGGUCAAAACCAACCCUUUUCUAUAGCCGAGGUCCUAUCUUUUAAUCAAAAAGAUAAUGCACUUUUAGCUACUCCUAGGGAAUCUGUUAAUCUUUCUAUAAAUUCUGGUUUAGACCUAGCCCUACAAGACCAUGUUUUUCCUAGAUAUUUUCACAUUGGUCUUAAUCAUAUAACCUUUGGUAGAGUCCUUCUUUCUUUAUCUAUUAGUAAAGGAAGGUAUGUCUUCAUUUGUGGACAUCCUUCUUGUACUAGUCUUCAUAGAAAAAUCUUAGAAAUAGAGAAGGAAUCAUCUCCCAGACGAGGAAAGGAAGUUUCAAUAGCCGAUUUCCAAACAUUUCAAUCCCAUAAUUCGGCUAUCCAACCCAUCCUUGAGUUUAAUAAUUUCUACUAUGCUCUUUCUCUUGAACCUCCCGACAAUCCUAUGAAUCUAUCUAGACAUCCCAUUCAUAAGAGUCACCAAGACUACAAGGAGGAUCAAGAAGAGCAACAUCAAUGGCUAGAGGGCAUUAAAAAUCCAUGUGCUAUCACCAUUGAAUGGAUAGAUAAAACAAACUUGAGAGACAAUCCUAGAGGAAUUUUAAGCAUUUAUGAAGAAUCAUCCUUGGAAUUUGAGAAUGAGAGAAACAACAGUGAGCAUGGAAGUUAUUUCAUAAAUACCUCACCAAGUCCUUGCUCAUAUAAAACAUCUCUUCAAUCAAUUGGUCUCUCCAACCUCAUCAUAUUUGAGAUCUCCAACGCUCUCUUCCUUUCUAUUUAUAACAACUUUAAAAGAGCGGUUGUCGAUGCAUAUGUCUAUAAUUAAUAUUGCAGAUCUCGUUGAGUUAAUUGAUGGUUUCCUAAGGACAAGCUUAGUGUCCUAAAACAAGCACUUCUAAUUAUUUGCAACAUUGCCUUGUGUAUUGAGCAUAUAAAGAUAAUUGUAGAAAUAUUUCUUCGGGUAUUCUUGUCACUAACCUUUCCAGGAUUGGAGCAAGAAGAUCGAAUGAAUGAUAAGCACAAGGUAUGUCCAACCAACCAUCACACAACAUUGAAUUAAAUUCAUCCAAACUUGAAUUUUGCAAAAUUCAAGCUUGGGGGAGUACUUUACAUAAAAACAUCCUUUGCCAUGCUGCUACGUUGGUUGUCCCUACCUUUGAGAGAUGCUCAAUUUGUUAAGUACUAAUUACACUACUUCACCUCCACUUGAGUAGAUCGCUAUAAAUGCUCUCAUGCUACCUUUAUUUGCUUUAGUAUAUGUCUAGGUUUGGAGUAGUUUCAUUUAUCUCUUAAAUCAAGCAUGGUGCUUAGUUUAGGAAUGAUGAUCUUACUUCCAAAGGAUUUUUUAAAAUUAAGCAUGGUGCUUAGGUUAAAAUGCCCUCCUAAAUCAAAUUAGACACGGUGUCUAGGUUGAUUUUUGAGCCGAUAGUAUGCGAUAGUAGAUAUGGGAUAUUUUGUUGGACUAACCCCUGCAGGAAAACUUUCAAUAUCAACCUGGGAAGUCCUGAGAUACAAACUCAUUGGAGAUAAAGGAGACACAUGAAGUUUAACAAUUUGCACAAGAAGGACAUAGCUCAUUCAUCAUAAGAGAUGAUUCAUGGAGGGUGCCACAAACACGAUGCACAACCACUAAGAAAGGAAAGCUUCCACAAGGUAAUACUAUACCAUCACUCUUCAAUAACAUCUUAAGGUACUUGACUAUCACUUUUAUAAACUUCUCCUUGGUUCUAGCGUUCAUAUAAAAUAAAGAGACAAACAUGUAUGAUUUGUAGCUCCAAAUUAAUCAACCCAAUUAAUUCAACAUGUUUAGUCCUUUAAUCUUUGUUCUUAGUACUACCUUCGUGAUCCCACACUCCUAAUUAUAUAAGUUAAAAUGUCGCACAUUCAAUCUUUGGAAGAUAUAAACAAAACAUAAAUAGAUUAUCUUUCCAUUAGGUUGAGCCAUCUGAUCUAACAAAUGUUUUAAAUGUUACACUAAUGAUCCAUCAACUUUGUCUUGCUGACUAUGCUUAAGGUUAGAGAAGAACAAAUACACUUUUGGUUCUAUUGGUGUUUUCCACCAACAGGGCCCAUGCACUUGAUCUCUGCCUUGUCUCUAUGAAGCAGGACACAUUUUGAGAAACGUGAAAGAGUUUUACAACUCCUAGACUUCGCCAAGUGAAGGACCGGGAUCUACGAGCACAAACACAAUGGAGAUCAGACACUUAGUUUCCCAAAGGAAAUAUUGAAGAACCUCUGUGUCCGAGUUGGUACCUUGUACGCUCUAGCAGACUUCAUGGUGAUAGAGACUGGUACUGAGGAGAGGGCACCCAUCAUCUUAGGGAGGCCAUUCCUAAACACUAGAGCUGUCAUCUACGCUAAUGCUGCCAAGAUCAGUCUCUACAUCAAGGGGAAGAAGGAGAUUUUCCUUCAAGAACAAGACUACACAAACUUCAAGAAUCCCGACACGAACCAAGAAAGAGGACCAACAGGAGGAACAGGAACAAACAAAUGUGGACGGAGUCAGCUAAGAUGGUCACUGCAGUUCAAAGAGGUCAAGAUCGUCGACUCAAGUCGCCAUUCCUUAUCAAGAAGGACAACCCUGGUGUUCCAAGCAUCGAGUGCACAAUCAACGGAUACUCUUUUCAGAAGACACUCUACGACACUGGAUCUAACGACAACAUAAUGGCCGCAGUCACUUAUCAGCUCCUGCAUGGAACCAUGCUCCUACAACCAAGAUACAUUCAGCUUCAGACAAUUUUCAGGUCAUUGACAUGGGAGAAGACGAGUAUGAUCCAUCCACCAUCCUUGGAAGACCGUUCCUCAGCACUAUCAAAGCCAUUAUCUAUAUUGGAACCGGAGAAAUCCACAUGUACUUCCCCUCUGAAAAGGUACGCCACCACUUUAAUGAUUCUAACUAUAUAGUUGAAGAUUCUAAGCAGGUCAGGACAAGAAGAAGACAACGCAACCGAAACCAGAGGAGGCAAAUCAUCAAGGACGGAUGGGUAGACUACGAAGGAGAAGUGAUAAGGACUGAAGACAUACACUUGAACAGAACUGUCCUGAGGAGACCGUAACACCGAGUCAGGUAUGGAAAAUGAAGAUAACUAUAAAUGAAGAGGAGGCGCUGCCAGAAGUACCGACUACGCCACCCAACGAACCUCAGGACGAUUAAGAAAAUGGAGAGUCCCGUUCGGAGGACUUAAAAACACCGAACGCCUUGCCAAGAGGUAAACUUGGUAGUUAUCCUUUCCCUUUUAAUUAUUUCAAAUAGUUUACUUAGUUAAUCAUGUUCAUAUUAUCCUAGAAAGAAAAUAAAAAUAUGAAAAAAAAAACUGUAAGCCCCAUGUGAGUAGACGAGUGGCAUAAAACCCAUAAGUACAUUCACUGUGGUGGCAUAAAAAUAAAAUAAAUAUUUUUCUGCUUUAUAAAAACAAAAAUAUAAAAACAGGGAGUAAUAUUUAUUAAGGAGUCUUAACAUGAUAAAGGCUAGAUAUUUAUGCUAACACUUAAUCAGUUCCACAAGCUAUGUUGUCUAUUUGAGCUCCACAGAAUUUAAGAAUCAAGAAGACUAGUAGACGGAGAACAUUCUAAUCGCUGUCACAAUGCUGCUGACUUUCAAAUACACCUCUGCCACCUGCUAGCUACAUCAAGAGAAAUUACGUCAAAAUUCAGCUUGGGGGAGAGCACCCCCAUUUAUCUCGAUAAGUAUUUCUAUCUAUCUUUAUACUUAUAUUAUUUUAGAAUAUAAAUACACAUAAACUAUGGAAAACCAAAUAAAGAUUUUAUGCUUAUAUAUAUUUUGCUUAGUGUGUUUAAUAAAUCAAUAAAGUGGCUAUGCUAAUCUAUAUCUAAUAAAACUUAAGCAUGGAUAUGAUGAAUAGUUGCUCUGCCUAAUUUGCAAAUUUGAAGUUCUCUCUCAAGUUUAGAUAUAACUGUUAUAAUUUAAGGCUUGCUCUAGACCUAAACUUGUGGGAUGAAAACUUGAUCUGAAGUCUAAGUUGUUAACGGAUACGAUAUGGGAAGGUUGAGCUGCUGUUUAUCUGUUCCUAGAGAUGCUAGAAUUCUGGAGAAUUUUAUCUUUGAAAAUCUUUAAAAUGUUGCAUGAUGAGUUCCUGUAUGAUGAGAGUUUAAAUUCCUACCACAGCCAUAUAUACAUGCUUGCUAGACUUUGAGCCACACAUUUACUAUUUACUGCUUAUGAGCAUUGAGUGUGGUCAAGCUGUGUAGACCCUUAGGAACUUGUCAUGUGGUUAAAUCAAGAUUUCACUUGCACGUUCACUCAUAUAUGCUACUUCUACUCCGGAAGUACCAUCCACAUAUAUCCACCCAUUCCAUCUCCAGAAUCACCCAAAAAUAUUCUACUCCUAAUCCGGGAGAGAAUAACCAAAAAUAUUUCUGUUUUCCCCUUGUGAAAUAAAUGCUCAAGUUAUCUUGUUACUACCACUUGCUAUAUUAUCUCAAGAGAUGAAUGCUCUAAAAAAAGAAAGAAAAGAAAAAAAAGAGAAAAAAAAGAGAUACGAGGAAAUAAAAAGGAGCAAGUGCUCGGAACCUCGAAAGAAAAGAAAAAGUGAGACGAGAGGUAAAAAUGGACAAGUGUCCGACAGUAGAAUUAGGGGUGCAAGAUACCCACCUGAGAGAAAAGAAAAAGAAGAGCAUCUCAUUCUCCUCAUAUUGUUUCAAAAGCAAGGAAGGUAUGUAUCCCCUCAACGAGCAAAGUAGAUUUAGACUUCCACCACCAUUACUUCCACCAUUGUUAUCACCAUCAUCACCAUACACCAUUCAUUCGCCACACAUGCACAUCUUGAUUUGGCUUAUUGAUUUGUUUCUUUGGAUCCAUGGUUUGACUAUACAAUAAAUGUCUUGUAAGUAUGUAUACUUUAUCUCCCACCUAUGAGCUCCAGAUAUUAAAGCCUUAUUAGAGUAGGGUGAGAGAGAAGACAAUGUCACUAUGCUUCAUACCACAAAUACUACAUAUUUUGAGAGAAGGCAUAUACCAUCACUGCCUUAGUAAGGAUCCGAAAAUACCACAAAAGAGAGACCUGAGAGAAUCAUACAAGGAAAUUCUGAGUUUUAUUUGAAAAUCUGCAAAAAACCCCAGAGCUAUAGCUGAUCAAGAAUAAGAGACAUGGCACUUGGCUAGACUGUUCUAUCUUUUAACCACUCAAGACAGAAGUGACGGUUACAAGUCCUAUGGUGUAGGUAAAGUAAGUAAGUUUUAAGUCUUAACAGUUUAUUCUAACUCAGAGAUGAGAUCUUGCUUAAUUGCGUGUGUACUUCUAAGAAAUGAAACCACUGCAGAAACUCUUGAGUUCAUCCUUGCUCAGGGACGAGCAAGAGGUAAGCUUGGGGGAGUUUGUUGAUGGUCCUUAAGUAUCAAAUUUAAUUAUCAAAUAAACAAAGAAAAGGAUCCAAAUGAAAUCAACAUCUAGACUUAGUGUUUUAUCUGACAGAAUUCCACGAGUUUUGGUGUUUGUCUAUUUCUGCAGGAGGUUAUCAGGAAAUAAGGAAGAAAGGCCCACAUGUCGGGAUUACAUAGAGAUAUCAACCCACCGCGCAAUUUUCUACCAUCUAGAAGACUCCAGAAGCCACGGGAAGGAAGCGGAGCCCGAAAGGGGCCAGGCCCAGGGCGCCCGCCCUGAGGACCUGGGCGCCCGCCCACCUCUGGACCCCGUUCCGGACUCUCUUCGCACACGACGUUCCACCGACCUAUUGGAUCCAGAAUAACAUAGUACCACCUCGUCUAUCGACCCAAAAACGCAUAGAAGGGGAGGACUAUAUAAGGAGACCCCCUCUGCCGCCUGGAGGAGACAAGAAAUUAUCAUAGAGAUUGAGGGGUGCCCUCGAAGGAAAACCUCUUCUCUAAAUAAUAUUUCUUUUUAGGCUUAGCAACCAAUGUAAAGUAGAAAUAGAUCUUCUAGUUUCUACUAGAUUGAGAGAGAUAGAGUGGAGGUGUGGAUCGGAGGAAGGCCGGCCUGUCGGUGUCUACUCCGAGUUGUACCUACGGGAUCAAGUCUCGUAACCCGAGGCUUGCGUCUAAGAUUCUUCAGUAAUUCGACUUCUAAUACUAGUAAGUUCUUGUUUUAUUAUUGUUUGGUUUAUGAGUUUACUUUAAUCCUCUUCCGGUUGAGUAUUAGAGUAAUCACUUGUUAGCGUAAACGUGGUGUUUAGGCUAGGGUACUCAUAGAUAUCCCCUGACUAGCUGAACCGUGGUAGUAGCGAGGAACGUGACAAUUCCGAGUUACCUUUGCAGAUCACAUCUCGUUAGCAGGACGGGUAGGGUUAUAGGUGCGGGUCGAACAUCCUUUGUGUUGUCUAGAUUCCGUGAACCUCCCCAAUAGAACAGUAGAUCAUCCUUACCAAGGUUAGAACGAGACUACGAUUGCAGUCUUCUCUAUACAUCACUCACAUCGAGAGACAUUCUUUGUAGCCUAAAGGGGUAGUAGCAAUAGAUUUGGUUAGUCAGAUGCACCCUUUCUCCCAGUGGUAAAAAUAUAAAUACGAUACUCUGGAAAACCUCCCGGGUGAAAUGCUCACCGAUAUCCGUGCGCUUGCGGAUCAUUUUCUAACUGCGUUACCAAAUAUCAACAGUAGCAAUAGAUUUGGUUAGUCAGAUGCACACUUUCUCCUAGUGGUAAAAUAUAAAUAGGAUACUCUGGAUAACCUCCCGGGUGAAGUGCUCACUGAUAUCCGUACGCUUGCGGAUCAAUUCCUGAUUGCGUUACCAAAUAUCAACAAGCAUUUCUAGCGCCGUUGCUGGGGAGAAAGACGGUUUGCUGAGAUAACCUUGAGUCUUGUUACUAGCUUGUAUCUAUACUUUUAUCUUUUCUUAUCUUUUUAUUUUAUUUAUUCUUACCUUAUGGAAAAUCAAGAUUCUAAAUCGAUCUACCAAUAUGCAACACCUUCGGAGCCUGACCUUUUACAAUGGGAGUCAUCACAACCUAUCCAAACAUCCCAGUAUAGGUUAAGUCCAUGGUUAAUUGCCAUGAUUGAGAGCCUAUCUUUUUCGGGAAAGGAAGAUGAAAACCCUUACCUUCACAUUAGAGAUUUUGAGCAAACAUGCGAUUAUCUUCACAUAGAAGGCAUAUCUGAUAAAAGUUUACGUUGGAAGCUUUUUCCUUUUUCUUUAAGGGGAGAAGCUAGACAAUGGUAUAAUUAGAAGGUAAGUCAACAACGAGGUGAAUGAGGAGUUUUACGUGCAAACUUUUGCCUAGAUUUUUAUUCCCUCGACCGUAUCACCGACCAUAGACUCGAAGUUCUAACUUUUCAACAAAAAGAAAAUGAAACUUUGGCUAAAUCCUAGAAAUGUUUUCAGAGCUUUUAGAAUCUGGUCCAAAGCUUAAUCUUGAAGGCCCUAUUCUUCUUCAACAUUUCUUUCGAGGUCUUCAUAAAGUUCAUAAACAAUUGCUACACACAAUGUCUAGAGGUUCUUUCUUUCGUAUCCCAACUGAUGAAGCUAGGGUGAUCUUAGAUAGAAUCCUAGAAGCUGAGAUAGAUAAUACCCUCCAUGAUGAAACUUAUGAAGCCAAAGUAGACACUCUGCCAAAUUUUUCAUCUGCUUCAGCUAUCCCAAGUUCUGAGCCACAAAAGGAAGAAAUUCCACCGCCUAAUUUCAUGUUGGAUAUAGAAUCUGAUCUUUUUGCCGAUUUUGGAAAUAUUCCAAAUUACCAUUCUAUAGAUAAACCCCAAAGCGGCCAUUCUUGCAUUUGUUUACCAAGCAAAUAUGAUUUGAGAGAGCGUAUAUCAAUCAUGAGUAGCGAAUGGUUAGAGGAACCAGAGCUUUCCUCUGAAGUGAUCCGUUUGGAUACACCUCCUAUACCUAUACGUUGUGCUUAUAAUUCAAGUCAAUUUGAUGCUCUCUACAAUCCUGUUGUGGGGAUCAACAUCAUGUCUAAAUCUUAUGCACAUAAAUUAUUUGGAAAAUUAAUUUUAACCCCCACAACAAAGUUCAUAAAGGAUUCUUCAGGACAAUUAAGUCCCCAGUCUUGGAAUUUUGAAUGUCCUACCCUUUAUGGUAGAAGGCUCCAUGGUUCAUUUGAACUUUUAUAUCUUUGAUACAUGGGACUUCGACGUGUUGAUAGGACAACCUUUUAGAAGACUCAUUUAUGAAGGUCAAACUGGAAAGCUACACAUUUCAUUUGGAAAAGAUUUUUAAAUUCCCGAUAGCAAUUUCUCAUUCUUUGAAUAAUAAGACCGAAUCAUAUCUUCUGCCUAAUCCUAUGGAAGAGGUAAAAGUUGCGUCUCUAGAGCUUUUAAAUGAACCAGAUUUAGAAGAAGAAGCCCCUUUCUUCAUAGAAGAGGAGGCUGAACCUUCUAAACCUGAACCCCUAGAUGAGUUUGCAGAAACACCCAGACCUCCCAUAGAGCUUCAACCUUUACCACCCGGUCUUGCCUAUGCUUUCCUGAAUAAUAAUCUAGAGUUUCCUAUAAUCAUCAGUGAUAAACUCACUCAGGAGCAAACUCUACGAUUAAUGGCUGUUCUUGAAAAAACAUCACUCAGUCUUUGGCUACUCACUCCAAGAUCUUAUAGGAAUCAGUCCUAUGAUUUGUACUCAUCGUAUUUCGACAGAUCCUUCUGUUUCACCUUCUCGAGAGCCUCAACAUAGACUUAACAAUGCGAUGAGGGAAGUUAUAAAGUUGUUGCAUGUAGGGGUUAUAUAUCCUGUGUCGCACAGUGAAUGGGUGAGCCCAGUUCAAGUUGUGCCUAAGAGGGGAGGCAUGAUUGUUGUUACAAAUGAAAAGAAUGAGCUAAUUCCACAACGCACCGUCACAGAGUGGUGGAUGUGCAUAGACUAUAGAAAACUGAACAAAGCCAUGAAAAAGGAUCACUUUCCUUUACCUUUUAUAGAUGAGAUGUUAGAGCGGUUAGCGAACCACUCGUUCUUAUGUUUCUUAGAUGGAUAUUCAGGGUACCACUAGAUCCCAAUCCGUCCUGAUGAUCAAAGCAAAACCACUUUUACAUGCCCUUACGGGACGUAUGCUUAUCGUAGAAUGUCUUUUGGGCUUUGUAAUGCACCAGCUUCUUUUCAAAGAUGCAUGAUGUCUAUAUUUUCUGAUAUGAUUGAAGAGAUUAUGGAAGUUUUCAUGGAUGAUUUCUCUGUUUAUGGAAAAACUUUUGAUAGUUGUCUUGAAAACUCGGACAAGGUUUUGCAAAGAUGUGAAGAAAAACACUUAGUCCUUAAUUGGGAGAAAUGUCAUUUUAUGGUUAGGGAAAGAAUAGUGCUGGGACACCUAGUGUCUGAAAGAGGUAUUGAGGUAGACAAAGCUAAAAUUGAAGUAAUUGAACAACUACCUCCACCUGUGAAUGUAAAAGCAAUUCAAAGUUUUCUUGGCCAUGCUGGUUUUUAUUAGAGAUUCAUAAAAGAUUUUUCAUUCAUUGCUAGACCACUUACUCUUUUGCUAGCCAAGGAUGCUCCUUUUGAAUUUGAUGAUGUCUAUUUAAUAGAUUUUGAAUUAUUAAAGAAUGCACUCAUCUCUGCACCAAUCAUUCAACCCCCUGAUUGGUCUGUACCUUUUGAAAUUAUGUGUGAUGCUACUGAUUAUGCUGUGGGGGUAGUUUUGGGACAAACUAAAGACAAGAAGCAUCAUGCAAUUGCUUAUGCCAGUAGAACUUUUACAGGAGCUCAACUUAAUUAUGCAACCAGUGAAAAAGAGCUCCUCGCUGUUGUCUUUGCCAUUGAUAAAUUUAGAUCUUAUUUAGUUAGAGCUAAAAUAAUUGUUUAUACUGAUCAUGCUACACUGAAAUAUCUGCUCACUAAGAAAAAUGCUAAACCUCAAUUAAUUAGAUGGAUCUUGCUACUCCAAGAAUUUGACUUCGAAAUAAAAGAUAAAAAGGGAGUAGAAAAUUCUAUUGCUGAUCACUUGUCUAUAAUGCAAUUUAAGAAUCCACCGGAACCACCCAUCAAUGAUUCACUCUGGGACGAUAUGCUCUAUGGAAUCAACAGGUCUGACCCCUGGUAUGCAGAUAUUGUUAAUUUUAUGGUUUCAGGUUAUGUACCGCCAGGAGCGAACAAGAAAAAGCUUAUUCGAGAAAGUCGUUCACACAUAUGGGAUGAGCUAUACCUAUUUCGAGUAUGCUCGGAUGGCUUACUCAGGAGAUGUGUGACCACUGAGGAAGGAUGGAAGAUCAUCGACACAUGCCAUUCAUCACCAUAUGGAGGUCAUUAUGGAGCAUUCCGUACACAUUCAAAGAUCUAGCAUUGUGGAUUCUAUUGGCCUACAAUGUAUGAAGACACAAAGCAAUAUAUCCGAAGAUGUGGGCCAUGUCAAAGACACAGAAACAUAAACACAAGGGAUGCCAUGCCACUCACCAACAAUCUUCAGAUAGAGCUCUUUGAUGUCUGGGGAAUUGACUAUAUGGGACCAUUUCUCCCAUCAAAGAAGUGUGAGUUCAUCUUGGUGGCGGUUGACUACGUCUCCAAGUGGGUAGAGGCACUACCAUGCAAGCAUGCCGACAACAUAAGUUCAAAGAGGAUGUUUGAAGAAAUCAUAUUUCCAAGAUUUGGAGUCCCCAGAGUAGUGAGAAGUGAUGGAGGAUCGCAUUUCAUCGACAAACGGUUCGAGCACUAUCUAUCAAGACAUGGAAUCCACCACAACAUUGCUACCCCCUAUCAUCCUCAGACAAGUGGCCAGGCAGAGACUUCCAACAAGCAAAUCAAGAGCAUUCUUCAGAAAACAGUAAAUGAGAAGGGAACAACAUGGAAGGACAAGUUACCCGAUGCACUCUGGGCAUAUCGGACAGCAUACAAGACCCCGAUUGGGAUGUCUCCUUACCAAUUGGUGUACGAGAAGACUUGCCACCUACCUGUUGAACUAGAGUUCAAAGCACACUGGGACAUAAGGAGAUGGAAUAUGGACCUAGAUGUUGUUGGAGAUCAUAAUUAUUAGAAUUGGAAGAAUGGCGAGAGAAAGCAUAUCACAAUUCAAAGAUCUACAAAGAUAGAGUCAACAGAUGGCAUGACAAGAGAAUCAAGAAGGAGUUCUCACCCAGAGAUAAGGUAUUACUUUUGAAUUCCAGGGUGAAACUCUUCGGGCAUGGAAAACUCCGGAGCAAAUGGGAAGAACCGUACAAGGUAAUCAAUUCAUCAUCCCAUGGAGCGAUCACACUUCAAAAUGACGAAGGUACAUUAUUCAAGGUAAAUGGUCAACGUCUUAAACUAUUUUUAGAGCCCAAUAAAGAAUUAGAGGAAAUAGACAUGAUCCAUUUUUACCCUCCAAUGGAGAAUUAAAGCCCGACCAUUUUAAUUUGACGUUUUUGGGCCAUGUAUAUAUUUUUUGGGAUAUCAAACCUUCUAGAAACACACACGAGAGAGCGGGCCAGCGGAGGAGCCUAGGCCAGGGCAGGCGCCCUAGACAUGAGGGCAAGCGCCCUGCCCCUAUCCCCUCUCACCGCCGCCUUUUUCCGUUAGGAUCUCCACGUCCAUCCCUAUCCAAAAAUCCUACGAAUGGUUUGUUUUGCAAGUUGGCCGCGGGAUCUAUCUCGUGGAAGAUUGUAGAUACACCUCUGACUCCUAUAUAAAUAGACCCCUGACGUCAGCUUUCAUCACCAAUUCAUUCUUUCCUCCCUCAUUUAGAGCUUUGCUUAGUCCCUCGCUCCAAUGGCCGAUAGCAGCAACCCCGAUUGGAAGAUCGUCCCAUAUGGGAUUGAUCUUAACAAGAAGCCAAAAGCAGAUCCAGACUCCAAGGCGUUAGUGCCAGUCAACAACGAGCGGCAGCUAGCAGCCUUUCCACCACACCAGUGCAGUGCCAGCCAUUCUUACUAUGCUCAACCAGUUCUCACCGCACCGCCGCAACCCCUUCUUCUCAAGGGACCACCGGUAAAGCAGGGCACGCUUGUCAAGGUGCCUGCUGGCACUAAGGUCCUACCACCGAAGCCCAAUGAUAGGGUGGUAGGCGUGAAGACCAACAUGAGCGGUGAAAUCAGCAGCAUCCGGUACACGACAGAGGAGGAACGCCCUUACUUCAAGGGAGUCCGAGCGGCAAUGGUCCGAUUCAUCCCGCCAAAGGAGGCCCCAAAGCACGCGCUUAACUCUUUCGAGUCGCCGCCUAAGCACCAUAAAACCAUAGCUGAUCUAGAGAAAGAGUUCCAUGAGAGGGAUGGAGUGAUCCUAGAGCUCCAGUCGUCUGUUAACUUCCUAAAUAGGCAGGUCGUGAACCUGAACACAACUGUGCUCAACCUUAGACGCGACCUCACUAAGGCCACCGAUAGGGUGAAGGAGCUAGAGCGUCGCUGAUCUACUUGGUUAGAUCUUGAGGCACCUAUAUAUUAGUUCAUUCAUUAUUAGAUUCAUUUUAGAUUUGUUAUUAGAUUAAAUUCAUUAGUCGGUUGAUUUAUUGUAAUAAAUGCCUCAAGGAAAAAUAAAUAAAGAUUGCUUUAUUAUUAUUAUGCCUCAUGUGUCUCCACUUUGUUUUUAUGCAAGAGAACAAGAAACAAGUAUGGGGGAGAUCCCCGACAAGACAAACGAACUUCAACUGCACCACUCCACUCAGGUACACGCUGUGCACGCUUUAUUCAUACACAUACACAUACGUUCGUGUAGAAAAUUAUCUCUAAACAUGAUAAAUUAAAAAGAUAAAAUAUUGUCAAUUUCACUUUAUGAUAUUUCCUGAAAACCUACAAUUAUUGAAAAAUUUAUUUUUAAAACCCUGUGCUACUCAAGUCAUUGUGGAAUGUGAGAUGGUAGAAUAUGAGUCCCUUAUUCUUGAUAUCUUUGUCACUUGGAGAUUUUCUUUCAAAAACUUUAAAAUAUAGCUACCAUUCUUGAUAUCUUUCUAAAAUUGAAAACAUUAAUUAUAAUAAUUUAAGCUAUUUGCUUUGUUUUGAGUUUGUUCAAAAUGAGUUGGACCCUUGUUGAGAGAUUUAUCAUGCUCUAAAGAUCAAGACAUUUUUUAUUCAGAAAGAUUCACCCUUCCGAAGUAUCAGCGCGAGGAUCGGAAGGCAUCGGGAAACCUGGCAGUAGCGUGAGGAUCGGUAUCGGCGCCAACAGGAGGAUCGUCAUCGGGAAGAAGAAAGACGCCGACAAGAGUGGAAUCGGCAUAAGGAUCACCGGAGCUGCCCAUUCUUCAUCCACUGUUGGGAGCAAAACAUCAAGCUACGAACCGUUAGAGACUGCCAUGAGUGCAAUGGCUACAAUUGGUAUGAUAGACCAAAUCGGCAGUACCAGAACGAUGAUCGGCGUUUUGAUGGGUCGAUCAGAGGAAGGGCUUCAGUUCAUGAUUGGCUGGGGGGCAGACUCAGUGUGCAUGAUAGGCUUGGUGAACGUGUCGGGUAUUUUCCCAGAAACGAAGAGGAGCUUGAGGAGAUGGCAGAUGCGCGGGUCUCCGAUGAGUUCAUAUUCUGCAGGGAUGUUAAUACUUAUCGGGUGGAACCAAGGGGAAACCAUCGUCAAUCGAUGAGGCAACCACAACUCCCACCAUGGUGUCGGAAGGAUUGACAAGGACACAGAAGAGGAGGUUGCAGCGAGAACGGCAAGAAGAACUGAGUAAAGGAGAAAAUUCUGCCAAGUCUGGAGAUCGGCAGCAGUCAGAUCCUAAGGGAAAAGGUCCAUCGGCAGACGUUAAUGUGGUAUUUAUGUUGCCGAUGGAAUUUCUUGCACCAUUUAGUGAUGAUGAGGGGUAGAUUCUCCCGAUCAGAUAGCUCAGUUGGCUCUGGAUCCGAUGAUGGCUAUUUUUGAAAAGCCCGCCGACAAUGAAAGAGAGCAUCUUAAAGCUCUAUUUGUCAAAGGCAGAGUUGAUGGACAGCCGAUGACCAAGAUACUUGUUGAUGGUGGGGCUGCUAUCAAUAUUAUGCCGUAUGCAGUCUAUCGGAAGCUUGGGAAAGGAGAUCAAGAUUUGACCAAGACCGAUAUGAUGCAGAAAGAUUUUGAAGGGAAUGUGUCUCCAGUCAAGGGAGCUAUAUGCGUUGAGUUGACCAUCGGCAGCAAAACCUUGCCGACAACUUUCUUUGUCAUCAGUGGAAAGGGUGCUUAUAAUUUGCUGUUGGGCGGAUAUUGGAUUCAUGCCAACUAUUGCAUCCCCUCUACAAUGCACCAAUGUUUGGUUCAGUUGGUAGGUGACAAGAUUGAUAUUGUCCUAAGAGAUUCUUCAUAUGUCAUCGCAUCGGCAGAGGCAGAUACUUAUGAAAGGACCAGAUGCAUUUCAAGGGAAAUUUGGGAAAAAGAUUUUCUCAAAGUAGCCAAUUAUGAAAUUCCACCGAUCCAAGCAGUCGGUUCUGACGAAGAGUUUUAAUGGAUAGGUUCGCCGAUGAUGAAAAAUUAGGCCAGGGGUUUACAUCGGCAGAUGAUUUAGUAGAAGUAGAUAUUGGUAAUGGUGAUAGGCCAAGGCCUACUUUUAUUAGUGCUAAGUUAGAUUCUGAGUGUAAGCAGCAGUUAACCAAUUUGUUAAAAGAAUAUAAAGAUUGCUUUGCUUGGGAUUAUACCGAGAUGCCUGGUUUAGACCGAUCUAUUGUUGAACAUCGGUUACCUAUCAAAUCUGGAUUUCGGCCGCAUCAGCAGCCAGCUCGCCGAUACAAUCCUAAUAUUCUUCCUGAUUUCAAGGCCGAAAUAACCAAACUUAUCGAAGCUAAAUUUAUUCGGCAAUGUAGGUAUGCCGAGUGGAUUUUCAAUGUUGUCCCAGUUUACAAGAAGAAUGGGAAGCUUCGUGUCUGCAUUGAUUUCAGGAAUCUUAACAAGGCUGCACCGAUGGAUGGUCAUCCAAUGCCGGUUGCCGAUUUGCUAGUCGAUGCUGCAGCUGGACAUCAGAUUAUUAGCUUUAUGAAUGGCAAUGCAGGAUAUAAUCAAAUAUUCAUGGCCGAAGAAGAUAUUCCAAAAACCGCAUUUAGAUGUCCUAGCCUGGUCAUGUUGGGUUGUUUGAAUGGAUAGUCAUGACCUUUGGCUUGAAAAAUGCUGCUGCUACUUAUCAGAGGGCUAUGAAUUUUAUCUUUCAUGACUUCAUCGGCAAACUGGUGGAAAUUUAUAUUGAUGAUGUGGUGGUUAAGUCUAGGGAUUUCACAAAGCAUCUUGCCGAUCUACGAAAGGUAUUGGAAUGCACAAGGAAACAUGGCUUAAAGAUGAAUCCUAAUAAAUGUGCAUUUGGUGUAUCGGCAGGACAAUUUCUUGGUUUCAUGGUGCAUCAGAGAGGAAUUGAAAUUAGUAGGAGAUCUAUUGAUGCUAUCAACAAAAUAGUUGCUCUCACCAACAAAACUGAACUCCAAUCUUUGAUCGGUAAGAUAAAUUUUAUCAGACGAUUUACAUCUAAUUUGUCUGGCAAGAUUCAUGUUUUUAGUCCUUUACUUAAGUUGAAGGCCGACCAAGGGUUUGUGUGGGGAAGAGAGCAACAGUCAGCAUUGUACGAGAUCAAGAAUUAUUUGACAAAUCCUCCAGUUUUGAUUCCACCUCAGCAAGGAAAACCUUUCAAAUUAUAUUUAUCUACCGAUGGAAUGAUCAUCGGUUCAGCUCUGAUUUAGGAAUUUGAAGGGAAGGAACGUGUAAUUUAUUAUUUGAGUAGAAGACUGGUUGAUGCUGAGACAAGGUAUUCGGCAAUUGAAAAAUUAUGUUUAUGCUUAUACUUUUCAUGUGUCAAACUGAAUGGAUGAUGUAGUCCGAAUAUACUGUUAUAUGCAAGGAUGAUGUAGUUCGAUAUAUGCUAUCUAUGCCGAUUAUGAGUGGCAGAAUCGGCAAAUGGAUUUUGGCACUGUCGGAAUUUGAUCUACACUAUGAAUCGGCUAAAGCAGUUAAAGGGCAGAUUAUGGCCGAUUUUAUAACUCAGCAUUGCGGUGUAGUAGAGACUUUGGAGAUAGUUCCUUCGACACUCUUCUUUGAUGGAUCCACGUGUGACCGGGGGGCAGGAAUCGGCAUAGUGCUAAUUUCUCCUCGAGGAAAGAAGUAUGAGUUUACCUUGCCAAUUGUUGCCACGUGGACAAAUAAUCAAGCCGAAUACCAAGCUCUAAUCAAGGGGUUGGAUUUAUUAAAAGAAGUUCAUGCCGAUGCUGUUGAGAUCUUCGGCGAUUCUAUGCUUGUUAUAAAUCAAUUAGCCGGGAUUUACGAAUGCCGAAGCGAGGUCUUGAUAACCUAUUAUGAAAAGAGUAUGCAACUGUUGAGGGAAUUCAAGAAUUUCCGAUUAGAGCAUGUUCCUCGAUUACAUAACGAAGAGGCUAAUCGGUUGGCCCAACGUGCCUCGGGAUAUCAACCUAUUUUAAAUAAGUUAUCAGCAAUCAGUGCCGAUGAUUAGAGAAAAGAAAUCAUUGAUUACUUGAAAGAUCCAUCUAAAAAGGUUGAGAGGCAUGUUAGGUUUCAGGCUACCAGGUAUGUGCUCCUUGGAGAAGAACUAUAUUAUCAAACGAUAGAUGGAGUUUUGCUCAAGUGCUUAGGUGAUGAUGGGGCUAAAAGCUUGAUGGGUGAGAUCCAUGAAGGAGUGUGUGGAGCGCAUCAGUCGGCUUUUAAAAUGAAGUGGAUGAUUAGAAGAAACGAGUAUUAUUAGCCGACCAUACUUGAAGACUGCUUUAAAUAUUUCAAAGGAUGUCAGGGAUGUCAAAGAUUUGGUAAUAUUCAAAGGGCACCCGCAUCGGCCAUGAAUCCUAUUGUUAUGCCUUGGACGUUCCGGGGAUGGGCUAUUGACCUAAUUGGCCAGAUUUAUCCGCCAUCAAACAAGGGGCAUAAGUUCAUAUUAGUUGCUACUGAUUAUUUUACUAAGUGGGUUAAAGCUAUUCCUUUGAAGAAAGUAAUAUCGGCUAACAUGAUUGAUUUUGUGAAAGAGCAUAUUGUUUACCAAUUUGGUAUUCCUUAAACAAUCACUAUCGAUCAGGGUACUAUGUUUACAUCAGGAGAGUUUGAUGAAUUUGUAGUCGGUAUGGGGAUUAAAGUAUUUAAUUCUUCUCCUUAUUAUGCUCAAGCCAAUGGACAAGCCGAAGCAUCUAACAAAGGGAUUAUUAAGCUUAUCAAGCGAAAGAUUGAGGGAAAUCCUAGAAGGUGGCAUACUUUGUUGAAUGAAGCUCUGUGGUCAUCUUGGAUGGCAUGUCAUGGAUCGACCAAAGGUUCACCAUAUCAGUUGGUAUAUGGACACGAUGCGGUGUUGCCAUGGAAAAUUAAGACUGGAUCUAGGCGGGUCUCUGUUCAAGAUCAAUUGGCCACCGAUGACUAUGCUACUUUGAUGAAAGAUGAGUUGGAUGACUUGGCAGAACAUCGGUGAGAGCUUUGAUAAGUAUAGAAGAAAAUAAAAAGAGAGUUGCUAGAUGGUAUGAUAAAAAACUAAAAGCUAAGGAGUUUGCCGAUGGAGAUUUGGUAUGGAAAUUAAUUUUGCCGAUUGGGACUAAAAGUUCAAAGUUUGGAAAAUGGUCUCCUAAUUGGGAGGGUCCUUAUCGGAUAAAUCGGUCUGCUCCUGGUAAUGCUUACAUUUUCAAAACUCUCGAAGGAAUUGAAUUUCCUAGAGCAUUAAACGGAAAAUAUCUAAAGAAGUAUUACCCAAGCAUUUGGGUUGAUGCAUAAAGUUUAAGUGCCGAUAACAUUCCUAUCGGCUGGAUAAAACAUAUCGAGUCUGGUGCAUAAAGUUUUUAAAAUGCCGAUAACAGUCCUAUCGGCUAGACCAGAGCUGUCGGUGUUUUUCCCCCGGGGGGUCACACCAACGAGUAAAUUUGUAUGCGUGUUCCCUUUCCCGGAUGGUGAUGCAAGAAGACACAGAGAUUUAUCCUGGUUCGGGCAAGAGAAGGCCCUACGUCCAGCGGGGGGAGAGAGUUUGUAUUAUCUUGCACCUAAGUGCUUGUACAGGGGCGAAUACAAGCGUGGUAUGAAGUGUGGAGCUCUACUACGUAUGAGCGUGGUCUUGUGUCAUGAUCUCCCUGUUCUAUUCCUGAGUCCCUCCUUUUAUAGUUCCAAGGAAGGGCCUAGGGUACAUGUAUAGGCGUAGGAAUUGGAGUCGAUAGCAGCAUGGAUCGCUGACCUACUCGAGGUUUCCGUACCGGCAUGCCCUCGAGCCGUCCCGUCUUAAUAGCCUGGUGAUGAUCACGCGUGCCCCUGCAUUCUGCUCUGCGCGCCGUCUUGGAUUGGUUCGGCGGGUGCACGCUUAUAUGGCUCGGCGGCAAAUCCGGCGGAGCGGUUACGGCGUGGUCAGUCGACGUCCGACUCGUCUCCAGGAAGGAGCCUGGUGAAGUCGAGGGUCGGACGCCGUACGAGGUGUCGAUAUCUGGAGCGCUGACCUUGGGUGUCUCGAGGGGAUCCCGAUUAGACGUUCCAUCCUUGUUUCCCGCGUCCUGACACGCCCUGGGUCGUUCGGUGGGAAGGCUACAAAAAGAACGAUGGGACAGAAGCCUCCCGUGACCCGUGUGUUAGGUGGGGAAGCGUCAGGUGCAUUAAAUGCCCUGGCUCUCGUGCGCGCGUCAGGCGGCGGACAGUGUCCUUGCGCUCGACGCCUCUCGGUUCGCUCGAGCCCGCUUCCGUAUUCGACGGCAGUUGUUGCUCGAGCCCUGACCGAUUCGCUCGACGCUAUUUCCGUCUUCGAGGCUGCGGCCGUCGAUGGCCGCGCGUGUGUACGGAUGGUCUCGUUAUACGCAUUGGUGAGGGUACCCCUCGUUGAUACCCUCGACAGUAGCCCCCGAGUCUUCAUUCGAGCGCUGGCGCUCGAGUGGAGACUUUCGUUUUUACGGUCGAGCUUCCACGGGGGCGCGCGAGCGACCCCGCGGGGGUAGCCCCCGAGCCCUCGAGGGAGUAUUUAACUCCUUCGAGGGUUAUUUUGCCAAAUUUGCAGAAACGCUGUCAACACCCGUGGUGGAAGGUUCUGUUCGGCUUUGCCUUGCGUGGAGGUUUCGACGUACUCUCGAUAGAGCGAGCGUCUUCCACCCCAGAUUGAGUUCCUAGCGGGUAGUCCAAGUGAGAACCUGUGCCCCUUUCGAGGGGGUCAGCUGUAGCCCGGAGGCGUCCUCAUAAAGCAGGGUCGACGUGGUCAGGGAUACCGGUCUCAUUCGAUAGAGUCCAGCGGCUCGAUGCCUCCCUUCGGGGGGAUUCCUCUCGACUGUCUCGACCCUACCUUGGACAUCGCCAGCGAGUCCUCGAGGCGGGCCUCGAUUUUCGACCACUCGCUGGGGAUCCCUGACUCUUGGUGCUCGAGAUCGGCUGUCGAACCCUUUCGACGGGCCAGCCAUCGACCUCUCGAGACUAUCGUGGGCACAUACCUUGGCUUACGAAGUAAGGAAGCUGCCGUGCCGGUUCGUCUUUCUGCCCGUUGGGCGCACCUUUUGAGGUAAGUGACGUUGCGACACUGUAUUGGCGGGGAAUUCGGAGCGUCCGGCCUGUGAGGAGAGAAAGGACGAUUAGGUGGCGCAUUUCUCGGAUCUGUCCGUUGGCGGACUGCUGCCUAUAAAUAAGUCGUGGCGUUGCCGCCGUUCCUCUCCCUUCCGCCUUCUCGCUUUUAUUCUCUCGUUGCCUUUGCUUGCUCGCCGUCUCACGCGCACACGCCUCCUCGAGCUGUAGUGAAUCCACCGUCCCUCCAGCCGAGAUGCCUGUAAGACUCGUCGCCGCCGACGACUGGCGCCCGUCGUCGAUGACGGAGCGCCGGUUGUUAGAGCUUGAGAAAGAGGGACUGCUGCGCCGCCGUACCUCGCUAUCGUCGCCAGAGUGGAUCGCGCCGCCGGCGAGUCACAGGGGGCCUCAGCCGCCCGAGGGCUACGUGGUGUCGUUCGCCAAGUUCCACCGCCACGGUCUGGGCGCGCCCCCGAGCCGCUUCAUGCGGGCCCUCUGCUUCCAUUAUGGGGUGGAGCUCCAGCACUUCUCUCCGAACGCCAUCACCGUAGCGGCGGUCUUCGCCGCCGUGUGUGAGGGCUACUUGGGGAUGAUGCCGCACUGGGAGCUGUGGCUCCACCUCUACAGGGGCGAGCUUUUCCAUGCCCCCACCGGAACCACAGGCGUAAGGAAGCCCGUGCGGGCGGGAUGCCUCAAUCUGGUGCAGAAGACGGGGAAGACGGACAGGCCGCGGGAGUACAUCCCGGUAGGGUUAUCGACCAACCACGCCGGCUGGGAGUCCCAGUGGUUUUACCUGCGGAACGAUGACAACCUCCUGCCUUCCUACUCGGGCCGUCUGAUCAUGGAGCGUCCAGCGGACUGGACAUACGGCGUCGUCCAAGCUCAUCAAUCUCGGCUCGACCCCCUCCUCGACGCCCUGAAGAAGCUUCGCCAGGAGGGUUUGACCGCCGCUCUCGUCCUCUCGGCCGCCCAUCACCGGAGAGUUCUCCCUUUGAUGUCUCGACCGUUGAGGAUGGACGAGAUGGGCCCUGGCGUCUCAUCUCGGGACCUCGAGGCGUGUCGGAUGUCCAACGAGGCUCCGGCGGACGACGAAGUCGCGGCCCGAGUCAGGGCUGCAACUGCCGGUGAUUUUCAGCCGGAGCACGUUAACGGCUUCCCCAUGAGACCAGACGCAGGCUCGAUCGAUCUGGUACGCUUUCUUCUUGCGCGCAGCCUCGAUUCUGCGUUUCCUUUCUCCCCUCUCUUUUUUCUAAGUCUACCUUUGUUUUGGCAGGGUCGGAUUGAUGUCCGGUCCUCGAGGCCUCCGGUAAAGGAGGACGAGGUCGAUCGUGACAAACGGCGCCAAUCUGCCGAAAAGCUAAAGUCUGCCAAGGACUCUGCAAAGAAGGGGGAGAAGAAGAAGAACCUCGACCGCCAAGCAUUAGAGGUGCGUCGAGCCAAAUCCAGGCAGAGGGGGGAGCCUGAGGAAGAAUCCCCUAACGAUGAUGACGAUGACGACGAGGACAGCGACGACUCUGAGGGGAUGGCGUCGCGCCUCGAUCGGAUUCUCGAGGGCCCGCCUCGAGGUGACGUCGACGCCCUCCGGACGGAGGCGCCAGAGGAGGGUCCGAGCGGAUCUCGUCGCCCCCGGGCCGACACCCCUCCCACGCCCAAGGCGGGCCAGGACGCACCGCGCCCUCCCCCGGUGCCCAGGGAGAGCGGUCUGGCUAGGCCCCAGGCGUCGGGGCCACUAACUCGUGGUCGCGCCGCGGCCUCUGAGAAAGGAGAUGCCGGCCGUAGGAGCGCCAGUCCUGGCGCCCGCCAGGCGGGGACCGACGCGCCUAGGCCAGUGCCUGCCCUCGAGGGGCCUGGAGCCCUGACGCGGGGUGGCUCGAGGCCCACUGGUCGGGGUGGCGGGAGGCGAGCCGUUCUCCCUGUGGGGUAAGCCUUUUUGAUGUCGCGGUUUUUGUCUUCCCAUUCUUCCACCUUUCCUCAUAUGCCAACCUUUUCUCAGGCUAAAGCGGACCCUUGAGCAGGCCCAACCAUCCAUGGCAAAGAGGCUCAAAACGGGUGCCGCCUCCAAGGAACCAGGUUCGUAGUUUAUUUCUGGGUGUUGCGAUGUUCUUGUGUCGGUUAUCAUAACGUCUGACCCUUACCCUUUGUUUCGUAGGCUCCUCCAGCUCCCAACCUCCAGCCGGCGUCGAGAGGGCUCCGUCUCGUCCCGCACCUACUCCGUCGCCGCCGACUCGUGAUGAGGCGCUCCAGACGCAAGCGUUAGAGGGAGCCCCCGAGCCCCCUCGAUUGGGGGUCGAGGGGGAACCCAUCACCAUCAGCGAUACGUCCGAUGGUAACGAAGCGUCUGGGGGCGCUCGCCCUAUGGAGGAGGAAGCGUCGACCCCCAAUGUCGCGGGAUCAACUCCCUGGCCCGCUGGCCUCCGCACCCUCGAGGAGCAGAAAAAGAAGAGGGAGGAGGAUGAACAGCGGGAGCGCGAGGCGGCGCAGCAGCCACAGGAGCAUGAGGCACAGCAACAGCAGCAACAACAACAGCGGCAGCAGCAACAGCAACAACCGCAGCAGCAACCGCAGCAGCAGCAGCAGCAGCAACCACCGCAGCAGCAACAGCAGCAGCAGCAGGCGGGCCAAGAGGAGGGACCGCUCGAGCCUCCGCCCCAAGGUUCGGCCCAGCCAGUGCCACCGGAGCCGCAAGAGCUCGGCGAGGAGGAGGACCUGCCGGUGUACGGCCCCCCAACCCCGGCGUGGCUCCUCCCGGGGGCACCUGCCACGAUCCGGGCAGAGCCGGGGCGAGCGGAUGGAGUGGUGGCGCUCGCCUGCCUGAAGCGCACGCCCCCCGAUCCCGAGUCCGAUAUCAAGAGGACAAUUUACGGCAUGGACGGGAUCGCCCCAGGGUUCCUCCGGGAACGUCGGGCGUGGGAGGACCGCUUUCCUUCCGAGGAGGAUGAAAUUGGGGCAUCGGGGACCAAGGAUGGAACCUGGAAGACGGUGGACGACGACGGACGGUUCCCAUGCCUCGUCGACCUGUUCCUGCGCCAUGGGGGCUCGCUCGAGACCGUCGAGGGCCUCAUCCGCGGCGUUAAGGCGCGGGCUGACCGGGAGAUGGAGCACUGGUGCCCCGACCGCAUCCGUAUCCGGGCCUCCCACGACCCGUCUGAGCCCGACAUCUUCCUCGACGAUCGGAAGGAGGCGGAGAAGUGGGAACACGUCGAGGAGCUCCGCCUUUGGAUGAAGCAUGUGGUGGGGCUCCUCUCGGACGUUAUCAACAACGGGCUCGGCCCGGCUUAUUUCGUAAGUGUUUCUCGAACUCCAAUCCUCAUGGUGCUUUCUGGUUUCCGUAUUCUAAUCCAUCCGACCCUUGAUUCGCAGGACAUGAAAGAGACCUCCCGCAUCAAGUCCAGCUUCAUACACGCCACGAGGGGCGGUUGGGAGCAGCUCCCCCUCCUCAAGGAUCAACUCCUCGAGUCGCAGGAAAAGCUCCUUAAAGCUUACAAAGAUCUCAUAGCACUCGAGGAGGAGAAGAAGGCGAGGGAGGCUGCCUUGGCUGAGGCCCGAGAGGCCUGGAAGAAGGCGGAGGAGGAGACGAUGCAGCUAUGGGAGCGGGCUCUUACGGUCGAGGAGGCCGCGUCCAGAGCCCGGGAGGAGGCCCUGUCCUACAAGAGCGUUAUCGCGGAUCUGGACAAGGAGAAGGGCCUCCUUAAAUCCGACCUGGACUCUGUCCGAGAGUCCUUCCGAAAGAUGAAGGUGGAGCAUGUGAACGGCGCGGUCGCCAGGGGCGCCGCGGAGGAAGCCAAGAAGAAGGCCCUCGAAGAUCUCGAGGCGGAGCGGGCUCGAUCCCGCAGUCUCUCUAACGACGUCGAGCGUCUAAAGGGAGAAUUGCUGGAGAAGAGUGGGGCCAUUGCUCAGGCUGGCAAGGCGAUCGAGGAUCUCCGCGUUGCCAACACCGAGCUGGCACGCUCCAACAAAGAGAUCGAGGGGGCCAACACCAGGCUAGUCGGCGAGAACACGGCCCUCGAGGAGACCGUACGCGGUAUGUUUCCUCUAUCAGAUUUCUUUUUCCGAGGUGUGCUUAGUUUUUCCUAAGGUUUCUUUAUAUUGGCUUUUACAGGGCUCAAGGACGAACUCCUGGCCGCCCAAGCCGAGGCUCGCAACGCCAAGGCUCAGCUCGAGGCGGAGGUUGCUUUGAACCGUCGAGUGCGGACGGCGAUAAGUGAUCUCUCGACCUCUUGGGAGGUCGAGCCUAUGGAUGAGUCGAGGGAGGACGCUCGAGGCGACGCCCUGGUCGACCAGUUGUGCUACAUAGGCGCGACGCUGCGAGAUCGGGUGCGGGACGCCCUCCACAUCGGGGUGAAGCGGGCGAUGGCGGUUGUCUGCUCGGGCUUCUCCUAUGACAUGGAGGUGGUGUCCCAUGGCUUCGUCACCGACAUCUCCAAGAUCGACGCGGAGAACGAGGAGAGGCUCCAUGCCUUGAUCGACGACGCGGAGGCUCCUGGGGAAAGGUUGGCCAAGCUUUUCGAGCCUGAGGUGCUCCCUCCUGAGGCUAGCUCGGGCGGAGGCGAGGGCGGUGAGGAUCGUGCCGCGGACUGAGGCCUGCGAGCCUGCUCAGGGCGCCUGAGGCCCCUUGUACGAUACUUUGUUAAUUCUGUGGGUAACUGAUGCUGUAUCACUUUCGUAAUUGUUAAAUGCUUAUUUUGUCUUUCCGCUUGAUGCUUUCGUUUCUCUUUGCGCCUACGUUUGUAUCCCUUGCUCGAUUUUUCGUAAAAGACCACCUCGAUCACUUCAAUGGUGAGUAGAGUUUCCGUAGCCCGGGGGCGUAGGAGUUCUCCAACUCGUUGUCCCUCGGCCUUUGAGGGGCUCGAGGCGCCUUAGCUACUUGAACCGUGCAAGGUUUACUACGUAAGAAAAGAAAACUUCUUGAUUUUUUCGAUACUUGGGGGGUCGUCCCCCUGGUAGCCCCCGAGGGGGUGCUGACUAUGAUGGGUCAUAGUCGGCGCCCCCUUUUAACGUCGAGAUCGUGACUUAUUAAUCUUCUCGGCACAAAGAAAGAAGAAUUGUUUCGAGGGAAGGACUUUAUUUAUUCAUUCGUUUACAAAGUCUCGGUACAAAACGUAAGCAGGAACAUAAGUUUAGAACUUCUAGGGGUAGAAUCGACGUAGCUGUUCGAUGUUCCAUGCGUUGGUGAGAAUUGCGCCCUUUUCGUCCGCCAGCUUGUACGUUCCCGGCUUCAGGACCUCGGCCACCACGUACGGACCUUCCCAAGGCGGAGUCAGCUUGUGGCGUCCCUGAUUGCUUUGCCGGCGUCGUAGGACUAGGUCGCCCACAUUGAGGUCCCUCUGGCGCACAUGCUUGUCGUGGUAGCGUCGAAGCCUUUGCUGAUAUCUGGCAGAGUUGAGGAGGGCCAUGUCUCUAGCCUCCUCAAGUUGGUCGACCGCGUUUUCUUGAGUCUCUUUGUUCGAUUGCUCGUUGUAGGCCUUGAGUCGAGGUGACCCAUACUCGAGGUCUGUGGGGAGGAUAGCCUCAGAGCCGUAGAUCAUGAAGAACGGGGUGUAUUUUGUGGCCCUGCUUGGUGUUCUCCUAAGGCUCCAUAGGACUGAGGAAAGCUCCUCGACCCAUUUUUUGCCGAAUUUCUUCAAUCGAUUGUAGAUCCUUGGCUUGAGUCCUUGCAAAAUCAUGCCGUUGGCACGCUCGACUUGGCCAUUAGUUCGAGGGUGGGCUACUGCAGACCAGUUCACACGGAUGUGAUGCUGAUCGCAGAAGUCCAAGAACUUUUUGCCGGUGAACUGGGUGCCGUUGUCGGUGAUGAUGACAUUGGCGAUCCCAAACCGAUGGAUGAUGUCGGUGAAGAAAAGGACGGCCUGCUCGGAGCGGAUGUUGGUGAUGGGUCGAGCCUCGAUCCAUUUGGAGAACUUGUCAAUGGCCACCAGCAAAUGGGUGAAUCCUCCUUUCGCCUUUUGUAGAGGUCCUACUAAAUCGAGCCCCCACACCGCAAAAGGCCAGGUAAUGGGGAUCAUCUGAAGAGCGUGGGCAGGCAGAUGCGUCUGCUUGGCGUAGAACUGACACCCGUGACAUGAUCGUACGAGCUCGAUGGCGUCCGCCACGGCCGUUGACCAGUAGAAGCCUUGUCGAAAAGCGUUCCCUACAAGGGUCCGUGGAGCGGCGUGGUGACCGCAAGCCCCCGAGUGUAGGUCAUCGAGGAGUUUUCGGCCUUCUUCCACGGUGAUGCAACGUUGUAAGACCCCCGUCGGGCUCCGUCGAUAUAGCUCGUUGUCUUCGCCAUAGAUCACAUAUGAUUUGGCCCGUCGAGCGAUACGACGAGCUUCUGACCUGUCUUCUGGUAACUCGCCGCGGAUAAGGCAGUCGAGGAACGGUGUGCGCCAAUCGAAUGGUCGACCUGGUCGUCAUUCUGCGACAUUGUUAGAUGCGGCAAAAUGAAUCCUGAUUACGUACCUCAUGUGGACGCCCAAGGGUGAGAUGAACAGCAGGCCGGCUCCGGCUCCAGUUUUCAUGAGUGACCCAUCGAAAUACAUCGUCCAUAAUUCCGCCUGGACCUGGGUCGGGGGGAGCUGGGUGUCCGUCCAUUCUGCGAUGAAGUCUACCAAGGCCUGCGAUUUGAUGGCCUUGCGAGGCGCAUAAGUGAGAGUCUCACUCAUGAGCUCGACCGACCAUUUUGCUAUUCUUCCUGUGGCUUCUUUGCUCUGGAUUAUUUCGCCUAAAGGAAAAGACGAGACCACCGUGAUGGGGUGGCCAAGGAAGUAAUGCUGCAGCUUGCGACGGGCAAGGAUUACGGCAUAAAUCAGCUUCUAGAUUUGGGGAUAACGUGCUUUGGUCUCCGAAAGCACCUCGCUGACGAAAUAUACUGGCCUCUGAACCGGUAACGCAUGUCCCUCCUCCUGCCUCUCGACCACCACCGCCGCGCUGACGACCUGGGUCGUCGACGCGACGUAGAGGAGCAGCGGCUCUGCAGGUUGAGGUGGAACCAGGACUGGUGCCGAGGUCAGCGUCUUCUUCAGCCUUUCGAGUGCUUCCUCGGCCUCAGGGGUCCAAGAAAGGCGCUCGACCUUCUUUAGGAGUCAAUAUAAUGGUAAUGCCUUUUCUCCUAGUCUCGAGAUGAAACGGCUCAGAGCCGCCAGGCACCCCAUGACUCUCUGUACACCCUUGAUGUCUCGGAUCGGCCCCAUUUUCGUGAUGGCCGAGACUUUCUCGGGGUUGGCCUCGAUGCCGCGCUGCGAAACGAUGUAUCCUAGGAGCCUGCCUCGAGGCACGCCGAAAACGCACUUCUCGGGAUUGAGCUUGAUCCGGCUGGUGCGUAGGCAGCUGAAGGCAAUCUCGAGGUCCUGGAUCAGGUCUCCUCGUCGCUUUGACUUGACGACAAUGUCGUCGACGUAGGCUUCGACCGUUGACCCUAUAUGUUCGCCAAAUAAGUGGAGCAUGCAACGUUGAUACGUGGCUCCCGCGUUUCGAAGCCCAAAUGGCAUGGUCACGUAGCAAUACAUCCCCAAAGGCGUGAUGAAAGAGGUCGCGAGCUGGUCGGACUCCUUCAUUUUUAUUUGGUGGUAACCAGAAUAUGCAUCAAGGAAAGAAAGGGUUUCACAUCCCGCGGUAGAAUCGACAAUCUGAUCAAUGCGUGGCAAUGGAAAGGGAACUUUUGGACAUGCUUUAUUCAGACUAGUAUAAUCGACACACAUCCUCAUUUUCCCAUUCUUUUUCUUAACUAAUACAGGGUUUGCUAACCAGUCAGGAUGAUGAACCUCCUUGAUGAAUCCGGCCGUCAAAAGCUUGUGGACUUCCUCGCCAAUGAUCUUGCGCUUCUCCUCAUCGAAUCGGCGCAACCGCUGCUUCACUGGCUUGGAACCGGCUCGAAUCUCCAAGGAGUGCUCGGCGACUUCCCUCGGUAUGCCUGGCAUGUCCGAGGGACUCCAUGCAAACAUGUCGGCAUUUGCACGGAGAAAGUCGACGAGCACGGCUUCCUAUUUGGGGUCGGGGUCGGCGCUGAUCGUCAGCACUUUGCCGUCGGAGUUGUUGGGGUCGAGCGGGAUCUUCUUGGUUCCUUCCGCCGCCUCGAAGCUGCCCGCAUGACGCUUAGGCUCUGGAGCCUCAGCGGCCAGGGCCUCGAGCUUUGCAACGAGCUCGGUGGAGCUCUCGACCGCCUCCCCGUACUCGACGCACUCGACGUCGCACUCGUACGCGUGCUCGAAGGAGGAACUGACAGUGAUGACGCCUUUGGGACCAGGCAUCUUCAGCUUCAAGUAGGUGUAGUUGGGUAUAGCCAUGAACUUGGCGUAGCCCGGGCGCCCGAUGAUGGCGUGGUACGUGCCUCGGAACCCAACCACCUCAAAGGUGAGGGUCUCCUUCCUGAAGUUGGCCGCUGUGCCGAAGCAGACCGGUAGGUCAAUUCGACCUAGUGGCAGUGCCUUUUUCCCUGGCACGACGCCAUGGAAACCGCCGGCGCUUGGCAGGAGGCGUCCUGUAUCGAUGCCAAGGAGGUCGAGGGUCUCGAGGUAGAUGAUGUUGAGGCUGCUGCCACCAUCCAUCAGCACUUUCGAGAGUCGGGUGUUGACGAUGAUGGGGUCGACGACGAGCGGGUAGACGCCUGGGGCGACUACCUUGUCGGGGUGGUCCUCUCGGUCGAAAGUGAUAGGAGUGCUUGACCAGCUAAGGUAUUGGGGCACCGCCAUUCUUGCCGCAAAGACUUCGCGACGCUCCCUUUUGUGCUGCCUCAUGGUUAAUUGAGUCGAGGGCCCGCCAUAGAUCAUGUAGCAGUCGUGGACGGCGGGGAAGCCGUCGUCAUCUUUGUUGUCCUCCUUGGUGCCAGCCUUCUCUUUCUUGGAGUCAUCACGCGUAUCUUUUUUGAACCCCAGACCGUCGAAAUGCUUUCUCAGCAUACGACAGUCCUUGAGCUUGUGGUUGGCGCCUCCCUUAUGGUAAGGGCACGGCUCCUCCAACAUCUUGUCAAAGAUGCCUCCAUCCAGAGGGCCUCGAGGCUUCUUUCGAUCCAUGGCGGCGACAAGGUUGUCAUCGGAAUCUUCCCGGUGGAACUGCCGCACUUUCUGCUUCUUUUUAUUUGUCUUGAGGCCUCGACUGGAGGUCCCAUCUUCGUCGACGGGCUGCUUGCCUUUUCUUCCUUCUGAGCUGAAGAAGGCGCCGACUGCCUCCUCCCCUGCCGCGUAGUUGGCUACUACGUCCAUCAGCUCGUCGACGGUCUGAGGUUGAUUGCGACCUAAUUCCCGCACCAAGUCUCGACUGGUGGUGCCCGAGACAAACGCCAAGAUGACGUCGUGGUCAGGGAUGUGCGGCAGCUCAGUGCGCUGCUUCGAGAAGCGUCGAGCAUACUCCCGAAGAGUUUCUCCCGACUUCUGCUUGCACUUGCUGAGGUCCCACGAGUUCCCUGGCCGUAUGUAGGUCCCUUUGAAGUUACCCUCGAAGACUCUGACCAGAUCAACCCAGUCGUGGAUCUGAUUGGCAGGGAGUUCCUCGAGCCAUCGACGGGCGGUGUCGGAGAGGAAAAGGGGUAGCUGUCUGAUGAUGGCUCGAUCAUCACCUCGAGCGCCACCUAGCUGACAGGCCAGCCUGAAGUCGGCCAGCCACAACUCUGGUUUGGUCUCUCCAUUGUACUUCGCGAUGCUGGUCGGGGGUCGAAAUGGAUUGGGCAGGGGCGUGCUGCGGAUCGCCCUGUUGAACACCCGUGGGCCUGGUGGCUCGGGGGCCACCCGGUCCUCGUCGCUGUCGUAUCUCCCACCGCGAUGCGCGCUAUAACCGCGCUCUUCCGCGUCUCCGUGCCGGCGGCGUCGAUUUUCUUUGAUGUCGUGCCGCGCGUCAUGUCGACGUUGAUUGUCGACGGGGAGGAUGAGAGCGGUCUUUCUACCUCGAGGGGGAGGUUGUUGAUGGACUGACACCUCCUCUUCGUUUAGAGGCUGUUCGUCGCACUUCUCUGUGGCAGCUCCUCGUCGUCGAGACGCCGAACUUUCGGCUUGUUGAACCGCCGCCACCUGGAGCAAUGUCUGUACCUCAUCUCGAAUGCGUCGGGCCUGGGAAUUCGACGGCUCUGGCAUGUUUCGUAGCAGCAUCGUCGCUGCCACUACAUUCUGGCCUGCUCGAGGGAAACGGCUAACAGGUUGCUCUGGCUCUGCGUCGCCGACGAUCUGUCGAUGUACCUCUCGAGCGCGUCUGCGGACACUUUCGCCCGACGGGUAGGGCAGGUCUUGCUCGAGGAUUUGCUCGAGCAGGACGAGGCGCUCGCGGUCUUCGUCGAGCUUCAUCUUGAGCUCCUGCAGCUGCGCGAGCUACGCGGUUCUGUCUUCCUGAGGAGGGGGGUCGACCUGUCCGUCGUUCCCAGGCGUCCUGGGGUCUUCUCGCGCAGCGGGGGCUCGACCACCCGCAGCAGCAUCCCGUGUCUUGUCAGUAGUUUCUACCGCCCCGUCGAUGUGAUAGCAUUCCCUCGUAGGGUCAUAGCUAUCUGUCUCGGAGUCGGAGUCCGGUUCGGCGGCGUAGAAACACCCACGUCCUUCCUCCAGCAAUCGUUGCCUGAGGGAGGUGAUCGAGUAUCGUCCGGGGCCUAGACGAUGGAGGCCUUGUACUCGGGAAAGGUCCGGCAGCUCGGACGCCGGCCGCCGCGCUUCAGAGCUACGUGGGAGGACCAUUGGUCUUUCUACGUACGUCUGGGCGUUUGGGCACAUUGCCUUGGUGAGCGACGCCGCGGCGUUGUCCAAUCCGAACGGCAGUGCCGCUCUUGGAGAGAACAACCUGUGUGGAAGUAGCCUAGCUGCGGUGGGGGAGAGCGCGCGAGACGCGUCCCCUCCCGUCGUUGCGCGGUGCUGAGUCGUCGCGCUUGUUGCUCCGUCACACGGUGCUGCCGACUUGUGGCCUACGUCCUGCCUCGCACAAGUUGUUGGUCGUGCUGAAGCAGAGGGGCCGCGGUGGUGCUGUCCGCGCCUCUUCUUAGGCGGGGAGGCGUGGUGGUGAGGGCGUCUCGGGGCCUUCAACCGUGCUGGCGUAACGCGGGCUCCUCCUGGUCCUUUGACUGAGAGCAAGAUCAUGUCGUAGCCGGAGCCCGUAGACAUGAACUCGAGACUCCCAAACCAGAUCACCGUGGAGCGCGGAAAUGGCGAGGCAAGAGUAGCCAUCCGGAAAGGAGUGGGAAAUCGAUGGAAAACACGCAGGACCCCUACCUGGCGCGCCAACUGUCGGUGUUUUUCCCCCGGGGGGUCACACCAACGAGUAAAUUUGUAUGCGUGUUCCCUUUCCCGGAUGGUGAUGCAAGAAGACACAGAGAUUUAUCCUGGUUCGGGCAAGAGAAGGCCCUACGUCCAGCGGGGGGGAGAGAGUUUGUAUUAUCUUGCACCUAAGUGCUUGUACAGGGGCGAAUACAAGCGUGGUAUGAAGUGUGGAGCUCUACUACGUAUGAGCGUGGUCUUGUGUCGUGAUCUGCUGUUCUAUUCCUGAGUCCCUCCUUUUAUAGUUCCAAGGAAGGGCCUAGGGUACAUGUAUAGGCGUAGGAAUUGGAGUCGAUAGCAGCAUGGAUCACUGACCUACUCGAGGUUUCCGUACCAGCAUGCCCUCGAGCCGUUCCGUCUUAAUAGCCUGGUGAUGAUCACGCGUGCCCCUGCAUUCUGCUCUGCGCGCCGUCUUGGAUUGGUUCGGCGGGUGCACGCUUAUAUGGCUCGGCGGCAAAUCCGGCGGAGCGGUUACGGCGUGGUCAGUCAACGCCCGACUCGUCUCCAGGAAGGAGCCUGGUGAAGUCGAGGGUCGGACGCCGUACGAGGUGUCGAUAUCUGGAGCGCUGACCUUGGGUGUCUCGAGGGGAUCCCGAUUAGACGUUCCAUCCUUGUUUCCCGCGUCCUGACACGCCCUGGGUCGUUCGGUGGGAAGGCUGCAAAAAGAACGAUGGGACAGAAGCCUCCCGUGACCCGUGUGUUAGGUGGGGAAGCGUCAGGUGCAUUAAAUGCCCUGGCUCUCGUGCGCGCGUCAGGCGGCGGACAGUGUCCUUGCGCUCGACGCCUCUCGGUUCGCUCGAGCCCGCUUCCGUAUUCGACGGCAGUUGUCGCUCGAGCCCUGACCGAUUCGCUCGACGCUAUUUCCGUCUUCGAGGCUGCGGCCGUCGAUGGCCGCGCGUGUGUACGGAUGGUCUCGUUAUACGCAUUGGUGAGGGUACCCCUCGUUGAUACCCUCGACAAGAGCGAUCAAAAGUUUUAUAAAGAACAGAAUGAAACAAGUCGCCGAUGGAGAGCUCACAAGUUCAGCAGAGCCUGGAUAGUGGAUAUGGCUCGCAGACGGAUCUGGUCGGCCUCUUCUAUCUCUCGGAUGUCUUCAUCGGCAGAACCGUCUACUGACUUCAACUUCUUCUUCAUCUGCAGCGCCUUGCGGGCUUGGGUGUUUCAUUCUUGCUGUAGAGUCUUGAUCAUAUCAGGCAACUGGCUUUCUUCUUGUUGAGCUUGGGACAGGGCCUCUUCCACUUGCUUGAGCUCAACUAGCAGGGCUUCCCUUCUAGCCGAUAGGAUGGAAAGCUUCUGCUUCAGUAUCUCCCCUGAGGACUAUAGGAUGCCGAUGCUCUUUUGUUUCUCAUCAGCAAGGCGUUUCACUUGCAUUACUUCCUCUGAGAGUUGGGCAUGGUUGGCUCUAUCGGCAAGACGCUUGGUAGCCUUUUGGUACUAGAGCUGACGGCUCUCCAAGUGUGCAGCUUGGAAAAGAAUCUCUGCGGCAUCGGAUGGAAUUUUGCCACAAAGAGUCUUGAACAGAGCUUUGGCUGGAUCAGAAUCGUCAACCAAUUGAAAAGUAUCUUGGUGUAACAAGGCCAGCAGGUCCUCCAGUUUGGCUCUGAUUUCUGCCGAUGAGAUCCCUAUUGCUUGGGAGGAGCUUACUUCCUCACCCUCAUCAUCAGAAAUCUCAAUGGCGACGGAAAAUAAGCUAUCCGGAGAGUCCUGUUCCUGAAAAGAAGAUGAAGAUAAGUUAUUUGAUGAUCGAAUAUUAGUGAUAAAAAGGAUGGAAAUCAGAUAACUUACUUGCUUCAAAGCUAUCUCACGCCUCUGGCUGGUUGAUGCCGUCGGUACCACAGGUUGAUCGGCUAGAGUUGCCGAUGGAACGAUGUCAACUGAGAAAUAAUGAGAGUGAUUAUAAUUUGAAAAAAUAAAUCCAUCGGUGAUAGUUUUAUGGUCAGUAUUUUACCUUGAGGGGGUGCAGUGCUUGUCUGUUUUGGGGGAACAACUAAUGAUAUGAUUGGAUCCACUAGAUCGGCAGUCUGCUCAAGCACAUCGGUUGACGCUUCUUGUGGCUGGGGUACUGAUCGAGAAGGAGACGGUGCUUGCUGUGUCUGGAUUUCUAGAGAUGGGUCGAUUCCACAUGAAUCGGUGACACUGGACGAGGAGGAGAAGGCGGUGCUGUCUUCUGGCGUUUUGGUUGCGACUUAGUGCUCUUGGGAACUUUUCUCAUGGCUUGACUGGACUGGGGGGCAUCGGCACUUGUUUGAGCACUUUUGGUUCUUGCGGAUUUGCCGGUCUGCUGUUAAAACAACAAGAAUUUCAUGAGUAGAAACAUAACAGAAUAUUGAUAAGAUCUUGUUGAACAGUAAGAGUUACCGAUGAGGUUCCCAUAGCAGCCGAUGUAUCCUGAAAAGAUUGUGUAAGUAUAGAGUGGAAUCGGUAUAAAUUGAGGAAAUCAAAAUUUACCUUGAAAGCUUGUGCCAAGGUGGCAGCGGCGACCGUUGGAGAUGUCUCUGAUCGCCUGGUGGUUAUCUUCUUAAAAUGCACAUUCCGGUGCAUUAGAGCUGCCAGGCUUGGUGCGUUGUUGCCGAUUAGAGAAAUCGGGCCUGAUGGAAGGAGCUCGAUCAGCUUUCCACUCCUGCUGACUGAUGGUGGUGUGUUGUCAACCUGUUCAAAAAAGAGAGAAGGUGAGUUAUCGAUAAGGGUAAAAGUAACAAAGAAAUUGAGGUAUCGGUUGGGAACUUACAGUGUUUUCGGGGACCUUGUACUUGGGGUCAAUCAUGUCGCGGUAUGUCAGAGCCGAUGUGCAGAACAAGUGUUUCUUCCACUCUUCCCACCACUGCUUGUACAUCUGAGUAAUGAAAAGGGCUGGGAUCCAUGCCGAUAAAUCAAUGUCUGACGUAUCGGCAUUUGGCUAAAGCUGAGCAAUUCUUAUCCACUCAAGUUGCUAGUUAUUGUCUCCCUUGGCUUCACCACAUUGGCAUAGUAGAGUCCAAUUGGCAACUGUCCAACAGCUAGUUGGCGAGCCAGGCCGAUGGGUUAUAGAAUUCAUAGGUGGGGUUGGAAGUCUUCCCACUGCCAAAGGAAUUCACUGGUAUAGUCCUUGGGGUAAUAAUUGCCAUCAUUAGGUCAUGGUCCUUAUUAAUGGCGUCAUCAAAAGGGUGGAAAGUGAGCGGAAAUCUAGUUUUUGGAUCCUCAUAAGGAAUCCAUGCCCGCUGAUAUUUGGCAAGACCCUCAUAGAGAAUUUGGAAGAAUCGGCUGACCUGAUCUUCAUUGCCACCAGUACUAGUUAAAACUAUGGCAGCCUCACCAUAGUUCAAGGGUGGGCGAGUUGCCGAUUCUUCAUCGACCAAUUCAUGAUCCUCGGCGAUAUCUCUGGAAAGCGCUGUGCGAAGAGGUCAAAUCUAAGGCGUUUGUGCAUGUGAACACUGAGCCACAUGUUGAUAAACCACCAAGGCCCUCAUAAGUUGCCGAUGGGUUGGCCCAUCAGAAGCUUCUCGGCUACUUGGUGAAGAAGAUGGUAAACAGAGCCUAACAAGUAUCGGCCAAGGGGGAAGCGCCAUCAUUGGCUAGUUUCUCUGCUGCCAAUAGAUAAACAGAAGUCAGACCUGCCGAUCGACCGUAAAAUACAAAUUUGUCUAGCCACAUAUUCAGAAAGAUGGCAUGUUCUCUUUGUCCGACUGAUCCCAUUUUUCGGUACUUCUGAAUGUACCCUAACCAACCGCCGAUACUGCGAGUUUCCACCUUGGAGCUAGGCUUACUGUCAAACAGGUGGCUAUCAUCGGCAGUUGCUAUUUCCAGACUAGUGAGCAUAAGUACAUCAGCAACGGUAGGAGAAGCAGGGCCAUGGCCGAAUACAAAAGCAUUAAGGGUGUCUGACUAGAAGUACAAAGCUGCUAUCAAUAGAGAUUCAUUUCUCUCUAUAUCGGCAAUAGAUAGCCUAAUGCACUGGUCUAGUUUGCGCUCACCCCAUUAGACUUCAUUUGAGUUGCCGAUUCUCAGAAACCAAUCUUUCCACCCCUUGGUAGAACUGGGCCAGGAACGGAAAGUGUCUUUCCACAGAUCUAAAGAGAAGUGCUCAGCUCUAAAGGGGAUCCUAUUUGUCUCUGCAUUUAUCAAAUCGGUAGGAUCUGGGUUUCCCAACGGACCAAGGCAUUGGAAGUGGGGUUGAUCGGUGGGAAUAACAAUUUUAUCAGCCAACUCCUAAAAGUUUGACGGUUGAAAGAACAGGAAAGAAACAAAGAAGAGGAAAAACGUACUCAGUGAAUAGAUUUACAAAGAAAUAAAAGUACAAUAAGAAAAAGGGGGAUGUCGAGUUGACCUCAGGGACGAUGAAGUUGAUGGCCAUUUCUUCCCGAGAGGAGGUAGGAUCUAGGACUUGGAAGAUUGUUGGAGGAGAUCCUUGCCAGAGUUCUUCAAGUUCUCGAAACAGUGCCGCUGCCAGGAAGGUGGGUUUGAGGCUGUAGAGUGACAAGAUAAAAGAAGAGUACCUGAAGGAAGUAUUUAUAGGACAGAGAGGGCAGGGGCAAAUCUGACUUAUCUCUUCGCCGUAUCCGUGAAAUCCGAGGGUGUUCAGGUGGAUAUGGUAACUGUUCGCACGGUAAUCAAGGGAUUGCGCAGGUGAUUUGACAGCAAGCGGUCAUGAGUUUGGAGAUAUCUUACUGUGGAAGAUCUCCUGGUCAGUUCAUCAGCAGUUUUCUCUUAUGGAGAUGUUGCCGAUGAACGUAUGUUUGGGAGAUUCGGUUCAGGGAGUUGAGAGAUUUGAGGAGCAUGCUGGAAGAUCGGGCUGAGGUCUUUUGGAUUUGCUAAUUAAUUACUGAUAGGAAGGAGUAAUUGCGGAAAGGCAACGUUAUUGGAGAGAAUUUCGGAGCAUUAAUGAUUUUAUACUCCGAAAUUGGAGGGCAUGUGUUGACACCGUUUUUAGACACAUAUCUUUGGACGUGUAUCUGGAGUUAAAGAAGUGUAGAUUGACAGGCAGAGAUGUGGUGACUAAGUUCACAGGAGAGUUGCCGAUGAGGGUUGGUGCCGAUGAGAAAACGACAGAAUAUGGCUAAGUCCAGGAGUGGUGAUGGGUCCAUGCCGAUGGUUGGUGCCGAUGAAGAAAACGACAGGAUAUGGUCAAGUCCAGGAGCAGUGAUGGAUUCAUGCCGAUGACUAGUGCUGAUGGUUGCCGAUGGCUAUGGGAGGUGGUUUGCCGAUGGUCAUGGAGAAGGGUGCAGGGGUUGUCGAUCGACUCAUGGUGAUGUAUCGAUCGAUUGUAGAAGAUGGUUUAAUGCUUUCCAUAGUUAUUGGAGUUUGCUUUGUAUACGAAUUCUGUUUAAUUUAGAAUUCGAGUCAUGGUCGUGUCUGGUUGUGACUCUUUUGGACAGGGUAUAAAUGUAGACCUCGUGGCAAUGUAAUGGAUAUACACAAUCAAUCAAAUACAAGUUUUUACAUCUAGCAUCUACUUUUUCGACGACUUCGUCAUCCUGCAUUUUUUUCUUUUUACUACGAGUUCUUAGGAAUUCAUCGAGUUAACCUCGGCGAGUUCUCAAGUUCCGCGUGAAUACCUCUUGGCCGUGACAUCCGGGCGCAUCGCUGUUGUCGGGACCAAAGUAUUCGAGUUAUCAUCCAAGUAGAGAGGAUCCCUCUAGUUCAUCUAGUUCUAGCUCUAGUUCAUCUAGUUCUAGUUCUAGUUGUAAUCUAGAAAAUAGGGAGAGAGAAGAGGAGAGCGGAGGAGGAGCCAGAUCUGUCGGAUCUUCCUCAACAUUGUACUUUUGCAGCAACUGGUUCGUUCUUCAUCAUUCCAAGUUCUUCAAUUCAUAAUUCCUGAGUUCUUCAAUUACUUUUAUUUACAUUCAAGUUAUUUAUUGGAUUCCCGCUUGCAUCAAGUGCUCUAGUCUUUGCAACGCUAGAGUAGUAAUUAAUAGAUUAGACGUGGUGUUUAGUCUUGCAAUUACCUCGAAUUGCACCCAAUCCUGUGGAGUGUUGUUGGUAACCCUAGGGUAGUGACAGCCCUAACGGUCGACGUAUUCCACCUCGUUCGGAUCGGUGUUUGUAUGACCGAAGUCAGAGCUUCCUAGCCCCCUUCUCAUCUUUUUCUGUGGUUAGUGUUCUGAUGUCCCAAAAUAAAUAAACUUUGAAGUAAUUCUUGAUUCUUAGAUCAACUAGAGAACUCUCAGAAAACUUCCUCUUUUCCCACCAAAAAUAAUUAUAUAGUUAUCCUUGAGCGAUCUUGAAUCUUAAUUAGUACACUCACGUUCCCUGUGGAAAAUCGAUACUCUGGAAUACUCCCGGGUGAAAGCUACAUCGGUCUGUUUGCGUUUAAAAUACCCAAAAAGCAUUCUGGCGCCGUUGCUGGGGAACGGUAGUGUUGGGCAUUCUUAACAUCACUACCAAAAGUAGACUUAGUUUUCUAAUUCUGAUAAUGGCGCCAAAAAUGCCAAACCUAUCACUCAUGCCACUUAAGGCAAGUUGUCAUCCCUAGCAUGACAUGAGAGACGCGGUAUUGAAAUAUGCAAUUGCUCUUCUAAAUAAAUAAUAAAUGGGAUCUGCAAGCGCACAUAUUAAUACCGAUGUAGCAUUUUAACCGGGAAGUAUUCCAGGUAUCGUUAUUUAUAUUUUUACCACUGGGAAGAGAUUAGUAAUCAUCAAUGUUGAUUAUGGAAUGGAAUAUAAGAUUGAGUACCUAUCAUUGCAUGUAUAAUUGAGAGCAUUUAGCUAUCUCUUUCAUACAGGGAUAAAUGUCACAUAAAAGAUAGAUAAAGUAUGAAUGGUGACAAAGAUAAUUAAUCUGAUCAGCAUAACUUAGCCACAUAUAAAUAUGAUAAAGCACCUCAAUAGAUAUUCUAGCAAGUCAUUAGCAUCGAAUUAGGACAAACUACAAGAAUAUUUUCUAAGAUAUUCUUAACUAUACAGUCUAGCAUAUCAUAGUUAGUGCAAUUAUACUUGGCAAUCAUUGCGAGACAGGACUACGCCCAUGCAUAGUGAUAUUAUCAAGGAAUAUGAGAAAUAUCGCAAUCACUCCCCUGUAUUAAUGUUGCUCUGCCAGCCAUGUACACAAGAGGGGGACUAUAUAAGAAUCAAUGGAGCUGUCACUACCACGAACUACACCGCGAUCUGGCAUGUAGGGUACAAUCGCAGAUAAAUACGGUAUAGGCACCACGCCUACACAAUACUUAUCAUUUACCUACUGUACACAUGGAUAAAUGCUAUACGAUCCUAAACAUGUAUAUAAUUCCAAUCUAACUAAGGCAAGUAUAUAACUAAGGUAAACUAAGAACAAUAUAAUUGCGAAUAUAAACAAGUAGAGCAAAGUCAUAAUCAAUAUACUGAAGUAGAACAAAGUCAUAUUCAUAAUAUUUAAGAACAAAGAUGAACAAUUGAAGAACAAUAGAGAAUUACCAAGAAUCCUCUUGACAGAUCCGAAAACCAAUCGAAGAUUGACUCCUUCUAGUUCUAAUCCUACGUAGCUAUGCUAAACUAGAGAUCUAAUUGAUGUGGUGGCUCUAGGGCUUGAUCAGAGGCUUCUUCUCCCAAGAUGAUUAAUGAAUUAGGGGUCUGAGGUCCUCUCCUCCAGGGGCCAGGGGGUCUGCUUAUAUAGUCUUUUCAGAUGAAUCUGGGCCGUCGGAUCAAACCGACAUUAACCACACGGUUUUCCUUGAUCCUUUAGGUCGGUGGAGCGUGAUCCGCGAAACGGGUCCGAAUUGGACACUAUAGGAGGGCGGGCGCCCUGGUCCUUAGGGUGGGCGCCCUAGGCCAGGCCCCGUUCGGCCUCUGCUUCGUUCCCGUGGCUUCUGGAGUGUUCUAGAUGAUAGAAAAUUGUGCGGCCCGUUAAUAUCUCUAUGUAAACCCGGCGUGUGGGCCUUUCCUCUGUAUUUCCUAAUAACCCCUGUAGAAAUAGACAAACACCAAAACUCGUGGAAUUCUGUCAGAUAAAUCCCUAAGUCUAGGUGUUGGUUGCAUUUGGAUCCUUUUCUAUGAUUAAUUGAUGGUUAAAUGUGAGCAUUAAGGACCGUCAACAAGCUCCCCCAAGCUUAACCUUUGCUCGACCCUGAGCAAAGAUGGACUCAAGAGUUUCUACAGUGGUUUCAUGCCUUAAAGGUACACAUGCGUUCAAACAAUAUCUCAUCUCUAGGUUAGGGUAAACUGUUAAGAUUUAAACUUACUCAUAUUACCUUCCACCAUGGGGCUUGCAACCGUCACUUAUGUCUUGAGCAAUUAAAAGAUAGAACAGUCUAGUCAAGCGCCAUGUCUCUUGUUCUUCGAUUAACUAUAGCUCUGGAGUUUUUGCAGAUUUUCAAAUAAAUCUCAGAGAUUCCUUGUAUGACUCUCUCUAGUCUCUCUUUUGUGGUAUUUCUGGAUCCUUACCAAGGCAGUAAUGGUGUAUGCCUUCUCUCAAAUUAUGUGGUAUUUGUGGUAUGAAGCAUAGUGACAUUGCCUUCUCUCUCAUCUUACUCUAACAAGGCUUUUGAUAUCUGGAGCUCAUAGGUGGGAGAUAAAGUAUACAUACUUAUAAGACAUUGAUUGCAUAGUCAAACCAUGGAUCCAGAGAAACAAGUCAAUAAGUGAAAUCAAGAUUUACAUGUGCGGCGAAUAAAUGGUGAUAAUGGUGAAAAUAAUGGUGAAAGUCUAAUUCUACUUUUGCUCUUUUGAGGGGAUACAUACCUUCCUUGCUCUUUUGAAACUUUUGGGGAGAAUGAGAUGCUCUAUAUUUUUUUUUCUUUCCUCUCAGGUGGGCAUCUUGUACCCCUAAUUCUACUAUCGGACACUUGUCCAUUUUUACCUCUCGUCUCACUUUUUAUUUUCUUUCGAGGUUCCGAGCACUUGUCCCUUUUUAUUUCCUCGUAUCUUUUUUUCUCUCUUUUUUUAGAGCACUCAUCUCUUGAAAUAAUGUAGCGAGUGGUAGUAACCAAGAUAACUUGAGCAUUUCUUUCAUAGGGGAAAAUAGAAAUAUUUUUGGCUAUUCUCUCCCGGAUUAGGAGUAGAAUAUUUUUGGGUGGUUCUGGAGAUGGAAAUGGGUGGAUAUAUGUGGAUGCGUACUUCUGGAGUAGAAGCAGCAUGUAUGAGUGAACGUGCAAGUGAAUCUUGAUUUAACCACAUGACAAACUCCUAAGGGUCUACACAGCUUGACCACAAUCAAUGCUCAUAAGCAGUAAAAAGUAAAUGUGUGGCUCAAAGUCUAGCAAGCAUGUAUAUAUGGCUGUGGUUGGAAUUUAAACUCUCAUCAUACAGGAAUUCAUCAUGUGUUAUUUUAAAGAUUUUCAAAGAUAAAAUUCUCCAGUUUUCUAGCAUCUCUAGGAACAGAUAAACAGCAGCUCAACCUUCCCAUAUCAUAUCCGUUAACAACUUAGACUUCAGAUCAAAUUUUCUUCCCACAAGUUCAGGUUUAGAGCAAAACUUAAUUAAUAACAGUCAUGCCUAAACUUGAGAGACAUUUCAAUUUUGAGAACUAGUCAUGGCAGUACAACUAUUCGUCAUUUCCAUGUGAGAGCUUAUCAUGAGGGUUCAUAGAAAACUUUAUUUAUUUAUUUAUUUAGCAAACUAAGCAAAGAUAUAUAUAUAUAUAUAAGCACAAAAUCUUUAUUUGGGUUUUUAUGAUUAUGCAUCUUUUUAUUAUUUAAGUAAAGUAUAAACAUGAGUAGGAACACUUAGCUGGAUAAAUGGGGGUGCUCUCCCCCAAGCUGGAUUUUGACGCAAUUUCUUCUGAUGUAGCUAGCAGGUGGCGGAGGUGUAUUUGAAUGUCUGUUGACGGUCCUUAAGUAUCAAAUUUAAUUAUCAAAUAUACAAAGAAAAGGAUCCAAAUGAAAUCAACAUCUAGACUUGGGGUUUUAUCUGACAGAAUUCCACGAGUUUUGGUGUUUGUCUAUUUCUGCAGGGGGUUAUCAGGAAAUACGGAAGAAAGGCCCACACGUCGGGAUAACAUAGAGAUAUUAACGUGCCGCGCAAUUAUCUUACAUCUAGAAGACUCCAGAAGCCACGGGAAGGAAGCAGACGCCGAGAGGGGCCAGAGGCAGGGCGCCCGCCCUGUUUCCCUAGGCGCCCGCCCUGACUUGGAGCCCAAUCAGGACUCUUUCUCUCGGGAGAUCUCCACCGACCUAAAGGAUCAAGAAUAACCGUUCAAUCAAUGUCGGUUUGAUCCGACGGCCCAGGUUCACUUGAGGGGACUAUAUAACCAGACCCCUGGCCCCUAGAGGAGGCACCCUUGAUCAUUAUUCAUUAUUCAUAGACAGAGCAAAAGCUAGGGUUUGGAGAUGAGAGCUCUCCUCUCUUCUCUAAACUAGAGUAGAUCUAGAUAGUAGCAAGAUGGAGAGCGAAGGAGGAUUAGAGGAGAGGUCGGCCUGUCGGUCUUCCUCGGGUUGUACUUCGUCAUGAUCAAGCUCUAAUCAAGCUUGCUCAUGGGAUGACUCUGGUAAUCUACUUCUAAUUCAUUAUGCAAUUACUAAUCAUGUAUGUUCUGGUUCACAACUCUUUUGAGUACUUCUAAUCUAUAGGACGCUAUAGGUGAGAGUUGUAGUAUAGGUGUAAGCGAGGUGCUUAGACCUAGAUUACUUGUGGAUAUCCCCUGUCUAGCUGGAUUGUGUGGUAGACCGCGUAGGUGAUAGUUACGUUGGUCCUCUGUAGUCCACCUCUCAUUAGCAGGACGGGUAGGGUUUAUUGGCCUAAGGAUAAGCAUCCUUUGUGGUGUACUCUUAUCACGUGGUUCGUCCCAGACAUAGACAUACCCCUUUGAAGUAGAGAAACCAUAGUUAUUCUCUCUAUUCUGCUACCAUCGCCCAUAUACUUAGAAUUGCUCUACUCUCUAUUCCCAUAUUAUCACCCAUUGUUAUCUUACCUUUAAUAUUGUUCUUAUUCAAUUCUACCAUCUUUCCUAUUCACACCUAUCUAUCUAUCUUGGUUAAGUUAGAGCGUAGUUGGUUCUCCCGUUUCCCUGUGGAUACGAUAAAACCUUUAACCGGGUAAAAGCUUCAAUGGUAUCCGUGCGCUUGCGGAUUAUCUGUGUGCGUAUAAAUACCAUAGUACACUCUAGUGCCAUGCUGGGGAUGACAACCUAGUAUUCAAGUGGUGUUAGCAAGUGUCAACAAUGUCGGCAGCACCCUGACAGCGAUUAGGAUGUCCUUCGUCUGCUAGUAUUCUUUGAUCCUUGAAUUCUGUGGAGCUCAAAUAGACAACAAAGCUUUGUGGAACUAGUUAAGUGUUAGCAUAAAUAUCUAGCCUUUAUCAUGUUGAGCCUCCUCAAUAAAUGUUACUCUCUUUAGUAGGAUCAUAAAUUUAUUUUUGUAUUUUUAGUUUUAUAGGACAAGAAUAUAUUUAUUUCAUUUUUACGCCACCACAGUAAAUGUACUUAUGGGUUUUAUGCCAUGAGCAUACUCACAUGGGGCUUACUAUUUUUAACAUUUUUAUUUUCUUUUCAAGAUGAUAUAAACCUGAUUAACUAAGCAAACUAUUUUAAAUAAUUUAAAGGAAAAGGAUAACUACCAAGUUUACCUCUUGGCAUGGCGUUUAGUGUUUUUAAGUCCUCCGAACGGGACUCUCCGUUUUCUCAGUCGUCCUAGGAUUCUGGCGGAUGGCUGUUGGGUAUUCUUAACAUCAUUACCAAAAGUAGACUAAGUUCUCUAAAUCUAGUAACGGUGCCAAAAAUGCCAAACCUAUCCCUCACACCACUUAAGCCAAGUUGUCAUCCCCAGCAAGAUAUAAGAGACACGGUAUUGAAAUAUGCAAUUGCUCUUCUAAAUAAAUAAUGAAUUGGAUCUGCAAGCGCAUAGAUUAAUACCGAUGUAGCAUUUUAACCGGGAAGUAUUCCAGGUAUCGUUAUUUAUAUUUUUACCACUGGGAAGGGAUUAGCAAUCGUCACUAAUGAUUACAGAAUAGAAUAUGAGAUUGAGCAUCUAUCAUUGCAUGUAUAAUUGAGAACAUUAUAUCUAACUCUUCAUACAGGGAUAAGUGUCACAUAAAAGAUAUAUGAAAUAAUAAUAGUGACAAGGAUAACUAAUCUGAUCUAGCCACAUAAUAAAUAUGAUAAGCACCUCAAUUAGAUACUCUAGAAAGUCAUUAGCAUGGUAUUAGAACGAACUACAAGAAUAUUCCCUAAGUUAUUCUCAACUAUAUAGUCUAGCAUAUCAUAGUUAGUGCAAGCAUACUUAGCAAUCAUUGCGAGACAAGACUAAGCCCAUGCAUAGUGAUAUUAGCAAGGAAUAUGAGAAACAUAGCAAUCACUCCCCUGUAAUAAUGUUGCUCUGCCAGCCCAAUACAUGAGAGGGGGACUAUAUAAGAAUCAAUGAAGCUGUCACUAUCACGAACCACCCCACGAUCUGCCAUAUUGGGUACAAUCGCAGAUAAAUACGGUAUAAGCACCACGCCUACACAAUAUCUUUCAUUUACCCAUGGAUCCGAUGGAUAAACGCUAUACGAUCCUAAGCAUGUAUAUAGAUCCAAUCUAACUAAGCUAAGUACAUAACUAUGAUAAACUAAGAACAAUAUAAUCUUGAAUAUAAGCAAGUAGAGCAAAGUCAUAAGCAAUAUAUUGAAGUAGAACAAAGUCAUAUUCAUAAUAUUAAAGAACAAAGAUAAUUAGAAAGUAAUUAGAAGCACAAUUAGAGAAUUACCAAGAAUCCUCCUGACAGAUCCGGAAACCAAUCGAAGAUUGACUCCUUCUAGUUCUAAUCCUAUGUAGCUAUGCUAAUCUAGAUAUCUAAUUGAUGUGGUGGCUCUAAUCUUGAUCAAAGGCUUCUUCUCCCUUGAUGGAACAAUGAAUUAGGGUUGAAAGGCUCUCUCCUCCAGGGGCCAGGGGGUCUGGUUUUAUAGUCCCUUCAAUGAGUAUGGGCCCUUGGAUCAAACCGACAUAGAUUGUAUGGUUUAGAUUCAUCCUUUAGGUCGGUGGAGACUUCCCGCAAAGUAGAGUCCUGAUUGGACUUGGGAGCAGGGCGGGCGCCCAGUAGGACAGGGCGGGCGCCCUGUCUCUGGCCCCGAUUCGCCUCCACUUCGGUCUCGUGGCUUCUGGAGUCUUCUAGAUGUAAGAUAAUUGCACAGCACGUUAAUACCUUUACGUAAUCCUGACAUGUGGGCCUUUCUUCCAUAUUUCCUGAUAACCCCCUGCAGAAAUAGACAAACACCAAAACUCGUGGAAUUCUGUCAGAUAAAACCCUAAGUCUAGAUCUUGAAUUCAUUUGGAUCCUUUUCUUUAUUUAUUUGAUAAUUAAAUUUGAUACUUAAGGACCGUCAACAAACUCCCCCAAGCUUACCUCUUGCUCGUCCCUGAGCAAGGAUAGACUCAGCUAUGGAUCAUAAGUUGUUGCAAUAUUUUUAAAAAAAUAGACGGGACACAUGCUUUUAUAUAAGAUCUCAUCUCUGAGUUAGAGUAAACUAUCAAGACUUAAAACUUACUUACUUUACCUCCACCAUGGGACUUGUAACUGUCACUUCUGUCUUGAGUGGUUAAAAGAUAGAACAGUCUAGCCAAGUGCCAUGUCUCUUAUUCUUGAUCAGCUAUAGCUCUGGGGUUUUUGCAGAUUUUCAAAUAAAACUCAGAGAUUCCUUGUAUGAUUCUCUCAGAUCUCUCUUUUGUGGUACUUUUGGAUCCUUACCAAGGCAUUGAUGGUAUAUGCCUUCUCUCAAGAUAUGUAGUAUUUGUGGUAUAAGGCAUAGUGACAUUGCCUUCUCUCUCACCCUACUCUAAUAAGGCUUUAAUAUCUGGAGCUCAUAGGUGGGAGAUAAAGUAUGCAUACUUACAAGACAUUUAUUGCAUAGUCAACCCAUGGAUCCAAAGUAACAAGUCAAUAAGCCAAAUCAAGAUGUGCAUGUGUGGUGAAUGAAUGGUGUAUGGUGAUAAUGGUGAUAACAAUGGUGAAAACAAUGGUGGUGGAAGUCUAAUUCUACUUUGCUCUUUUGAGGGGAUACAUACCUUCCUUGCUUUUGAUUUAUGAGGAGAAUGAGAUGCUCUUCUUUUUCUUGUCUCUCAGGUGGGUAUCUUGCACCCCUAAUUCUACUGUCGGACACUUGUCCAUUUUUACCUCUCGUCUCAAUCUUUCUUUUCUUUCGAGGUUCCGAGCACUUGCUCCUUUUUAUUUCCUCGUAUAUUUUUUUAUUUUCUUCUUUUUUUUUAGAGCACUCAUCUCUUGAUAUAAUAUAGCAAGUGGUAGUAACAAGAUAACUUGAGCAUUUAUUUCACAAGGGGAAACAGAAAUAUUUUUGGUUAUUCUCUCCCGGAUUAGGAGUAGAAUAUUUUUAGGUGGUUCUGGAGAUGGAAAUGGAUGGAUAUAUGUGGGUGGUACUUCCGGAGUAGAAGUAGCAUAUAUGAGUGAACGUGCAAGUGAAAUCUUGAUUUAACCACAUGACAAGCUACUAAGGGUCUACACAGCUUGACCACACUCAAUGCUCAUAAGCAGUAAAUAGUAAAUGUGUGGCUCAAAGUCUAGCAAGCAUGUAUAUAUGGCUGUGGUAGGAAUUUAAGCUCUCAUCAUACAGGAAUUCAUCAUGCAACAUUUUAAAGAUUUUCAAAGAUAAAAUUCUCCAGAAUUCUAGCAUCUCUAGGAACAGAUAAACAGCAGCUCAACCUUCCCAUAUCAUAUCCGUUAACAACUUAGACUUCAGAUCAAGUUUUCAUCCCACAAGUUUAGGUCUAGGGCAAGCUUUAAAUUAUAACAGUUAUAUCUAAACUUGAGAGAGAACUUAGAAUGUGCAAAUUAGGCAGAGCAACUAUUCAUCAUAUCCAUGCUUAAGUUUUUGUUUAGAUACAGAUUAGCAUAGCCACUUUAUUUAUUUAUUAAACACACUAAGCAAAAGACAUAUAUAAGCAUAAAAUCUUUAUUUGGUUUUCCCAUAGUUUAUGUGUAUUUUAAUAUUCUAAAAUAAUAUAAGUAUAAAAAUAGAUAGAAAUACUUAUCGAGGUAAAUGGGGGUGCUCUCCCCCAAGCUGAAUUUUGACGUAAUUUCUCUUAAUGUAGCUAGCAGGUGGCAGAGGUGUAUUUGAAAGUCAGCAGUAUUCUGACAGCGAUUAGAAUGUCCUCCGUCUGCUAGUCUUCUUGAUUCUUAAAUUCUGUGGAGCUCAAAUAGACAACAAAGCUUGUGGAACUGAUUAAAUGUUAGCAUAAAUAUCUAGCCUUUAUUAUGUUGAGACUCCUUAAUAAUUGUUACUCCCUGUUUUUAUAUUUUUGUUUUUAUAAAGCAGAAAAAAAUAUUUAUUUUAUUUUUAUGCCACCAUAGUGAAUGUACUUAUGGGUUUUAUGCCACUCGUCUACUCAUAUGGGGCUUACUGUUUUUUACAUUUUUAUUUUCUUUUAGGAUAGCACGAACAUAAUUAACUAAGUAAACUAUUUGAAAUAAUUGAAAUAAUUGAAAGGGAAAGGGUAACUACCAAGUUUACCUCUUGGCAAGGCGUUCGGUGUUUUUAAGUCCUCCGAACAGGACUAUCCAUUUUCUUAAUCGUCCUGAGGUUCGUUGGGUGGCGUAGUCGGUACUUCCGGUAGCGCCUCCUCUUCAUGUAUAGUUAUCUUCAUUUUCCAUACCUGACUCGGUGCUUCAAUCUCCUCUGGAUAAUUCUGUUUAAACUCCACGUCUUCUGACCUUACAACUUCUCCUUCAUAGUCUGCCCAUCCGUCCUUGAUGAUCUGCCUCCUCUGGUUGCGGUUGCGUCUUUUCUUUACCUGCUUAGAUUCUUCAAUGAUAUAGUUAGGGUCAGUAAAAUAACGGCGUACCUUCUCUGAGGGGAAGUGCAUAUGGACUUUUCCGGUUCCAAUGUAGAUAAUUGCUUUAACGGUGCUGAGGAACGGUCUUCCAAGGAUGAUGGGUGGAUCAUACUCGUCUUCUCCCAUGUCAACAACUUGAAAGUCUGUGUAGACAAAGUGAUCGUCUAUUUUGACUGGGACAUCAGAUACUAUCCCUUGAACUUCUCAAAAUGUCUGAUCUGCCAUCUGGAGCUGAAUGUAUGUUGGUCUUAGUGGCAUGGUCCCGAACAAGAGCCGAUAAGUGACUGCGGCCAUUAUGUUGACGCCCGAUCCGGUGUCGCAAAUCGUCUUGUAGAAGUUAUAUCCAUUUAUGGAGCAGUAGAUGCUUGGCAUUCCUGGGUCGUCCUUCUUGGUCAAAAACGGUGACUUAAGUUGGUGAUCUUGGCCUCCAUGGACUACAGUGACCAUCUUAGCUGACUCGGUCCACACUUGCUUGUUCCUGUUCCUCCUGUUGGUCCUCUUCCCUGAUUCACGUCUGGAUUGAUCUGGAAUUUGUGUAGUCUUGUUCUUGAAGAAAAAUGUCUCCUUCUUCCCUUUGACGUAGAAACUGAUCUUGGCAGCACUAGCGUAGAUGAUAGCUCCCGUGGUGUUCAAAAAUGGCCUUCCUAGGAUGAUAGGUGCUCUCUCAUCAUUUCCGGUCUCAACCACUACGAAGUCUGCUGGGGCAUAUAAAGUACCAACUCGGACACAAAGGUUCCUCACUAUUCCUUUUGGAAAAGUUAUCGUCUGAUCUGCAAACUGCAAACACAUGGUUGUUUCUAAUAAAGGAUAUGUAAAGAAUUUUUCAUAGAGUACCCUGGGUAUAAUGUUGACGCUAGAGCCAAAGUCACAGAGUGCUUCUGGAACGUCC
RNAcentral lists this long non-coding RNA (123962 nucleotides) under Sorghum bicolor (sorghum). Its description in RNAcentral is "long non-coding RNA (SBIC_LNC017502)". The record is from RNAcentral. Lineage: Eukaryota; Viridiplantae; Streptophyta; Magnoliopsida; Poales; Poaceae.